GAGAGAGACUGGUUGAGAGCUUCAAGCCCUUGGGAGAGAGCCUCUUCAGCUUCCUGUGUAGAUUGUCGUAGCCCACAAAUACCCAAUAGUUGCUGCUCCGUUAAUGGCUCAAUUUGGUUCAGAAUAAUCUGAUUUAUCAACAACAACAAAAACCCAAUAAUUAAUGUCAAUAAUCUCUCCAAUAUUAAUCGUUUAAAAUCUUAUGUUUAUACAAGCGAUAGUCUAAAAUACUUUAAAUUAACAUAAUCUACGAGAAGUCUGAUUCGAACAUAGGUGCAAUAUGGGGCAGACCCGCUGUACUGGCCAACUAACCUAACUCACACAUCUACUAAUUGAUUAAAUGUUGUAAAUAUCAUGCAUGCAAAUACCCAACUUUCUUGACUGUUGUUUUUUGCUUAAUUAUUUGCAAGAAACCAAAGAUAAAGAUGAAGACAGAAACAAGAUAGAGAAAGAAAUCAAAAGAGGAAGACACCCGUGUAACUCUCUUUCUUGGCUCUCUCAUUCUCAGAGGCCAAAAUUUGCAUUAACAGACAUGACUUUAGGGGGAUUGACACCUAACUCUACCCUUUAGUGGAAACCCUUCACGUUGCCUUUCGUCAUUCAUGAUAUUCACAAUGAGAGAAAUGAGAUCGAUUAAUAUUCUUUGCUACUGCCACCCACAAGUACUUAGAUGUACAUGUACCCAUGAGUCCAUGAAGACAUGACCCACAUGCAUAUAUUUUACUUCUCAUUUUGAUCAUAAUAUAUGCUCCUUGUACUAUAGUAUGUCAUCAUAUCCCUUCACAUGUAUACAUCAUUCUUAUCUCUCUCUUCCCCUCUUGGAACUUGUGAUGAAUUCUUACUAACACAAAAACAUAUAUGAUUAAGCAAAUAAUUAACCUUUUUUUGCUUCUGUUUUAUGUAAUUUAGCUCAAGUUCCAAACAAAAUUUUGAAUAUGGUACUCUUCUUAGAGAAAGAUUAUAUAUAAGCGCCACGUAUAAUGAUUUUUUACUAAGCUCUCGUAAUGUACUCUUGUCAUUUUCUUCUCACACAAUUCGUGUUGUACUUCUUUUUCCAAGAAAUUUGACUAUUUUCUAAGAAGCAAAUUAUGAAAUAACAAUAACUAAUAAUUAUAAGGAGAUGUGUAUAAAUCUAGGAUUAAUUAGAGGGGCAUGCACCUUGAUGACCUCAGAGGGCCGAAAUCCACCCAUCCACAUGAAGCAUCGCUCAGCUGGAGUCUUCCACAUGCCAGAGACAAUGUGAAACACAUCUGUCUUGGCAACCAUGCUUUUGAGGUUCAUCACUUCAUCGUAGUGUGCUAAGCAAUUGUCCACAAACAGCCGCAGCUCAUUCUCCGGUAGAUGCUCUUGCACCGCUGCUCGAAGCUCGCACAUGAGACGAUGGUGCUCCUCCUGCCACCUUGCAUACUCUAUAUCGAAAACUGCCGCGUCUAGGAAAAAAGGCAGACAGAAGAAAGAAGAAAAAUGGGUUUCAGGCUUUCAAGGUUUAUUUUGAGAGAUGGCUGAAUCUAAGAAAGAAAAGAAUAUAGAAUAAUUUUUUUAUUAAAUGUUAUUAUUACCUGAGCUAAUGCUGUUCAUACCAAGAGGAAGGCCUUGUUGAUCUCCUCCUACAAUACCUCCUCCAAAGAACAUGCCCUAAUAAAACAAACCCCAAGUCUUAAAAGAAUGGUUCAGGAAAAAAAUCAACCAGAAAAUACCCAAUUAAUUAAGAGCAAGUGUUUCUUUCAAUCAUGCAUAAAAUAAAAUAAAAAGAAGUUAUAAUCACCUGAGAUCUAGCUCUUUGCAGCUCUUGCUCCAGCUGAGUAAGCUUAAUCCUACUUGUCUCUAACUGCUGGACAUAAGCCUGUCAAAGCACACCAACAAAAAAAAAAUGGUGUAAGGAUUUAAAGAAGAAAAGUUAAAAUGAGUUGCAAACCUUCAGUGGAUUGAGUACCUUUUUUCUAAGCCUGCUUUUCCUGGCUGCCUCUCUAUUCUGAGCAAGCCUUCUCAGUGUCUGCACACAAAUAAUCAUAGCAAACGUUGGAAAUCGUUGUCGUAGAGAGAAGAAAGAGAGAAGAAGUGCAAAUCUUUUGCCAUAAAAAAGUGAACCUUAGGGUCUGGUGUUUUGGGUCCUUCUUGCUCUGAACUUGAUGUAGUUGGACCCUUGCGGUUUCCCUCACGCUGCCACAACAUUCAAAGUAACACACAACGCAACAGAUAAAUUAGUCAAAACAAAUUCAUAUAAUUUUGAUAGAAAAUACAUGGCUCUACUAAUUUCCAGACGUCCGCAUAGGAAAAAAUGAUAAUUUAUUUUAUUAAAAAUUAUAUAUAUAUAUAUAUAUACCUUGAUAGCUUUGGCAGGUUCUUGAGGGCGAGACGAAGGAGCAGGAGCAGAAGCAUCUUUGCGAGGGUUGGCCAACUCCAUGGACGGCUCUGAUGGUCUCUUUGAACCACUCAUUGCUGCAGGAGAAACUAAUCCCGUACCAGCUGCCUAUAUACCAAACCCAAACGAACCCAUUUUAGAAGAGAUAUUCAAAAGCUUAAUUUCAAUGUGCUAGUUAGCUAGCUUUAUAAAAUAAAUAUAAAUAAAAUAUAUAGUCUUAAACCGACCAACAAGAAAUCAAUUAAAAUACUAUGGUAUUAUACAAUGCAAAUAAUUAAAAUAACGGUUAGAGUAAGAUACUUUGGUUGAUGGUGGCUCUACGUGCAUAGGCUGCGAUGGGAAAAUAUUCAAAGUUGGAGGCCUCAUUCCAGAUAAGGAGUUAUUUUGAUGAUCUGCACAAAAAUAUUCCAAAUUGUAGACAUUAAUAUUGAUCUAAAUAUGUACAUAAGAGAAAUAGCUAGAGAGAGAGAGAGAGAGAGAGAGAGGAAGGACCCAGAGAGAGAGAGAGGUCUCUAUAGUAAUGAUUAAAGGAGGACCAAAAUGAGUUUGGAAAUUUGAAUUAAUAUGGUCCUAUUAUUUCUUUUUCUUUUUUUUUUAUUUAAGGAAAAUGGAAAACCCAUACACACAAUGGUCCUAUCUAGCCAGUACCCUUUUUGUUUUUUCAGUACAUGUGGGAUUUGUAGCAAGGAAGUCAUGAUCAGGCAGAGGGGGUUUGUUACAUGUUUGUCAGGGUCCAAGCAACUCCAAAGAAGAAGAAACAAAAAAUCAAAAAGAAAAGGAGAGACAGGUGGUAUUUCAUGGAAAUUUCUGAAUUUCCUUGUGUUUAUGCCUUUUUUCUCUGGUAGCUAGGAUCUGGUCAAACAAAGUACCGGGCAGAGAGAGAGAGAGAGGUGGCAGAUAAUUUUGUUGAACAUGCUUUUGCUGUGACCCAAAACAAUAUUUUCCAAGUAAAAUCUCAAAAGGACUGAGGACUGAGAGCAGGACGCAGGCCAAGAAAAGAAGCAAAAUAUAUUAUUCUCUUUGUGAUUCUCUCUUUCUCUCUGAAUCAAAGGGUAGAGUGCGAGAGAGAGAGAGAUAGAAGGAGAAAUGAAACGACAGAGGUGCUUACGUCGUUGGGUGUCCUGAUGAAGAUGAUGGGUGGUAGUAGUAGUAGCAGUUGAGGAUGAGUUGUGAUGGUCUUGUGACUGUCCAUCAAGGUAGAGGAAAAGGGCUUGAUCUAAUUCUCCCAAAUCAUAAGCUCCACUGUCUUUGCUUCUGAUCACACAAAAUUAUAAUUAAUCAAGAAACAUAAAAUUAUAAGAUCAUGGGAAGAUGAUGAUGGUGAAUAUUAUUAUUACAUGAAGUUCCCAGCAGGAAUAUUGGAGGAUGAUGACUGCAUCAUGCCAUACUGAAUCUGCUGCUGCUGCUGAUGUUGAUGAUGAUGAUGGUCUUGUAUUUGAUGGUGUUGUUGUUGAUGAUGAUGAUGAUGUUGUUGUUGUUGUUGUUGUUGUUGUUCAAGUUGGUUGUUUCCUUGAAUACUGGAAGCCAUGAAAGCAGAAGAAGUUCUUGCAGAAGCCAAGAGCCUUGUCUCCAAUAAUAUUUGCUCUCCUUUCUCUUCUUCCUCGUCUUCUGCAAAAUUAAAUUCCCUUGAAAACCCCAUUAAUGGCAAAACCGCCUUCUGUUUCCUGCUAACAAGAUCAUCCUCCCUAUAGAGAGAGAGAGAGAGAGAGAGAGAGAGAGAGAGAGAGAGAGAGAGAGAAAGAGAGAGAGAGAGAGAGCGAGAGCAAGUCGGUUAUGAGUUGAAGAGAGCUUGCAAGCUGUUGCGCUGAUAAUUAAAGAGAGAGAGAGAGAGAGAGAGAGAGAGAGAGAGAGAGAGAGAGAGUGAGAACAAAAGAAUGGAAUUCAAUGUAAAGAAACAAAAGAGACAAGCCUUUUUUUCCUCUCAACCUCUCUCUCUCUCUUCUCUCUUCUCUCUUCUCUCUCUUCCUCUCUUUAAGAAGUAGACGACUUUAUUUUCUGCUGUAAACCAAAUAUUCAGAUAAAGCGGUUCUUAAGAUAUCCACUCUGACUCUCUCUCUCUCUUGAUAUCAAAACCAGAGAAGACCUGGGGGAGAAUCCGCUUUUUAUUUGUUUGUUUAUAAUUUCUUAUAUGGAAAACCGCUUACGGCUUCCUUGUCCAAGAAGACCAAGCCUCCUCUUAGUCCGUUCAACCUAUAUGAAAUGACCAAAUUGCCUUGACCAUAUAAUCCAUUUCAACUUCUACUGUUCACAUUUUUGUUGUAAACUAGACGUAGAUGGGUCAUGGGUAAGGCGGCUUUUUGUCAAAAUAAUCAAAAUAAUACAUUUGGAAAUUCAUUAAAUAUAAGCAACUUAUUAAUUAUAUAUGCUGUAAUUUUUAUCCGUUUUAAUUUUGAUUUUAACAUGUUAGUUUAUUACCAUGUUAAAAUUAUUGUAUUUCAUCUAAUGAAGUUUCUCUUGAUAAAAAAAAAAUUGUUUAUGUUAAUUUCGUUCAAGAAUGUAUGGGUACUAGAAAGUUAAACUUAUUCAAUCAAAUGAUUAAUCAUUGUCUUUGGACUAAAAGUAAAAGUCAUGCUAUAUGCUUGACAUUUUACCAAGAUGAUGAUGACCACCUACUAUUUCAUAGAGUGGGAAAUUGUGGAGAGAUUGUACUUUCCCUUAAUGGAAAGCAUGUAAAUUUGGAUUCCACUUAGUCCAAAAAUGAAAAUUUUUUUUAUAGCUAAAACCUAAAUUUACUUAGAUUGUAUAGGUAUUCUUCAAAUUUUGUUUACCUAAGAAUAUUUCUCUUUUGGGAAUUCAUAGUAUAACACCCUUCAAGGUUCUAAAUUAAUUGUUAGUUUUUAUGAGUAUACCAUUCCCCGUGCUUUAAGAGCCAUGCAUAUGUUUCAAAAAUGGAAAUAAAAUAUAAAGAAUUUCAAAUUCCAUUUAUUUUUUAUAUUUUCUUUACCAAAAAGCAAUAUAAUUUACUCUUCAUUUCCUAAAAGUCGAUGAAAGGGCUCUUUAGUUUUAACCUAUAAAAAACUUAACUAAUUUGGAAGAAAGAUAAUUAAUUUUGCUUAAUUAAUAUAAAACCAAAGCCACUUAAUUUUACCAAAAGGACAUCCAACAACCCUAAAAUUACUACAUGUGUCAUUGUGCUUAACUGUCAAAUACAGUUUAUUUAAUUAUAAACCAAAACUUAAAACUGUCAAAACGACAUAACAUUCCUACAAAACACAACACAAAACGACACUACUCAAAUUUAAUCACUUCAAAAACUGGUUUCGCUCGACCUUUCAUAUCCCACUGCAAACCUACAAACUAUUCUCCAAAAACGAAGCCGAUGAGCAGCAACGGGGACGACCAGAAAUGAAGACGACGAGCAACGGCGACGACGACCAACGACGACGACCAACGACCACCGACGACGAGCAACGACCACCGACGACGACCGAAGCUAAACCGUAAGAAAAUGAAUCAGUACUCUCUUCGAUUUUAAGUUUUACACCGAUGACGGUUUCAGUACUGUUUCUUCCUUUUGGUUUCUGGUUGUUUGUAGCAGAUUUUGACCUCUGGUUCCAUAAUUCAAUUUCAGAGUGCUUUUUGCUAGGGUUUAUGGGAAUGUUAUAACUGCUCAUGAAGUUAAAUGUGUUUUGAUAUUCGUUUUUGCUACUGUUUUUGCCUUUUGGUUUCUGGUUGUUUAUCUUCGAUUGAGUUUCUGGUUGUUUGUAGCAGAUUUUGACCAGAAACUUUUGGUUUCUGGUUGUUUAUCUUCGAUUGAGUUUCUGGUUGUUUGUAGCAGAUUUUGACCAGAAACUGCAGUUUCUGGUUCCAUAAUUCAAUUUCAGAGUGCUUUUUGCUAGGGUUUAUGGGAAUGUUAUAACUGCUCAUGAAGUUAAAUGUGUUUUGAUAUUUGUUUUAGUACUUUGCCUUUUGGUUUCUGGUUGUUUGUAGCAGAUUUUGACCAGAAACUGCAAUGCAGUUUCUGGUUCCAUAAUUCAAUUUCAGAGUGCUUUUUACUAGGGUUUAUGGGAAUGUUAUAACUGCUCAUGAAGUUAAAUGUGUUUUGGUAUUAGUUUCAGUACUGUUUUUGCCUUUUGGUUUCUUUUCACAUCAAAUUUUGAGCAGCAGUUUCUGGUUGUUUGUUGCAGAUUUUGACCACAAACUGCAGUGCAUAUCACAAAAUGGAACAAGAAAUGUCACCACAAAAGAAUGAAGCUGAAAACCAACCAAAGCGCAGAAUCAAAACGAUGGCUCAAAAGAGUAAACAAAAGCCAAAGCCAAACUAUGAUCGGAAAGCAAAGCACCCGGACUAUGUCCAAUUUCGGUGCAAUGCAUAUGCUUUCAACAGCAUCAUUAGAGACAUAAAGGACAAGCUCAAUGAAAGGCAGAAGAAGCAUCUCAAGAAAACCCCUUUCAAAAAGCGUGGACAAGAAAUUCAUGAAUGAAUAUCGAGCAAAAUAUGUCACAAAACUCCUACACCACAAAAACUGUGUAAUUAAUCGUCUCUAGUGAUUUGCCUUUCGUUAACUCAAGACAAUAUGUAUCUUAAUUCUUGUGGAUGUUUGUAAAUAUUUCUAGUUAUGGUAUAUGAGAACAUAUUUCCUAUACAUAUAAACUGUAAUAUAAUCUUGGAACAGGAUGCAACAAAACGAAAAGGAAACAAACAAACUGCACUGAAUUUUCUGGUCAAAAAUACUGCAACAAAUUAAAACUGCAGUGCAGUUUAUAUAAAUAAAUAAAAAUAAAAAAUCAGCUCAAAAAAUGUGAAAAGAACCCAAACGCCAAAGCCAUAAUCAAAGUACUAAAACUUUGUUCAAAACACAUUUAAGUAGGUCAGCAUUGAAAUGUAGUUUCUGCUCAUAAUCUGCAACAAAUAAACAGAAACUGCACUGCAGUUUUUGCAACAAAAUCUGAAAUAAACAGAAACUGCAGCAGUUUCUGCAACAAAUAAACAGCAAUGCAGUUUCUGCAACAAAAUCUGCUCAAAAUCUGAAAACAAGCAUUGAAUGGCAAUCGAAAACGAAUAUCCACUCAUUAAACAAUUAGAAGCUGUGUAGCCAAUUAUAAGCAACUAAAACUGCAAUACAGUUUUUGCAAAAAGUGCAACGCAGAAACUGACUAUACAUUCGCUAAACCAUAUCUAAAAUAAAAAAUUGUCAAAUGAGAAGGCGUGUUCAUAUAAUAGCCUUGCAAGUCUUCCUAUUGUGCCCAGCAACACUGCACCGACUGCAUUUCAAUGGCCUUUUAAAUUCACCAAAAACUUUGAUCCUCUUUGUUGGUGGUCUUCCGGCUGGCCUCUUUGUAAUUGGCGGAAGCACAACUCCAGCUGCAGAACCAUUGCUGCCCAAUCCUUUCCCAAUAUCUGGCCAAAUCAUUUAUAAAUGUGAAUUAAAGCCAAAUCAUUUCACCCCACACCAAAGACAAGGCUGGCCAAACGAAUUGUUAGAUCCAUAUAGUCUUAAUAAAUCAAUAGAUACAGAAACUUCGCUUGAGAAGAAUCUGAUAUAGAAAAUUGAAAUAACGGAUCUAUUGUUAGAUCCAUAUAGGUUGGCCUAAUAGAUCUACAAAAUUGAAAUAAGAAUCUGAUCUAGAAAACACAUACCUCACCAGAUGAAAAACAGAGCUUUGCGUGAAAAGAAGGAAGAUGAGAGAGACGGUGUUGUUGUUGAUGGAGACUAAUAAGGAAGAGGAGAGAGAGCGAGUGUCAUCGUCGUUGAUUGAGCGAAGAAGGAAGAGGAGAAAGAGAGGGCGUCGUAUCGUCAAUGGAGAGAAGAGGGAGUCGUCAUCGCUGGAGUGAAUAAGGAAGAGGAGAGAGAGAAAGGUGCUUAAAUCUGAUUUUAAAACAAAAGGGUAAAAUUGUAUUUUACCUUUAUAAUUUAGACAGGCCCAACGAAUCUGGCCCUCCUCUUUAGCCUAAUCCAAAAUAACAAUUCUUUUCUAGGUAUUAAAACCCAAACAAAAAUGCCCAAUGUCUCAAAUACUAAUUAGUAAAGUUAAUUAUGUCUAUUACCUAAUUUUUCUUAUCUAAUUUUGUUUUUAAUAUAAAAAAUGUGAAUUUACCAUAUUAUCUUUAUUUAAUUAAUAAUUUUAAUUCUUAAUGUUUGAAUUAACCAAGGGUAUUUUCUGCUAUUUUGAAUGUUUCACCAUUCUCUGCCUUUUGCUUUAUAUAUAUAUAUAUAUAUUAUAUGAAUUUUUUUAAUUAGUAUGAAACAUAUUAGCUUCUAAAUUAAAUUGUGUAUGCGAAAAACCAAAAAUAUAAGCAUGUGUCGGCAUCAUCAUGAAAAGAGAGACAGAUAUACUAUAAGGAUUCGUUUGGUACACCGUAUUAGACUCUUGAUAGGAGUAUAUAGUACAUGUCAACUGUUUGGUGUCAACUUGUAUUAUUUAAUUACCCGACUAUUUUAAACAAAUUGGGCUUUUAAUACUCUCUUUACCGGACUAACUAAUACAACUCACACACUCCGGUUUAGAACUUAUAUAUUGAUAUGCGAAUAGGACUUAUAUUGAUAUGCGUAUUAUGAUAAGCUUAUGAAUUUUGCCUUCGAAACUCAUAAGCUUAUAGUUCGAAACAAUUACUUAAUGAUAUUUUCUUCUAAAAUUCAAAAAAAUAAGUAUGACAUGGGAUCAUUUUCAUAGGACUUGAAAUUUGCAAAUUACCAGCUAUUCCAAAAAAAAUUAGGGAGGUUAUUGGGGAUAUAGGAUGGAGGACUACCUUCAUUUUGAAAAUAUUUUUUGUGGGAAACACUACAUCAUAAACGAAUGGUUCCAUUAUUAAUGACAUCGAGGCCUUUUGUAUAAAAAUCUCACACUUGCAGAAUAUGCAUGUGGUUAAGUUGGGGACAGUAUCAAUGUUGCUAGUAAUAGGUCGUGGGUCCAUCCCUCUAAAAUUUAACAUGAUUUCAGAGUGGGCCGGUCGACUGGGUCCGCAUGAACCCGAAUCAAACAAAACCACGAAUGUCCCUGAAUUGAAGAAAAUAAAAGUUACCAAUAUGUUAAGAUUUCAAAAGGAUGGGCCCAUGACCCAUUACUAGCAACAUCGAUAUUGUCCCCAACUUAACCACAUGCAUAUUCGACAGGUGUGAGAUUUUUAUACUAAAGGCCUCGAUGUCAUUAGUAAUGAAACCAUUUAUCAUAUGUUGUAUUUUAUUUUCUCUACUUUUCAAUGUCGAAACACCACAUAGUGAGACACAAGUGGAGCCAAGUUCACAUCGGAUUCAAUCAUUCAAGCCCAACACGUGAGCGCUAAAUAUUGAAUAAGGAUAAGGGUAAGGGUCGAGUAAUUCAGACCCAAUCAAUCAGCUCGCUCUGAUACCAUGUUAAUUUUAAAAGAGACAGGUCAGCAGCCCCUUACUAGCAACACCGAUAUUGUCCCAAAUUUAACCACCUACAUAGCCCAGUGGGCGUACGGUUUUCUCACAAAAAGCCUAGGUGUCAUUAGUAGUGGAACGAUUCAUUAUAUGUUGUAUUUUAUUUUGUCAAGUUUUCGUUGUAGGAAUUCAUAUUUUUCAACAAGAAGUGUGUUUGUUUAACAAUCAAAGUGCUUCUUGGAAAAGAAAUUAUAAGUAUUUGGUGUUUCUCCAAAAAGUACUUCCAAGUAACCCAAAAACAAUUUUCAAUUUUUUGGUCAAACGAUACGAGAAACGCUUUUGGUUAGUAACUCAUAAAUGCAAUUUUGUGUGUGUAAUUUUCUUUGUAAAAAACUUGUGUUUGGUUUGUGCAAACAAAUUCAUGGGACAUAAGUUCCCAUGUCUUUUCAAAUGGAUGAGAAAUAGAUAUCUAUUUCUCAUGUUUGAUAAUGUUGGGAAAGCAACCAUGAAAUCUUUUUUUUUUUUUUUUCAUGUUUGUUUUGUGUAGGAAUUGGUAAUAAAAUUUGUUUAAUUUUCAAUUAUACCCCUAAGUUAGAAAAACGUAAUUAAUCAUUUUCUUGAUUUGUUUAAUUUUAUAUGGGCAAAUUGGUCAUAAAUAAUGUAAUUAAUGAUUGACUUGAUUUCUCAUGGGAAAGGAAAAUGAAACCCAAGCUGGAUAUGAAGGGUUUCAUUUUACAUUUUCCCAAACCUAGACUCACAAAACAUAGAAAAGGAAAUUAUUUCUCAUUUCCAAACCCGUUUUCCCGCUAACUAAAGGCCUAAGAGGUGCAACGUUUUCAAAGAGUGUUGCGUCUUUUAUGUUCAAUAAAAUUUAUCACCGUUGUACAAAAAAAGAAGAAGAAGAACUAGUUUAGCAUGCAAUAAAACUAUCUUUGAAAAAUCCAAUUUUUUUGCAGUGCGGUUGCUUUGCGCUCUCCCAGUUUGUUGUAUGUCCUUGCUACUGAGUUGUAUACAUUGAAAUUUGGGAUUUCCUUUGCAAUUGAUGCCUUCUUCUUCCCCUUGAUUAUUGAGACUAACUCUUUAUCUGCAACCCAAUUGAUUCUUAAGGAUGAGGUAUGUUAUGGGCGGAAGGGGUCUUUGUGGAGGACAUUGGUUGCCUCUUGGCUUUAGUGUCGUCAUGUUCUGUUCGCUAUGUUCCCCGAACUGCUAAUGGUGUUGAUGAUGGCAUUGCGCGUUUUAGUCUUAGUCAAGAGGAUCUAUCUUUUUAGUUUGAUGAGCCACCCCUUUGGUUGCAGGACUGUCUUUGUAAGGACUCUUCUGAUAGUUCCAGUGAUGUUUUGACUCUUAAGUAGUCUAUGGAGUGUGUGACACGCUUUCUUCCUCUGCAGUUUUAAUCCUUACUAGUUUGCUGCAUGAUUAGUUUGGUCUCCUUAGCCAAUUUGAGAAUUAUAUAUGUGCUGUGGUGAAAAUGUGCAGGGCAUUUUAGUAAUCAAAUUAAUUUGGAUUUUGAUUCAUGAAAAUUAGUAAACAAUAACAAUAGGAAUCAACCCCAUUCCUUUGCUAAUUCCAUAUGUUUAGUAAACAGUUUAAUGAGAAUGAUUCUUCCAAUACCGAUUCAGUAGUUCUCCGAUUCCUAAAUUCUCCGAUUCCUUACUUUCUCCAUUACUGAUACGUAAACAUGCCCUGAGAGGGAUUCAACCCCUAAUUCAUAUUUUGACAAUUAAAAAUCCCAAAUACAUAUUUUUUUUUCGGACCUUUCUUGUUGAGAGGGUGAUAACAUAUUAAACUCACACUCACUGCAUGAAUGUAGGACUUGAACACAGGACCUUUCCUAGAGAAGUAAUUGCUCAAAACCACUACACUAGUGAGUCCUUUGAACCCCUAAUUCAUCUUAAUUAUAACAUAAUAUUUCAACUUUUUUUCAUCACCACAUACUCCCAUUACUUUAAUGGGGGAUAGUUUUGAAAUGCACAUAACUCUUUUUUAUUUAUUUAUUAUUAUUACAUUUUGUUUUGGGGGAUUAUCACUACUUUAAGUAAGAAAACAAAAGUGUGAUAAUAUAUAUAUAUAUAUAUAUUUCCAAAACAGAAGUGGGAUCUAUUUGUCUUAUGGCAUGAAGGCAAUGACAUGGUUGGGCAUGUGCCAUGAGACGCAACACAAUUGGGGAAUGUGCACUAACUUGUUGAUGACGCAUUAAGAGAACGGCGUCAUUCUAUAGUUUGUUGUACAUGAUCUUGACACAUGGCAUCAUCUUGUGCGUUAGGCGGUUUAAACCGAUUGAGAGAUCAACGCUUAAGAUCAUUUUUGAAACUUUUAUAAUCGCACAAGUUUGGAUGGAAAGACAAAGGGUUUGUUUGUGCAAAUUUCUCACGGGAGAAUAUUUGUAAGAGAUUCUUUGCCCUUCGAGCUUCCUUCUCUCUCUUCUUCCUCGAUUCCUACAAAAAAGACUGAAGUAAAUAAACCACACCAGGUGGGUGUUGGCCAAAGGACCUUCGAUACCUAAGUCAAUCAAAUGAUCUUGAGAAAAAUGCGGAGGUAAGAGAAAGUUCGGAGUUUUCUCUAUAGUACGAGAGAACAUGGCAGCCGGAGUAGUGUGUGGUGAUGGCCGGAGCCGUGUGGGAGAGAGAGAGAGAGAGAGAGAGAGAGAGAGAGAGAGAGAGAGAGAGAGAGAGAGGGAUUCGACUAGGGUUUUGAGUAUGAGUUUAGAAUUACCUCAUGUGUGUUGUGUAGCCAUGUACAUAUAGACUCCUUGUUUGGCUAUGGUUAGGAGAAUAAUCCUUAUUUAAUUAGGAUUAUUCUUGCCCAAAAAGAUUAUAUGAAUUAAUCAAAGAGGUUUGCUGAAAAUUGGUUCCUUGAUUUAAGGAGAUAUUCCUAUCUUAAAUCAAAGAUAAUUCCCUAAUUAAAGAUUUAAUUAGGUUAAUUAUUUGAACUAAGGAAUAUCCUUUUUUCACGUGUCACCUUCUUAUUGGUCGCCGAAAUAUUUGCUCCCACAGAGUUCGAGCGUUAUUUAUUUAUUAAGAUCCUGCAACGUCGUUGAAUCAUGACCAUCCAUCUCUUUCUUCUUGCAAUGAUUUGGACCAUCUAAUUGAACAAACAACAUGGGAUAUAUGGUUGUUUUGCAUUUCAUUUUUGGUGACAUUAUGCGAAUUAAUUUGAAUCCUAGUCAUUUAAUUCUAGCCGUUGUAUUAAUUUGAAUCCUUUUAAUUAGUAAAUCAUUCUAGAUUUAACUAACAAAUAAUUUAAACAUGGGACAUCUUUCAACUUUAAAAAUAAAGGUAUCAUUAGAUCAAAAUUGUUAUAUUGAGGUUAGUUGUAUGAAGUUUCUAGGCUUCCGCCAUAUGUGUUGGCGUGACUUGUGGAUAUGGACUUACUUUCCUUACACACCAAGAAUUCCUAUUAUAAUUGUAAUUGAUUUACUUUAAUUCUUGAUUUCCUACUGUAAAUGGAUUUAGGAAUUUAUUAUUUACUUGCCCAUUCAGGUUUUGUUGUAUUAUAAAUAUGACCUCCUACAAGGAGAAGAAUACACAGAAAAUUCCCACAAACAAAUAUUCUCUCAUAGUUUUCAUAUUUUAGCAUGAUAUCAGAGCGGCGAUCUUGGGAUUGCUGACUCUAGUUUCUAAACCCUAGUCGCCACCAUGGGGGAGGAUGACUCUUCUAAUCCCCAUGGCGGUAGCACCACUGCUUCCUCCUCUCCUUCUCAACCAACCAUAGCCGAGUUGAGUGCUCAGGUGGCUCAACUAAUGCAGAUGCAGACUCAGACCUCAACAUUGAUCCUAAAUCAGGAUCCUACCAAGACGACCCCGACCUUGACUGAGACGACGACCCCGACCUCGAAUCAGACGACGACCUUGAACCCGAAUCAGACAACGAUUCCAACGACAAUUACCUAUGAAGCUUCCGCUGCACAGAUUGGCAUAAAGUUGGAUGGCACCAACUAUGCCCUAUGGUCCCAAGUUGUAGAGUUGUAUAUCUCCGGCAAAGACAAAUUGGGAUAUAUUAAUGGCGAUCUUCCGCAACCUCCUUCGACUGCUCCAACGUUUCCUCGCUGGCGCACCGAGAACUCUAUUGUGAAGGGAUGGCUUAUCAAUUCUCUGGAGCAGAGCUUGAUUGGCAAUUUCAUUCGAUUUUCAACGGCAAAAGCAGUGUGGGAUGCAAUUGCCACAACUUACUAUGAUGGCAUUGACACUUCUCAGGUUUAUGAUCUGAAACGACGAGUCUCUUGUAUGCGACAAGCUGGUGGCUCCAUUGAAACCUAUUACAAUACUCUCCAAAGCUUAUGGAGAGAAAUUGAUUUUCGUCGUCCAAAUAUGAUGGAGUAUGAAAGUGAUAUCAAGCGCUAUAAUGAUAUUCUGCAGGAAGAUCGAGUUUACAUAUUUUUGGAUGGCCUUGAUGAUCGUCUUGAUAAGGCCCGAAGUGAUAUUCUUCACAUGACUCCAUUCCCUACUGUUGACCAAGCUUAUGCCUAUGUUCGCCGUGAAGAUGUUCGACAAGCAGUGAUGAUGGGUUCAUCCGAUCGAGCCACUGGUGCUGGCUUAGCGGCCAAGAGUGCGCCUCGAUCAGGUCCCCCUACUCGUGUCGCACAGCCCCAUAAUUCCUCUACUGCAGCCCACCUUCAGAUCCCGUCAUAUGCUACUGCUGCUGGUGCGCCACUUCCUAAAACCAUCCCACCUUCCCGUCCCAAGGCUCCGACUGAUGGAAGUGGUUGCACGCACUGUGGCAACCUCAAACAUACCCGUGACACCUGUUUUAAGCUAAAUGGUUAUCCUGAUUGGUGGGAGGACCUCCGCGCUCGCAAGCUCAGAGAAACUGCUAGUAAUUUUGGCAUUGCUACUCUUGUCUCUACCGAACCCCCAUUAGCCUUGUUCCCGCAGGUAGAUCCUCCUGAUAGUCCCGCGCUUUCGGAUGUCUCAGGUAACCUUGGUUAUGCAUAUCAUACUUAUGAUCUACGAGAUACUACUGGUUGGAUAAUUGAUUCUGGCGCCACUGAUCAUAUGACCUUUGAUCCGAAUGAUUUUUUGCACACCACUACACCCCGCCGCACAAGUAUUGCCAAUGCAAAUGGAGUUACCUAUCCUGUGACAGGGGCCGGCACUGUUGCCCUUUCACCUUCUCUGUCCCUUUCUAAUACUCUACUCGUUCCAUCUUUGUCCAAUAAAUUAAUGUCUGUGAGUCAGGCAACUGAACAACUAACUUGUUGUGCACUAAUUUAUCUCAAUUUUUGUUUACUACAGGAUAUUCUCACCAAGAGAUCAUUGGGGCGUGGUACUAAAAGAGGGGGGGGCUGUACUAUGUGGAUGACUUCAGUNNNNNNNNNNNNNNNNNNNNNNNNNNNNNNNNNNNNNNNNNNNNNNNNNNNNNNNNNNNNNNNNNNNNNNNNNNNNNNNNNNNNNNNNNNNNNNNNNNNNNNNNNNNNNNNNNNNNNNNNNNNNNNNNNNNNNNNNNNNNNNNNNNNNNNNNNNNNNNNNNNNNNNNNNNNNNNNNNNNNNNNNNNNNNNNNNNNNNNNNNNNNNNNNNNNNNNNNNNNNNNNNNNNNNNNNNNNNNNNNNNNNNNNNNNNNNNNNNNNNNNNNNNNNNNNNNNNNNNNNNNNNNNNNNNNNNNNNNNNNNNNNNNNNNNNNNNNNNNNNNNNNNGGCUUUAUUUGAUGAAAAAUAAGAAUGAGUAUUUCCGUGUCCAUCUUUCACAACAGAUGAAACACAGUUCCAUGCUCGAUCAGAUUCUUCGCUCUGACAACGGUGGAGAAUUUGUUAAUCAUGAUUUUCAGACUUACUUCCAGACACAUGGCAUUAUUCAUGAGACAACUUGCCCCCAGACCACCCCAACAAAAUGGUGUUGCCGAACGGGAAGAAUCGUCAUCUCCUUGAAACAGCCCGUGCUCUUCUCAUUGGUGGCCAUGUUCCUCGUCAUCACUGGGAUGAUGCUGUCGUCACUGCUGUCCACCUUACAACCGCAUGCCCUCUGGGGUCUUGAACUUCAAAACUCCAUUACAAGUGCUCGCGCAACAUGGGCCUCUGCCCUCUGUUUUGGUGCUUACCCCUCGCAUUUUUGGCUGUGUGGCCUUCGUUCAUCUCCACAAAAAUCAACGAAGCAAACUUGAUCCAUGUGCGCUUCGUUGUGUUUUUUUGGGUUAUGCCACUCAUCAGAAAGGCUACCGAUGUUAUCACCCUCCUACCCGGCGAACCUAUGUCACUUUGGAUGUCACCUUUCUAGAAUCAGAUAUGUUCUUCUAUGACCCAGCAUCCAAUUGUACUCUUCAGGGGGAGAUACCGAGUGAAGAGCUCAAUUGGAGCAGCUUGGAACAUGAGGAUAUUCAUCUAUGCACGAAGAUUGCUCUCGGCCAAGAAACAAUAACAAUCAAUCGUCCCGAGUCUGGCACGUGCGAAUGCUCUCUGCCAAACAACGAUCGAUCGCCUAACCCUUGCGAAGAUGUUUUUGAUGCGAGUCAUACUCUUACAGAUAACUCAGAACAACAAGAUGAAGACCCCCCCUCUCAUUCAACAGUACCAACGAACCAAUCUCCUGAGAAUAUCUUUGAGGUAAAUACUCCUACUAGACUUGUGCAUUUAGAGGAUAAAACUAUUGGAUAUCAAUUACCUUUCAGACAAAAUCGUGGGAAGCCACCAAACCGUUAUUCACCUGAUAUUGGCAAGACAUCCAAGUAUCCAAUUGCAAAUCAUGUAUCCACUGAGAAGCUGUCUGAACCACUCAAGGCUUUUGUGCAUCAUGUGUCUGCUAUCCAUAUUCCAACCAAGGUCUCUGAAGCAUUGAAAGAUCCUAAGUGGGUCCAAGCUAUAAAAGAGGAGAUGAAAGCUCUUGAGAAAAAUCAGACUUGGACAUUGGAGACUAUACCACGAGGAAAAAAGACUAUCGGAUGUAGAUGGGUGUUCACUAUAAAACAUAAUGCAGAUGGAUCUAUCGAGCGAUACAAGGCAAGACUUGUGGCAAAAGGGUACACACAGACCUAUGGUAUAAACUAUGAAGAAACUUUUGCACCAGUUGCAAAGUUAAACACCGUCAGAGUCUUAUUGUCCUUUGCAGCUAAUUUGGAUUGGCCACUACACCAGUUUGAUGUAAAGAAUGCUUUUCUACAUGGCGAACUCACGGAGGAGGUGUACAUGGACAUUCCUCCUGGAUAUAAUACUACAUAGACUGGAACAGUUUGCAGGUUAGGAAAAGCAUUGUAUGGAUUGAAACAGUCACCACGUGCAUGGUUUGGACGGUUCACCAUGGCAAUGAAGAACAAUGGUUUCAAACAGUGCAACUCAGAUCAUACUCUGUUCUUGAAACAUCGAAAAGGGAAGGUAACAGCAUUAAUAAUCUAUGUUGAUGAUAUGAUUAUUACUGGGAAUGAUAAACAGGAAAUAUCACAGCUACAAGACUAUUUGACUACUGAGUUUGAGAUGAAGGAUCUAGGUGGACUCAAGUAUUUCUUGGGAAUUGAGGUGGCUCGAUCGCAGCAAGGCAUAUUUCUCUCUCAAAGGAAAUAUGUCUUGGACUUGUUGACGGACAUAGGAAUGCUAGAUUGCAAACCUGCGGACACUCCUAUUGUUCAGAAUCAUCAUCUUGGAGAAUAUCCGGAUCAAGUUCCAACUAACAAAGAAAGAUACCAAAGGUUAGUGGGAAGAUUGAUCUAUUUGUCACAUACUCGACCAAACAUUGCUUAUGCAGUGAGUGUUGUCAGUCAAUUUAUGCACUCUCCAAGUGAAGACCACAUGAAUGCAGUUCUUCGGAUACUUAGAUAUUUGAAGUCUGCACCUGGAAAAGGACUUAUGUUCUCAAAGCAUGGUCAUCUAAAUAUUGAUGGUUAUUCAGAUGCAGAUUGGGCAGGUAAUGUAACAGAUAGAAAAUUCACAUCGGGUUACUUCACAUUCGUGCGAGGUAAUUUGGUGACAUGGAGGAGUAAGAAACAGAAUGUAGUAGCUUUAUCCAGUGCAGAAGCCGAGUUCAGAGGCAUGACUAAAGGGAUUUGUGAACUUCUUUGGUUAAGAAAGCUGCUUACUGAACUUGGGUAUAAACCUACAUCCACAAUGAAUCUCUUUUGUGACAACAAGGCUGCUAUAGCCAUUGCACAAAAUCCGGUUCAACAUGAUCGUACUAAACAUGUUGAGGUGGAUCGACACUUCAUCAAGCAGAAGUUUGAGGCUAAAGUGUUUCAGUUUCCUUUUGUGAAAUCCGAGGAUCAAUUUGCGGAUAUUUUGACAAGGGCAAUUUCCAGUAAAGCAUUCCACAAUUCACUGGAUUAGUUGGGCAUUGGCGACAUCUAUGCACCAACGUGAGGGGGAGUGUUGGCGUGACUUGUGGAUAUUGACUUACUUUCCUUACACACCAAGAAUUCCUAUUAUAAUUGUAAUUGAUUUACUUUAACUCUUGAUUUCCUACUGUAAAUAGAUUUAGGAAUUUAUUAUUUACUUGCCCAUUCAGGUUUUGUUGUAUUAUAAAUAUGACCUCCUAUAAGGAGAAGAAUACACAGAAAAUUCCCACAAACAAAUAUUCUCUCAUAAUUUUCAUAUUUUAGCAAUAUGUACUCUCUAUAUGUUUCAAGUAUUUCUAGGUUACUUGUAACCGAAAAUAUAAUCACAUUAAAUCUCUCUAGCCUUAUGUUUCACUUUUUCCUUUGUUACAACGGGAAUCAAAUCUAAGACUACCCUUUCACCUCACACCCUCCUUCCUCGCUUGACCCUAAACUCAUGGAGCUGCACUCUCUCUACUUACGUUCAUUAAAUUUUGAGGACCCUUGUUAUUUAUAUCUCCAAGUAUAUAAAUAAGGCUUAAAUAUGUUACUUAAUUUCUAAUAUUUGUUAUCAAAGUCAAAACAAUGAUCUAAUAGAGUCCACUCAUUUGAAGCAUGAGAUCAUAUAUUCUAGUAUGAAAAGUUUAGCUCACGUUUUUGACAAUUGAAAUGUAUUAAACUUAAAUUGUGUUGUACCCAUACGUACGUGGCACCAAAUGUUUUAACAUAUAAAGGACUACAUGCAGCAUGUUAGAUCACCUAUAUAUGUAAAGCUGGACAUUUCCACUGAUGAACCGGCCAAACUGGCAGAAUCGGAUUGGUUGGGUUGGUUCGGUCUAAUUUUUAUUUUUUGUAAAUUCAUGUUAUGAACGGAACUGAACCGAUCAUAGCAUUUUUUUAUUUUGCUGAUUUUUUGAAUUGUGAAGUUCUCAAGAUGGGGACUAUAUGUUAUAUAAGCAUAUAGGCUUUGAAUAUUUGCUUCUUAUUAUGUAGACUAUCAUUAUCAAGGAAGUUGUAGGGUUUUUGGUAUAUGUAUAGGUAAAUAGAGAGGGGCAAGGAAAAACACACACACACAAAAAAAAAACCCCUUUGACCUAAAGCAUAAGGGUUUGAAUACCUCUUCAUUUAAUUAUAUAUUUGUUUUGUUCUUGCCGGAACCCCACUCUAACCCUAAUUCCUAAUCUUUAAUUUCUUUUGGCCAUGGUUCAACCCUACCUCUCGAAACAGACAACUUGAUGAAUGAUGACGUAUAUAAAAAUAAAAAAGAAAAAUACAAAAAACUUAUGGAUUAGGUGGAUCAUAUCACGUCGACGAAUUAGUAAACAAUUAAUAAUUAUAAUUGUGAUUGUGAUGUGUUCUUAAUAAUUAAGGCCAUCAAUUGAAGUAGCUAGGGUUUCUACCAAAUCCUUUUCAUUGGCUGAGUCGACAUUUCCAACCUGAAAAUGACAUUAAAAUGCCAAAUAAACCCCAAUUUCAUUAAAAACAUGUGUGCCAACACUUGAAGCAUUCAUGAUCAACAUUUUGACAUGACACAUAUGCCAUUGACUCUCAUUGUUUAUAGCAAUUAAUCUGUGAGUUUAAUUGUAAUGAAAUCCUCAAGUUGACAAAUGUGAACCGGCACGUACGAGUUUAUAGUUGAGGAACUUAAGGCAUGCAUUAUGAAAAUAAUUAAGUAAUCUACCAAGAAAUCUAGCUAUAUAUUUUAUUGGUUGACGUGUGAUUUUUUUUUUUUAUAACAGUUGCUAAUUUACUAGUUAAUUACGAACCGGGUAAUAAUUAGUAUUUGGAGUUAAUUAUUGACCUAGUUGCAAUAAUUCACCUGCAUUUGAAUGGUCAAUAUAUAGUACUAGUUAAUUAUAUGGAUUAAGAAAAAAAAAUUAUAUUAGUCCAUCUCCCUUUAACUACCAUAUUCCACUCCACUACUACUGGUUUUGUUAUGUUAUCUUGAGACCUCUCCUUUGUCAGUUUACUUACUACCAUAUAUUUCCAAAAUUUUAAGUUUUUUAUUCUAAUGAGAAGCAACUCUGCAAUAUAAUGAGGGCUACUACAAUAAACUUGGCAAAAUUACACUUUUCUUCUCUAUAGUUUGAAUAAUUGGGUCGAGUGAAAAAGGAUACUAACUUGCAGACUAGUUGCCUCAAGUUCGAACCUUUAUAGCACCUUGGUAGUGUGUGUGUGUAUGUGAGAAACUCUCUCCCGUUAUAGUUUAGACUAUCACCUAUAUUAAAAAAAACAUUGUAGGUUCUAUAUCUAAACGACACAUUAAAUUUAACAAAAUCUACCGUACCAAUUAUGGUCAAGAGAUUUAGCGACACAAGAUUUUAAACUGUUGUACUAACAAGACAACAUUUCUCAAUUAUAUAUUUAUCUAGGUUCCACAAUUAUAUAUCUGUUUAAUUAAUUGCUCUUUUGAGAAUAUGCUCGCGUAUUUAUUUACCAAGAUAAUGAUAAUUGACACGGAAAAAAUUAAUGAUUGAGAAAUAUGAUCAAAUUCAAUGAAUCGAGCUAUAUAUUAUUUUGAAAGAAAAAAAAUCCUAUAUAUCUAUGCACUCCAUGAAGAAUAGGAAUACAUAUUUGGUUGACUUUUUUUAAUUAGAAAUGUGUAUAGGUCAACUACGCACAUCUUGUUAGUUGGGUUUGUGUCCUACAAACACCAUUACAACAAACAAAACAAAAACAAACAAAAAACCUUUUCAUUAUAAAUGGUCCUCAAAGUUUGCGAAAUUAUCGUCUUUCGUCCCUAAUCUUUAUUGUGACAUUAAUGGUCCUUAAGGUUACCCUCCACACAUCAAAAUGGUCUUUGUCAUUAGCUUCCAUCAAAUUUUCUAUUAAAUUACUGUCGUGGCACAUGUGUGGAACCCAGACAUCUAAUGGUAUAUAGCCACGUGACUUUAAAUAAAAUAUAAAAUAUUUUAAAACUUAAAUCCAUAAAUAAAUAAAGAUAAAAAGACAUGCACCAUCCCUCUAUGUUCUCCCUCUACGAGCGGAAGAGGAGGGAGAGAGAGGCAAAGAGUGGGUCUGCGAGGGGGGGAGACGUUGACAGAGGGAGAACGCAAAGGGAACGGUGCAUGUAUUCUAGUUUUUGUUUUUUUGGAUUUUAAGUUUUAAAAUAUUUAAAAUAUAUUUUAUUUUAUUUAAAGUCAUGUGGCUGUAUACCAUUGGAUGUGUGGACUCCACACAUGUGCCACAUCAUCAAUUUAACAGAAAAUUUGAUUGAAGCUAACAAUAUGGAUUAUUUUGAUGUGUGGAGGGAACCUUAGGGACCAUUAGUGCCACAAAAAAAACGUUAAGGACAAAAAGUGAUAAUUUUGCAAACCUCAUAAAUCAUUUAUAAUAAAAAUCUAUAAAAUAAAAAAAAAUUAUGUUGGGAAAUUAAUGAGCCAUCAGAUUGUGUUAGAAAAUAUAAAUGUGGAAGUUGGACAUAUUCAGCAGAGAUGCAAAUGUAGUUGUUUAUCAAUAUCAUGUAUAACUAAUCAAAGGGUAUGGUGGCCGAAUGUUGUUGCCCUCGAAUAGGGAAUGUUCCUUAAUGGAGCAAUUAAUUAUUCAAAUCAUUUGAAACCAACUUUUCUUCAAAAAAAACUUUACAAUAAACAAAGUCAAAUAGCAAUAUGCGUCUUUCUUUUAUGAAAAUCAAAUUGCAUUGUUUAUAUUUGAUCAGAUUCAUGUAUGUGUUACACUUUUGGGGUACAUUAAGUUGGGUUUUCCAACUAUUUAAAGUAUUAGAUUCUACCAAGUUUAAUCAAGUGUGCCUAAUUAAUAUAUGCAGUAACCAAUCAUAACGGGUCUUCUGUUGUGUUGUUGAUGUCAUCUAUCAGACUAUCACUCUUGGCCAUGGGUAGUUUCAAUUAGAUGAGCCUUUUUUUUUUUCCCUCAUCUCCUAUAGGAGUUAGUUGAUUAUCCAUUUUAUUCGAAAUUUACUACGCAUUGUGAUGUUGACGCUAAGAAAAUUAUGUAUGACUUUCCGUAUACUUGUGGGUUUCAAAAAAGUAUGUAUUAGUACUGAAUGCAGUAUAUUCACGCGUAUACAAAAUUACCUUAUGGUGUGUUUACUAAUUAGGAAUUUGAAUUCUUAUAGGAAUUGAAUUUCAUCUAUAGAGGAUUCAUGUGUUUACUUUACAUCAAGAAGUUAAAAAAUAAGUAGAACUCAGACAAAAUUAGGAACAUUGAGCAAAAUCUGUAGUGUAAGGAUUGUCUUUUGGUUGGAAAUUGUAAGUGGUGAGGAAUCUCAUGGGGCAUCUUUUGAACACCAAAAUUUCAUGCAUUAAUUUUUGUGUGGGGAAAUGGUGGGGGAGGUAAAAAGAUUUUUGCUAAAUUUAGCAAUGGCUUUUGAGACUUUUGCUUUGUUUCGAUCAAUGGGAAUAGUAUCAAUAUGGAUCCUUAAUUUUAGGGAGAAGGCCGAUAUGGGCUUCAUAAUUGCACCCAAUUCAUUUUUCCUAAGUGGGCCCCAGAAGCGACCUUUUUCCAGUUUCUAAAUAUAGUAAAUCUCUGUGGUUGGUUUUGCAUUGUUCUGCAAUUUCCUAUGAUUUCUGUUUCAGCUGUCAACCACGUUGAAUGGCAGGUUUAUCCUUUCUGUUUGGCUCUACACAAAUUCCCAGUUCAGAUUUCAAAAGAUCCACUUCUCACUUGGCUUCUUAACUGCCUUUUGAUAGAAAACCAUGUUUGUCUUCAAGUUAUAAAAUGACUAUAAUCCUCCUGCAAUUUGAUUGAAACAUACCCAAUUAAUCCGGAUUCCUGUUUGGCAUAAAUCUAAUUGACUAUAACAUAUUGUUAGUGCUUUUGGACAUAUUCAACAUAGAUUGGCUAAAUUUGGUUUGUUUAAAGAAGUUCGUUGAUUUGGGUUGAGGUGGAUCCUAAUUUUAUUUAAGACGUCCUUUUGUAUUAUUCGUUGGAUUGAGAUUAAUUUCAUGUCCUCCGUUGUAUUUCUUGAUUUUCAAUAAAUGUGUCAUCGUGGUGUCGAAGUUUUACUAAAAAAAUCUUUUAGUGCUUUGUUUGUAGAUAUGUAGCUCAAGUAAUGUGAACAAUCAAAACAUCAAAUUUGAGGAGCCCGGAAAGCAAAUUUGGGGAUUCAAUAAAAUCAUUUUACACGUUAUAAUGUGUAGAUCAGCAAGGAGUUAUGUCUCGCACAAAGAUAUAUGGGCCACGUAGGUCAACCCAAGCUCAUUACAUGGUCCAAAUUAAAGAAAAUGUGUGAAUUUCUAAAUUUCAUACCAGUUUCACAUUGCGGUUUCCUUAUAAUUUAUAAAAUGUAUCGAGGCAUGUCCUUCCAUUUGUCCAUAUACAUAUUGAGACUGCGAGAUGGAUUUUCUGUUUCUCAAGACACUACUACAAAAAACACUUUGUGCGACGAAAUAAGUUUGUUGCACAAAGUACAAUUUCGUCGAGCAUGGUCCGUCGUGCAAAACUCGUAAAGAAAGGGUUUGCGCGACGAAAACACACAAAGUUUUGGGCGAAGACAAAUAUUGGUCGCGCAAAGUUUUGCACGACGAAAAGUAUUAGUUGAGCAAAGUGUUGUGCGACGAAAAAUAUUGGUCGUGUAAAGGCUAAAAAAAAAAUUCCAGUGUCCCAUUUUUUGUACCCGCCCAAAUUUUUGCACGACGAAAUAUUUUCUUGCGCAAGGUUUUUGACUUUUUGUUUUAGUAUUUCUUUAAUAUUAAUUUAAUUAUAUUAAUUUAUUCAAAUUUUGACUUUUUAAAUUUAAUUUAAUUGUAUGAUUUUUUUUAAUUACUUUAAUUUAAAUUGACAUAUUCAAAAUAGUGAUCGCAUUAUCCAAUAUAUAUAUAAUAUUCAUAAUUCCUUUUCUGCUUCCUCCUUCAAUGAACUCCCUUUUUUUUUGGAUUCUUUUCAAUAAUCACAUGUCUUAUUUUUCACUUGAGAAUAUGCACAAAGAUUGGCAAGUUCUUCUGAUCACUUGCUGCUGUAUUCAGUAGGAUAGUAAGAAUUUUUUGCAAGUUAAAGAUAUCAUUCUUAUGCUCCACCACCAGGUCUGCUACAUCCCUUAUACUUGUUAAACCAAUCAUGAGAUGUUUGUAGGUUCUGUUCCAGCCUUUGUUAUCUCCAGUGACAGACAUUAGCUCGUGUAUUUUGUACAAGUUGUCUAGAUUUUCUGAACAAAUAUUGUAAACCAUGUAUCCUUCUCGUAUAGGUAACUUGGACUUAGGUUAGGGCCUGAGCUCGUAUCUGACCCUGUAGCUGGGCAAUUUUCGAGAGAAGAUCUGCACAUUCAGUUGAGCCCUUUCCGUUGGUUAAGUCAGAAACUGAUUUAAGUAUGGGGAGAAUGGAUGUAGGGUUUACACAAUGUAGAUCUUUUUAGGUCAAGAACUUAUUACCUUUGUCUAGAGAUAAGUGAGGAGUACUUAUAUGAGGGAAAAUGAGAGGUCAAGAUAUUUAAGGAAGAGAUCUUUUACCCCUAUCUUCAUAGCCUGAAUCACAUUCAAUGUUCUGUCCUUGAUCACCAUAUUACUAGACAAGGGUCAAGUGGCAAAGUGACAUGCGAUCAAGGAUGAGAGAUGCAUUAAAUGAUCCCUCUCCAUUACCAACCUGUUCACUUGGAGGCCAACGGUCAGGUCGACACAUGGUUGGGGAUGGGAUGUGCACUUAAUCAACCCUUCUUGCUUGCUAGGCUGUCUAUCUUAGGGGUGAAGUGAUGGACCUGACAGAAGCCUGGUCGGGUCUAUUAGUCCGUAACACGCUUCUGAUUAGAAUGCUUAGCCUAGUGGUCGGGUAAAUAUUCGAUUACCUGAGCACUGGCCGACUCCUUGAGCUGCAUUCCGACUAGGAAGAUCGGCGACGACACCCACUCAAUCGUAUAUGAUCGGGUCGGUAUACAAGUGACCUAGUCUGCUAUGGCUAUGUGGCAAUUUACAAUAGGCUCGGCUUGUAGUGAUGGUAUGAGCUAUCAACAAAUGUGUAGAUCUCUAGUGGUAUGAUACUUAGAUUUCAUAGUGUAUACGGAGUUUGGCGGUCUAAGACUGUUGCGAUAGUUGAGUCUGGGUUUAAGUACAACCAAUUUUAAUAUCUCGUCAAGUUAGAACUCUAGGAUCUCUGGGUCAGAAGACUCUGAAUAUUGAAUGGAAACCAUAUCAUAAGUUGAAUGACUCUACUCUAUACAACAUCCAUAUAUAAAAUAUUGUUAAUGACUGUAUUUGCUGACCUGCUUUUCGGUUCCCCAAGCCCCUUGCAUCCAUGCGAUCACAGUCCUGACAUUUUCUCGAGAAAGUAGAGUUUCUCAGGAAAGUUGUAGUACCUCUAAAACGAUGAAGAAAAUUACGUAUUAAAGAAACAACAAAAUUUGAACAAGAAAUGUUUUUAAUAUAAAUAAAAUAUACAGUACAGAUUCUUACUCAAAGAUACUCUGUUCAGGGAACCCGCGCAGACAUUUUCUCUAGAAAGUGGAGCUUUUCGGGAAAAUAAGCUAAAUGAUGGAAAUUUGAUAAAGUCAAAGUCAUGAAAUUACUAUUUAAAGUUAAAUAGCCUAAUUAACUAUAACCCUAUGGCUAAAAGUCCACCACCAUAGACUGCUACAUUACUGAAGUUGUAAUUGGGAUAAAUUACACCCAUCUAGAAAACUUUCUUCUGGUAUACAUGGUACAUAAAGAUUACCAUUCUUGUUUGUGUGUGUGCAAAUACAAAGGAGAGAGGAAGGUUUACAAGUGUAAGAGUAAGGCCCGAAAAUUCAAAUAUAUUUAAAAUAAAAUAAAAAAGGAUUGGUUUCAUUAGGUUUUGUCCUCUCAAAAAUGUGCUUUGAAGAGGAAGUCAAAAUUGAUUUAAGUAUAAAUUUUGUAACAACGGGAGUUAGAUAUUGAAAUGCAAAUUAUAGACCUAAUGAAUAAUGUUUCAAGCAAUUAUUGUUGAAAAAAGUUUUGACCCCUCAACUUUGACUUCCACUACUUAUGGGAUAUACCGAAUUUUUCAACUCUUGUGACCUAUCACCUUCUAACAGUCCUAGGUCUAAAAUUCUAGUUUUAUGUAGUUCGCAUCUAAAACUACUUAUUAAGCAAGGUACUUUUUCAUGGCCUUAUGAUCCUUGCACACCGUUGAAAUCUUGGGCCCAAAUUCCUUUUCUACUUCCUCCUUCAAUGAACUCCCUCUUUCUUGAUUCUUUUCAAUGAUUACACGUCUUAUUUUCCACUUGAGAAUAUGCACAAAGAUUGGUAAGUUCUUCUGAUCACUUGCUGUUGGAUUCAGUGGGAUAGUAAGAAUUUUUUGCAAGUUAAAGAUAUCAUUCUUAUGCUCCAUCACCAGGUCUGCUACAUCCAUUAUACAUGUUAAACCAUUCAUGAGAUGUUUAUAGGUUCUGUUCCAGCCUUUGUUAUCUCCAGUGACAGACAUCAUCUCAUGUAUUUUGUACAUGUCGUCUAGUUUUUCUGAACAAAUGUUGUAAACCACGUAUCCUUCUCGUAUAGGUGACUUGGACUUAGGUUAGGGCCUGAGUUCGUAUCUGACCCUGUAGCUGGGCAAUAUCCGAAAGAGGAUCUGCACACUUAGAACAAUAUCAGAACCAAGGUGAACUGGGGUUGAUCCCAGUUGAGCCCUCUCCGAUGGUUAGGUCGGAAACUGAUUUAAGUAUGGGGAGAAUGGAUGUAGGGUUUACACAAUGUGGAUCUUUUUAGGUCAAAAACUUAUUACUUUUGUCUAGAGAUAAGUUAGGGGUAUUUAUAGGGAGAGAAUGAGAGGCCAAGAUAUUUAUGGAAGAGAUCUUUUCCCCUAUCCUCAUAGCCCGAUUCACAUUCAAUGUUCUGUCCUUGAUCACCAUAUUACUGGACAAGGGUCAAGUGGCGAAGCGACAGGCGAUCAAGAAUGGGAGAUGCAUUAAAUGAUCCCUCUCCAUCACCAGCCUGUUCACUCGGAGGCCAACGGUCAAGGCGACACGUGGUUGGGGAUAUGAUGUGCACUUAAUCAACCAUUCUUGCUUGCCAGACUGUCUAUCUCAGGGGCGAAGUGAUGGACCUGACAGGAGCCUGGUCGAGUCUACUAGUCCGUAACACGCUUCUGGUUAGAAUGCUCAGCUCAGUGGUCGAGUAAAUAUUCAAUUACCCGAGCACUGGCCGACUCCUUGAGCUGCAUUCCGACUGGGAAGAUCGGCGACGACACCCCCUAAAUCGUAUAUGAUCGGGUCGGUAUAUAAGUGACCUAGUUUGCUACGGCCAUGUGGCGAUUUACAAUAAGCUCGGCUCGUAGUGAUGGUAUGAGUUAUUAACAAAUGUGUAGAUCUCUAGUGGUCUAAUACUUAGAUUUCAGAGUGUAUACGGAGUUUUGGCGGCAUAAGACUAUUGCGAUAGUUGAGUCUGGGUUUAGACACAAUCAAUUUUAAUAUCUCGUCAAGUUGGAACUCUGGGAUCUAUGGGUCUGAAUUCUCUGAAUAUUGAAUGGAAACCAUAUCAUAAGUUGAAUGACUCUACUCUAUACAACAUCUAUACCAAAUAUAGUUAAUGAAUGUAUUUGCUAACCUGUUUUUCCAUUCCCCAAGCCCCUUGCAUCCAUGCAAUCACAUUCCCGACAUUUUCUCGAGAAAGUAGAGUUUCUCAGGAAAGUUGUAGUACCUCUAAAAAAAGAUGAAGAAAAUUACGUCUUAAAGAAACAACAAAAUUCGAACAAGAAACGCUUUUAAUUUAAAUAAAAUAUACGUACAGAUUCUUACCCAAAGAUACUCUGUUCAGGGAACUUGUGCAGACAUUUUCUCUGGAAAGUGGAGCUUUCCGGAAAAGAUGAGCAAAAUGAUGGAAAUUUGAUAAAGUCAAAGUCAUGAAAUUACUAUUUAAGGUUAAUUAGUCUAAUUAACUGUAACCCUAUGGCUAAACGUCCACCAUCAUAGACUGCUACAUUACUAAAGUUGUAAUUGUGCUGACUUACACCCAUCUAGAAAACUUUCUUCUGGUAUACACGGUAGAUAAAGAUUACCAUUUCUGUUUGUUCGUGUGCAGAUACAAAGGAGAGAGGAAGGCUUAGAAGUGUAAAUGUAAGGCCCGGAAAUUCAGAUAUAUUAAAAAUAAAAUAAAAAAGGAUCGGUUUCAUUAGGUUUUGUCCUCUCAAAAAUGUGCUUUGAAGAGUAAGUCAAAAUUGAUUUAAGUAUAAAUUUUGUAACAACAUGAGUUAGAUAUUGAAAUGCAAAUUAUAAAUCUAAUGAAUAAUGUUUCAAGCAAUUAUUGUCGAAAAGAGUUUUGACCCCUCAACUUUGACUUCCACUACUUAUAAGAUAUACAGAAUUUUCCAACUCUUGUGAUCUUCUACCUCCUAACAGUCCUAGAUCUAAAAUUUUAGUUUUAUGUAGUUUGCAUCUAAAACUACUUAUUAAGCAAGGUACUUUUUCAUAGCCUUACGAUCCUUGCACACCACUGAAAUCUUGGGUCCAAAUUCCUUUUCUGCUUCCUCCUUCAAUGAACUCCCUCUCUUUGGAUUCUUUUCAAUGAUCACACGUCUUAUUUUCCACUUGGGAAUAUGCACAAAGAUUGACAAAUUCUUCUGAUCACUUGCUGCUGGAUGCAGUUGGAGAGUGAGAAUUUUUUGCAAGUUAAAGAUAUCAUUCUUAUGCUCCACCACUAAGUCUGCUACAUCCAUUAUACAUGUUAAACCAUUCAUGAGAUUUGUAGGUUCUGUUUCAGCCUUUGUUAUCUCCAGUGAUAGACAUCAGCUCGUGUAUUUUGUACAUGUCGUCUAGUUUUUCUGAAUAAAUGCUGUAAACCACGUAUCCUUCUCGUAUAGGUAACUUGGACUUAGGUUAGGGCCUGAGCUCGUAUCUGACUCUGUAGCUGGGCAAUCUCAGUGAGAGGAUCUGCACACUUAAAACAAUAUCAGAACCAGGGUGAUGAAGCUUUCUCGAGUUCACUGUCAAGCAAGGUGAAAAUAUGACUGGCUCUUUUUUUUUUUUCUUUGGAUUGGAAGGAAGAAACGGGAUAUUUUUUUAAUUGUCUGAGGCAACUGGAGAGGAUCCAGAGUUGGCUCUAGGUGAGUUCUUCUAGUCAUUUGACAAUACUCCAUUCAUCUAUGGUGGGUUGGUUGAAUAACAACUUUAGUUGGUGGAAAUUUUUCUUUGGAAAUAGGAAAUAAAUUGGUGCUAUUGCAAAAAAUGCAAGCUUUGACCAUUGUUAAGCACGUGAUGCCUCAAUUUGAGUCCAUAAGUUGUAGGUUUUUUUUUUUCCACCCUGUGAGUGUUUAAUAAUCUUUUUAUUAUAUAUUUAUGUACUUGAAUCCAUAAAUCCAAUGCCUUUUCAAUUACCCAGAUCCUGAAAGAGAAGGAAAAGUGAGUUUAUUAUGUUAUCUUCUUUGGGUGCUGUUGAUGGCUGUUUUGGAUUUUGCUAUGUUUUUCUGCACUUUUUAUGUGAUAUUGCUUGAUGGGUCUCGUGAUUUGUUGUCUGGUUAUAUGGAUGCAUACGUAAACAACUGCAUUUUCUUUUUUUGUUGGCUUGGUUUUUAUGUGUUGGUAUAUCAUAAUGAGUCUAUUGUUAUCCUUGUUUGUAUAACUAACAAUAAUUUGCAUGUUUAUAUAUAUAUAUAUGUAAUAAUAAUAAUUAGAAAUGGGAGAUUGCGAACAAGUAACUGGAAAAGGGAAAGCCAAGAAAGAUUAUAGUGCUUGGAGUGUGGAAGAGAGCAAAAUGUUGUUGCAGCUCAUGGUUGAUGUUGCAUCUCGUGGAUGGCGUGAUGCCAAUGGCGUGCUAAGCAAGGCAACAGUAGAAACCAAAAUACUUCCCAUCCUUAAUGAAAAACUUGGGUGUCAGAAAACCUAUUGUCAUUACCAAAGUCGGUUGAAAUACUUUAAGAGAGAAUAUCAAAAAUAUUCACAGCUUAUGCGUCAUAACUCUGGGUUUGGGUGGGACUCAACCACAAAGAAAUUCACUGCUCCUGAAGAAAUUUGGGAAGACUACUUUAAGGUUAGGUUCUUAACUUCUCUCUCAAUAUGCGUUAUGUGGUAACCUAAGUACAUAAUUCAUUAUUAAUAAUUAUUAUUCAAUUGUUGUUUUUGUAGUCCCACCCAACCCACAGGCAUAUUCAAACAAAAACUUGUGAGGACUAUGAGGAUUUGCAAAUUGUCAUUGGGAAUGCAGCUGUUAGUGGAAAAAACUCAUUAGGAUUGGGUGAUGGUACUGAUGCAAGAACUUUUGGGGUGGAAGAUAGACAAGUUGGAAUAGAGGACUUUGUUUAUGAUAAUGACACUCGUGCCUUUGUACCAAAUCAUAAUGAAGCAUCACACCAAGAUCCACCACUCGGACAUUCUUCUUCAUCCUUACCUUUUCAGGCCAAUAUUUGGACAAGUCCCUCAGAAAGCUCAAGCCAGAGAAAACGAACUAGACCAGAGCAUGAAGGGAAUGGUAGCCAAUAUGAGACAUGUAUGGACAGAAUUAGUUUUAGCAUUGCUGAAAUUGCUACCGACUUCAAGGGAGUCCACAGCCUAUUGGGAAAAAGGGAAAAAGACAGGGAGAGGCAAAGUUAUAUAUGGGAUGUCAUUAAGGAGACUCCAAAUAUGGAUGAACGUGCUCGUUAUAAAGCCCUUUCUUUGUUGAAUAUUACUACAUAGAAGGAAGCAUUUUUGUUGAUGUCCCCUAAAGAGCGCUCAAGUUGGAUAUCCUACAAUUUGGAAUGAGUGGUUUUUGAAAAUGAGUGGGUUUUGGGGAUAAGUGGUUUUUUGCUUGAUAAUGCAUUAGGAUUUAUCAAACAGUAUGUUUAAAAACUCUAUUUUUUAUUUAUUUUGCAUAUGACAUAUUGACUUAAAUUUUUAUUAAAUUGAUGAUGAACUGUUUUUUAUUAUAUUGAUGAUGAAUAGCUUUGCUUGGUUGUAAUAUGUGCUUGGUUAUUGUUUUUAUUCCAGGUUCUAAAUUAGGCUACUUGUUAUUGGGUGUUGAUGAUAGGUUUCCUAUUGUUAUUUGGAAGAGCAUUACGGUUGCAUGAUAGCUUUUCCUAUUCUUUCAUUGCUCUUGGUCUUUUGACUCCUUGUCUUGAGUUGGGCAUGAACCCAAAAGAAAUUCAUAAUUAUAAGAUCAGAUUUCUUAUAAUAUUAUUUUUUUUCAGGUGGUCGAAUAUCAAUUUAUAUAAUGGAGGAAGAACAAAUUGAAAGGCAAGAAAUUGAGAGGGAAGAAGAACUUCAUGAAAUCAUUAGGUAUUUAUUAAUGGCAAUCCAAGCAGUAGCUCAUGCGUUGAAUGAGCUUAUGAUUAUCAUGCAUAGUAAAAAUGUUGAACGUCUAUUAACUUGGCGAAUAGUUACUAGGAAAGGAUAUAAUUAUAUACAUAAUGCUUUGAGUGAUGAUCCUGAGCAUUUUCGACAAACGUAUAGAAUGUAUCCAGAUGUGUUUCACAAGUUGUGAAGUAUUAUUAGAGAAAAAACAUUGUUACAAGAUACAAGGUUCAUUUGUGUAGAAGAAAUGCUUGCGACAUUUUUGCAUGUUGUGGGUCAAAAUAACAUAUUUUCUGUAAUACGUGACACAUUUGGUCGAUCCCACUUCACUGCUAGUAGAAGUUUUAACAAAGUUUUAAAGGCUUUGAACACAUUAGGGAAAGUACAAGGUUUUACCCUUACUUUAAGGUAAGUGUUGUCUUGUGCAUCUUGUUUACUUUUAUAUAAUAUUUUAAAAAUCAAAAUAUAAACUUUGAAUUUAUUUCAGGACUGCAUUGGAGCGAUCAAUGGCAGACAUAUUCCAGCAAUGGUAACAAGAGGUGACGUAAGCAGUUAUCGUAAUCGUCACGGAACAAUAUCACAAAAUAUAUUAGCAGCUUGUACCUUUGAUUUAGAAUUCAUAUAUGUGCUUAGUGGGUGGGAGGGCUCAGCUCGUGAUUCAAGAGUACUAAAUGAUGCUUUAACAAGGAGGAAUGGACUUAAAGUGCCACAAGGUAUUUUGUUUCUUUUUCUUUUUUCAUUUACUAUUUACAUUAGAUCAUACAUUGGAUACUAAAAUAUGUGUAUUCAAUUAUCAGGUAAAUAUUUCUUAGUGGAUUGUGGAUUUCUAAAUCUCAGCCAAUUUUUGGCUCCAUUUUGAGAUGUUCGAUAUCAUCUCCAAGAGUUUGCAGGUCAAGGUCGUGACCCUGCAAAAGAAGUUGAGUUGUUCAGUCUUCGUCAUGAGUCCUUGAGGAAUGUCAUUGAGAAGAUCUUUGGUAUAUUUAAAUCACGAUUUACAAUUUUCAAGUCUGCACCUCCAUUCCCAUAUAGGACACAAACAGAGCUAGUGUUAGCUUGUGCUGGACUACACAACUUUCUUCGAAAGGAAUGUCGAUCAGACGAGUUUCCUAUUGAAUUGGAGAAUGAAUCUUCUUCAUCUUCGUCAUUACCGGUUAAUUAAGGGAAUUCUGAACUAGUUUUCCAAACACAUGAACAAUAACGAGCACAUGCUAAUGAAUGGAAAGUUGAUAUAACUUUGAAUAUAUGGAGAGAUAUUGGCCACAAUGACAACAAUGAUAACGAAUGAAUGCUGCAUAUUUUUCUUUCAGCAUUGCUUUCAAACUUGUUAUAAAUUUGUCACUAUACUUUCAUGAACGCCAAUUACUUUGAAUUCCUUAUAGUAUUUGCUUUUCGUUAAUUUAUGGUGGGUUCGUGACUGCAUGGAAUAGUUCCAAUUGCCAUUAACCAUUUAUACUUUUCCAGUUAUACCGCAUGGUGGGUUCGUGAACGCCAGUUAUACUUUUCCAAUUGCCAUUAACCAUUUCUUGCUGUAGAAAUAGUUCCACCACCUAUGAAUAUGGUUCCAAGUCAGCCACUGCAUGGAAUUCCUCACAGCAGUGGCAAACUCCAAAGCAUGAAACAGCUAAUAAAAAUACAUCUAAUACAUGGAGGAGUAAUGCCACCUAUGCAGGUUUCAACGCACCUGAAUCAUAUAACCAAAAUAGCUUUCAGUGGUCGACUAGUGGCUAGGUAAAGAAAAUAGUGUUGGGAAGAAAGAGUAAUAAAAGUCUAUGCAAAUUGAUCUGAAUUUAUAACAAAAGUUCAUACAAAAGUAUGGAAGUCUAUAAUAAAAGUUUAUACAAGUUUAUUAAAAAUCCUGGUAAAACCUAUAGGAGUUAUACAAUUCCAGGAAAUUUAUCACUUAGAAAAAAUCUUUCAAAAUCUUAUACAAUCCUAAUUGAAUACACCCCACUAAUAAGGGAGUCGUUUUGUCUAGUUAAGUUGCCUUUUUUUUUUUUUACUAAUUUAUUUGGAUAAAUUUACUCCUCCAAUUUCGCAGCUUUCGCUUAUUAGCCCUUGCACAAUAGCGGCGCCAAUUUUCUUGUACGGAAGAAGCUGCCAAAUUACGCCAAUGCUCUAAUUGAAAAUCCUCUAAGUGACGGAGCUCCGUCCUAAAAUGCCACCAGAACUUAGCAACAAUGGUCUUCAAGUCCUUAGCCCUUAUAGCAAAUGCUUCAACUUUUGUUUGGGACUUAAGAAUUCUAGUCGACAUGGGUAAUUCAGAAGAGGGGGUAGAUUUUAAUGCCCAAAUUAAAAGUUCUUCUCCAUAAAAAUCACCUUUCUCAAGCCACUUCGUGUCUGAGGAAGUAAUUGUAAUUCCACCCUUACUGCUAGGUGUAGGUGGGUAGCUCCAUGCGGUGCCUUGUGUGAUGAACAUCAUCUUCUCAAGUGGUUCCCCCUCUGAAACAAUGUAGCUGCCCUCGUUAUAGGUCUCCAGCUUAAGAUGCUCGCUGAUUGCUUUCAACACUUUUUCAUCCAUACUUUCAAGCAUCGACACCUACCAAUCAAUAUCAUAUACGUUAAUUAGAUUGUUAUUGUCAAACGGAUUUCCCAUUUUGCUGAUUUUUAAGAAGGAUUCUGUAAUACAUAUUUCACUUUGUCACGGGGUCACUUUGCAAUAGAUUUCAAUGAUCCGAAUCAUCUAACUUUUACUUUUCCACAUAAGAGUAUUUUAAUGUUCAAUGUUUGGAAACAAUGUGUUCGUCUAUUUACUCAAUCAUAGUUAGAUGAUUAAAUAACUUAAGAUUUUCAGCCUUCUUUUUAAAAUGAUCUUUUGAGCACAAGUAGGUGUGACACGUAUAAUUAAACCGCAUUAAGAACUGAACCCGCUGGCAAUCCCUUUGAAUCUCGUCACAAGAAAUCUACAGGCACGCACAAAUAUAUCUUCAUGCAAUUAAUUACUUUUGAAUUUGCUAGUUAAUUAGCAUAAUACUCACUUUCUUUAGUGAUGUCAAGCGGAGAAGGCUCAUGAUACCUCUUCUGUGUCUCAAGGGAAGAACAGCGAGGAUAUUCUCCACAUCAACAUCUUUGUUUUCUUGAAGGUGUCGUUGUACGUUUUCUACGAUUACCGUCCUGAGAUGUUUUUCUGUUCGGCCUGAAACCAUCUUCAGAUCCUUAGGGAGGUCGUUUUUAGAUAACCAUAAAUCGAUCUCUGGACUUAUCAGCUGCAUCUUCCGUCUGAAUAUACGUUCAUCUGAUCUUAUUUUCUCCAACUGCACACUUAAUGUCUAUUCCAUACAGAAUGUAGGUUCAGUGCUUCAUUGUAUGAACUUCCAGAAAACACACACGCAUUCAUGCUAAAUUAAUAUAAAGAUUCAGCACCAAACCAAUGGUUACCUGCAAAGUUGCAUUGAGAUAUAUUAAGAAUAGCAUCAUGCCGCUUAAAAGUGUGAAAACAGCAAAGACGUUUUCCCACUGGUUGCUACUGCUGGGCUCGAGGUUUUGCCCUAAAGAACUGAAAAAGUGGAAGUGAGCAAUAUGUUAGACGCAAAAGUUUGGUGUAAUACUAGGAACACCUACUUAUUACAACAAUUUUUAGACACCAGUUGGUGUCUAGAAGUUGAUGUAUCCAUAUAAUAUUAUGAAAAAGAUCAAGAGCGGAGUUUUGCAAACCUCAGAUUUCGUAAACCCCACCAAAAGCAUUGCAAUAACUUCUUCGAAAAAUUUGUUGAUCUCAGCAUAUCAGAUUGAACAGCGCCAAGAAAUAUACCGAAAUCGAAGAGUGUUGCAUCUGGUGGAUUUGUAGGGCAUAAAACAUUUAGAAGCGUGACAUUUCUAAAUAUAUUAUCAUUACAAUCAAAAUUAGCAGAUCCACAUCCAUUUUCGCGACAUCCAUAUUCCCAACAAGUUCUCUCUCGUUGAAUAGCGAAAAAAUACCAUAUGCCUCCAAGUAUCUGUAUGAUCAACAAGGUAGUUAAUGAUCUAACUUCACGGAACAUUCAAAAGGUAUGAAUAAAAAAAUUAUCAACUCCAUGAAAGGGAGAAAAAAUAACAUUACUGAAUCUUAAAGAACAAAGCUUCAAAUUUAUGAAAUCAAGGUAAUUAGCAUCAAAACAUAAAUUAUGUCCUAAAGUUGGUGCCUAACGCUAGCUCAACAGAUGUGUGUCAGUCUUGAAGGAAGUUGAGGUUCCACCCCAAAACCAAUUGGCAAUGGGGGGGAGUAGCCCAACUCCUUAUAAACCCAGGCUAGGUCCCUUAACAUUUCAAUGUGAGACAAACACUCUCAACACGCCCCCGCACGUGUGGCGAACUUUCAAGCCUAACACGUGGACAACACAUAUUGGGUGACGUGGGAGCACGUGUGGCCGUUGGGCCCAACACGUGAAGCCUUGCUCUGAUACCAUGAAGGAAGUUGAGGUUCCACCCCGAAACCAAUUGGCAAUGGGGGGGAGUAGCCCAACUCCUUAUAAACCCAGGCUAGGUCCCUUAACAUUUCAAUGUGGGACAAACACUCUCAACAAGUCUCAUAUUGAAAGUCAAGCAUAUCAUGGCAGAGAAAUCGAAGCAAAGGAUCCAAAUAAGUGUGUAAUACAUAUGUGUGUGUUUGUAUAUAUAUUUAAUAUAAUCUACAGAAUAAAGAUAAGCAUCCCCUCGCCUUACACUAGUGAUUAGUGAUUCUUAAUAUUUCUUAUAAUUCAUAGAUACAUUGUUGGAUUAUUCAUUUACAGGGAACCUAAAUGCUUUUGGAGAAAACCAACCUAAUUAACCAUUGAUAAAUCACAUUAAUAGUCUAAAGUUGAAAUGAUUUGAAACAGUAUAGUGAAACUUACAUGGCCAGCAAGGAUGAAUGGAAAAAAGUUGAAUACAGCUUUAACCAAUAUUCCUACUCGAGUCUGUAUACUGGGAGUAUUGCCAGAUAGAUAGAUGCGAAGAACUCGUGGUACAUAUUGAAAUAGAAUAAGAGAGUUCAUAAACAUCCUUACGAAAGAUCUUGAGCCUCUCCUUUUUGUAAAAAAUAUGAAAAAUACUACCUGCGCGUACAAUGCAAUAUUUGUUUUAGCCAACAGUUCAAAAUAUAGUGUGGAAAUACUUUUCCUACUUUCAAAAAUACAUGUCAAAUAUUGAAAGAAACUGAAAAAUAAUUCAGUCCAAGAAAUUCUGGUCUUACCUGUGGAACGGGGAGAACAGCAAAAGUGUCAAUUACAAUGCAUGACAGCAAAAUCUUCUUAGCUGAUUUAACUCUUUCCAAACGAAAUGUGGCACCAUUUAUUGAUAUCUUGGACGUGACGUUGAGUUGAUAAAUUUGAAAAAUAAUAUCGACAAGAUAAAAGAGAUCUGCAACAGAUCGUAAAGCAAGAGCUAUUUUCUUCAGGUUUUUGUCCAACUCCAGACACUUCAUGUCCUCGUUGAUGACAGGAGUGUAGAAGAACAAAGGAUCCAUCAAAACAGCAAACACACAGGAUAAUACAAAUAUCUUGUUCCAUAUUGGAAGGAGAGGUCCAAGAAACUCCUUUGAUAUUUUUAAUAUCUUCUUCCAUAUUGAAAGGAGACGGUCGAGGAUUUCUUCUUUUAAUGACCUCCGGCGUGCCGGUGCACUGUGUGUGAGAAUCGGUCUCGGCCUCACCUCCUCUAUUAAGUCCCAUCCUGGAUCCUCAAUUAAAUCCCAGUCAGGUUGAACACUGAAAAAGACACAAGGAACAUAAAAUUGCACACACGUCGUCAAAAGAAACAUUAGCUCUUACAUGAUUAGUACGUACUACUCCAUCUUUGAGUCAUUUGGUUGACCACAUUUUCGUCUGAGUUUUAUCAUGUUUCUUAGCAUAUUUUAGGUGAUCAAACAAUUAGGAUUAUUUUGAUCGUUGAAAUAAAAUUCGUAGUGCAUCUUAAAAAGUAUUCUUUAAAUAAAAUAAUUUAAAAAUCUCUUAUCAAAAAAGGACUGUAUUUAAAUGUCAAAAUGAUCCUUCUAUUAUAUAUGUUACUCACCCUCUAAAAUUCAAUUGACAUAAAACGAACCAAAACAAAUAGUUAGAACCCAAUAAACAAGUGGGCCUUCCAUUCAAUACAUAUAGGCUUGGGCCCUUGGACCACGUUACAACAAUUAUUUAUAUUUCUGGCUUUUUUAUUUUUAUUUUAAGGAUAUUAUUAUAAAAGCGAGUAAAUAUGAUACAAAUAAUAUUUACAGUUAAGCUUUUGAAAUGAUUACAUGUAUAUGAAUUACUUUGAAAAGCCACUGCAAAUACCAAGUCAUAUUGUUUCAAUAAAAAUUUAUUUAAAGGGCAAAAAUGAAAUAUGUCAAAGAAAGAAACUAAUUACCUUAACACAAUUGUUUCAAUAUCACAUGAGUUGACCAUAUCUGAAGCUUGUUAAUCAUGCAAUAUCCUCCUAAGUCUGAACUAUUAACAAGAAGAUUAGGAAGCUUGCUAAACUAGCAUACUGCAAAAACCAAAUUAAAAAACAUUGAAAUUUAGAGUAAGUGUGAAGCUCUGUGAACCUGGGAUUGAAGAGAUGAUCCAUUUAAAGAAAGAAUUUAACUUACAAUAAUUGAAGCUCAUAACAGUGGCAGUAAGCUUCUAGGGGUACAAGGUGGAUGAGAGAGAGAGAGAGAGAGAGAGAGAGAGAGAGAGAGAGGAAAAGAAGAUGCAGAAAAUGAAUCUAGAAAGUCGCCUUGGAAACUCAUGAGGAGAGGUAGGGAGAGUGAGAGAGGAACAGAACUGAGGAUUUGAGCUCAAAAAAUGGUUUAUAAAAACGAAAAAAGUAGAGUAAAAGAGUUGACAAUGGGCCAUGCUUUUUUCUAAGUCUUUGUCUUCUUCUAUCAAAUACAAAUACCAUCUUAUAGUACUCACUGCUUUUACAUUAUUUCCUGAUCCACACUCAGACCUUUGCGCAAGUUGGAAAUAAUAAUAUUAACCACACUGUCUGGAUCAAACACGCGAUGUGUGUUGGGAUCUGACUUAAAUAGACCCAUUUAUUCUUAAAUUUAAUAGAUAAAUUUGAUAAAACAAAGGAUAGAACCUUUAUUUCUAACGAAAUUGAAGUUAGAGGACGACCGUAACAAUUUUGGGAAUUUAUGAACUAAAAUACAAAUUGGAUCAAAAUUUAGGAACUAUUUAACCUAAAAAUCCCAAUUUAAAAUUUCUAACUUUUGUUUAAAUUAAAAUUUUAAUUCAUUCAUUCGAAACUUUAAAUCAUACAAGUUAUACUGUAGCAAUGGCAAAAGCACAUACAUAGACUGAAAAUGCAAUUUGGCAAAUAAUAAUUUUACACACAAAAAAAUAAAUAAAUAGCCAAAGUAGGUCAAUUUGGAUUUCAAGCAGAACCACCCUCCAAAUUAUCUACCAAUAGAAUGUCGUCUAUUCCAUCAAUAAGAUAGCUUAAAGAAAUUUUCUUCUUCAUCAUUGUUUUCAUAUAACUAUGUGUCUAUUUUUCAAAUCAAAUACUUAACAUUAAUAAUUUAACUUUUGAAAAUUAUGGCGUUACAUUAUUAAGUCGUCAACUUCGCAAUUUGUAAUUUUUUUUUCAUGUUACAUUAUUAAUUCGUUAACUUCUCUGCAUCAACCAAACAUGUAACAGGAACUUACCAUGGCCUUCAUGAUUCAGUGUUAAGUGGACAACGAUAUAUAAUUAACAUUUUAAGAACAUUAGUCGUGAUUUUUUUAUAGAAAAAAACUGAAGAUAUGAUCAUUUGAUCUUGCUUCAAGGAUUAUGUAUUGCAAGGACCAAUUUUAACAAAAGAACUGUUUUAAUUUUAGGGAGGAGAAUAGAGCUCUCCUCAAAUGUAGGAUGCUAAAAAAUGGUGAGCCAAAAUAAGGAGGUGUUCAUGGAGCUGAAAUUUGCCCUUCAACUCUCUAUUUUUACCGAGGACCGCCCUUCACGGCAAUGUGCUUAAUUUGCUUCAUAACAACUCCAUAUAAAAGGCCUUAGAAGGUUCAACUUUGAAUCAAGACAUCUUGAAUCAACAUUCAACAACCCUCUCUCUCUCUCUCUCUCUUUUUCAUAGGCGUGCAAGUACACACACACACAAUUCAAGAUGGAGCGAUCCGGACGUAUGUUUUCAACUGUCUUCAUCCUUGUCCUGCUCUUUGUGGUUAUUGGUAUUUUUCUCUUUCCUCGUUUUAAUUCUAUCUUUAUAUUUGAAUAUAGUGGUAUAUUUCUUUCCAAUAUUAAAAGAUGUUUCAAGUUUGAAUCCACCUUUUCUCGUUAAUUUAUCGAUGCAUCUUUGGCAGGGAUGGGUCCAAUGGUUGCUGAGGGCAAGGCCGCAACAAAGGAGAAUUCGAGGACUUGUGAGUCUCUGAGCACGAAAUUCAAGGGACUUUGCUUCCGAUCAAGCAACUGUGCAGAUAUUUGCAAAAAAGAGGGCUUCCUGGAAGGCAAAUGUGCUGGCUUCAGGCUGAGAUGUACAUGCACUAAGAAAUGUUAGUGAUAAAACACACAAAAUUAUUUUGGUGCAUGGGAUCGAGAAGAACGAAAAUUUAUUGCCCUUUUUAUUGUUUUGUUUAAGCGAAUAAAUGACUAGCCCUAAUAUAAAUGUUGGGGUUGUGUCCUCGUUUUUGUUCUUAUGCGCUAACCAGGCGUGAGUUAUUUUGUUAUUAAUAAAAUAAAAUAAAAAUCAUAUCGUUCAUUUCUUAAUGCUAUGACACUUUUUUUUCCCUAUAAUACACAAAUGUGAUCUUUCUAACAUUACUCUAAAUAUUUUACCAAUGCGUUAAAUGUUGAUUAUGCUAACAUAAAGUAAUAUUAUUAGGCUCUCUUCGUGUAUACAUGCUUAGGCAUGAGCUCAAGUUCUAGGUAUACAGCUACAUAAACUCUACGCAUUCAUUUUGGUUAGAAGUUCAAUUUUCUAAAGCGUUAACUAGAUAUCUUUGUUAAUUAACUUUUUUUCUUGUGUACCUUCAGUUUAGUGCUAUAAGCUUGUAGCUUACCUCUCUGCAUUUGCUUUGUGUUAUACGGCCACUCUUAAUAAGAGUAAAAUUAGACAACAUUUCUGAUUAUAUUAUAUGGCGUGUACUGGAAUUACUUUUAUAAAUGCACCAACUAGUACCUUUUCUUUAUACAAGCGAUAUUUUAUUUUAAUUUAAUCUAAAUUACUAGAAUAAAUAUUUGAACUCGGGUGGAGAGUAGAGCCGUAUUCUAAUCAACUUGACUAAGUCCUAAUACUUUUAUAAUUACUAUGCUUCAAACUUCCAAAUGACUUCAAAACAAGAUGGGCUGAGAUAUAGAAUUGGUCAGGGUGUGUGCUAAAAGUGCAGGAGAAAUUGAAAAACCUUUGGGUCUGGCUAAAGCCUAGCCAGCCCACAACUAUGUUAUUCCCCUAAUUUCUGUAGUUUCAGCCCAAACGACCAAUUUACAGUUGUGUUUAGGGAGGUAGGGUUUAAAAUUGGUCAUUGCAAAUUUGCAAUACAUUUCCAUUAAGGCAAUAGGAUCCAAAUUAUGAUGUGGGAAGUGAUUAGUACAUGUCAUGUCAACUUAGGAUUUUAUCCCAGUGAAUAUGAAUUACGUUACUAUUCGAAAAUUUAUCGAGUUUCAGCUUUUACUAACUAAAGUUUAUUUUCGUUUCAACUUUGUAUCCAUAUCCUGUGAGAUGAGAUCCCUAACACCAUGGGAUCUAUUUGGGAUCCAUUGGAGAUAAGAAAACACAGAGAGAGAAAAACUCGGGGAAACAAAUUGGGUUCUAUAUUUAUAUAGCAUCUUCUAAACAUAUAAAACAAAAGACGUAGAAAAGUAUUGGUUACACAGGCUGUAAAGAAAAAAAUAAAGCACAGAAGGGUCCCCCCCACCUACCUAGAACUCAGAAAAGGCCAUAGAAUUCAAAGAAUCAAUGCCCAUUUUUCCUCAUAGGCCUUCUGAUAUUGGUCCUAGUUUUCUCAAAACUGUUGUGGAAUAUUAGACAGGCUCCGGUAAAGAGGGUGAAAAUGCUCGACUUUUAACAUUUUUUACUUUAAACACCAGGUAACUUUUCUCUACCAUGAUGCAGCUUUACACCAUCUAAUAAAAACUAGUUUAUUGUUGUGUGUAAAAUGUUCACAAGUUAAAGAGCAUUUUCCGAUGCAUCCGAAGUUCGAUUCUUCUUUUUCAGUAUCGCUUGUAUGAAAGAAAAAACAAGAGUAAAAAUGUUUCAGGAUCAUUUGCAACUCGUAAUAUUUGUUCUUUAAGCAGAGCAUUUACUAAGCACUGUAUUCAAAGGAAAGGAGAUUAAAAAAAAAUAAAUAAAUAAAAGAUUAAGAAAAACCCAUAAUUGCAGGAGCAAUCUUUGUCUGUCCCCCCCAUUACUUGAAUUUUCUAUUGGAGUAAAAUAGAAUCAAAGUUGAAUUAAACCAACUGUCCCUGUUUUUCCCUAAUCAUUUGUGUCACUGUCCAAACACACCAUAGACCACAUGCAUUUAUAUUGGUUCUGCUAUAUAUAAUAUGCAGAUGUAGGUAGUUGCAUAUAUUAUUAAAUCGCUGUCCCCAAAUUCCAGAUGACGAUAUAAUAAAUUCUGGAACAGAUCUACGUCCACAAAAUCACACCAAACCAGAGAGAGAUGUUGAAAUUUAAUAAGACCACAUUUUGUGGUUAGCCAUCCAAAGUGAAGUUAGGUAGCCUAUACACUUCGUUGGGAAAAAAGUACUACUUUAGUUGGCAAUGGCAAAAGCAUACUCAUUAUGCAUCAUUCCCUAUUGGAAUGAAAAUAUAUAUAUAUAUGCAAAACAUUCAAGUUUGGCAAUUACCAUUGAUGGUUCAUAAUCAUCUCUUGUCAAAUUGUCACCAAUUUCACCAAACUGUCAAUUUGAACCACACACUCCACUCUACACAUGAUACCAUAACUAACAUCCUCACCCCUAACAUGUCAAUUAGUUUGGCAAAAACAGAAUAUUCGCUAUACCAAAAGAUCAUGUGUUAAAAAAAGAUGUAACCCAUCAAGCUAUCACAAGAAAGGCACCAAAAGUAAAAGCUCAACCUGAUGAACUUAAACCAAAAGAGGAGUUCAAAGAAAAAUACUACAGAUGUAAUUAAGAACAUAAUGGUUCAGCAUUCCAAUCACAGCCUACAAAAUUACAAAUGAACAUGAGCUAGUCGCCUUAAAUUAAAGUUUUAAACAGAAAUCCUACUGAUGGCAUAAUCAACUGACAAUUUUAAAAAACUACCACCUUCAAGGCAAGGUCAUACAUACAUCAUACCAGAACAUGUUCUCCAUGUUCAUUGCUGCUGAGCAUUCAAAACAAAAUGGCUCAAUGAGGUACAGCAUCUUCUUCAUUAACUUAACACGAAAUGGCGGAAAAUAGAAUGUCGUGCCACUCAAAGGCAACUGAAGAUAAAAGUCUUCCUCACAACAUGCAGUCAGUUCUAGCCGGCAACCUCCUGAAGAAAUUCAGCGGCACAGAAGGAAGCUUAUGACGGAAUCUUGGGUGCCUCAACACAUAGAAUCCAGCGAGAAGAGCCACAACCUGGAAUGGUGUAACAUACAAAACAAUGGCAGCAAUCAGACAGAAAAGCACAAACAGUGAUGUUGCUCUCGGGUCUCUCCAACUUAGCAAAGAUUGCAGCCUCUCCCCUUGAGUAGCCAAGUCACCAACCACUGUCUGGAUUCUCCCAGCAAUGCUCCUCAAUCUAUCAUAUCUCAUCCUUACUAUGUCAGAAGGCCGUGAAGUAGGGAAUGUAUCAAAUUCUUCAUCAAGUUCAUCAGGAUGUGCAGAAUCUGCGUGAGACAGACGAGUGUCCAUGUGAGGAGGAUGCCUUGGUCUCCAUCUAUAAUACCAAACUCCAAUCAAGAAGAGGUAGAGGAAAAUUGUAGGUAAUAUGAGCUCUGGGUACAUGACCAGAAUUAUAAACAAGAUGUGGAUGAGUACAGUUGUAAUGGGGUUUUUCCAAGUACAGAUCUGAUCAAACCAUUUUCCAACAGCAAUUACCCCACCCAAAACAUUCAUAAUCCUGAAAAAGUUAGCUUUGCUUCUUCGCAUACUCCACAUGUGAGAGCCCACAUCCAGCAUAUACUCUACCACUUCUUUCCUCAGUGGUGGUUCAGCACGGCUCAGCCUCAUUGAUACAAUCUGAGUGGCCUGGUGCCUCAAGCUAUCGAGCUGGCUUACAGUUAAUGGAUGAAUAUAGUGCAUUUUUGGCAACAGUGGCUGGGAGUACAUGUGCAUCAUGUUAAGCAAAGAAGAGCAAGUGAACCUCACAGCCAUAUGAAUUUCACCCAUCUUCUUUACACCAUUUGGGUGCAGAACUAAAAGUGGGUAAGAGUGUGUGUACACCCGAUCAGUUUCAAGGGUGGAGAGACGAAUCCUUACCUUUCCAAUUCUUGCAUCCCUGGCCCCUCCAGCCUUAUCUCCCCCAUGCAAAUGACAGUUAUCAAAUACCCCAAUAGUUAUGACAGUACAAGGAUCAAAAACUUCCCAUGUAUAUUGCUCAUUCCACCUGGGAGUAAAGCUAUCAAUAAUGGUUCUUGUUCGAACCCACUUCUGCCCGUAUUUCGCCACACAAUAAGCAUCUGUUGUACCCCUCCCAUCUUUCGUCUUCAUUGGCAUCAACCCCUGAGCAUUCAGAAUUCCCACUUCAAGAACCCCAAUGCUGGACUUCCACAGCGGUUUUGCUGUUGGUCGAAGAUCACUACUAUAGUGUGUUGAUUCAUCAAGGACAUGGUAACCACCUUCCAGACAGAUCCUCAUAUGAAUUCUGCUUGCAAACUUAAUUUCCUUCUUCUUUUCCCCUUCUACAAUAACAUGUUUCUCAAGAUUGUGCCAACUAGUGUUCACAGGUUUAUGAUCAUACCUUCGGGUCACAUACUGCAGGGGAAUUGCACACCUUCCUAGAACUUCAUCUUUAUUAGGCGCUACUCUGUCCUCCACACUCAAAAUCAGGGGCUCCUCAAAUGGUUCUGAUGCUACGAACAUUAAAUCUUCAUUCCACAUAGGAUUUAUACUCCUGCUUGGAGAAAUCCUAGUUCUCAAAGCCUGAUUUCCCAGUAUAGCCUUCACAAAAACUUCAGGAUACCUACCUUUAUCACUCGGUUGCAAAUCCUGAGCUUCAAUCACAUUAACCCUCAAAUACCAAAGCUUAGGAGAGAGAUACACCUUUGACCGAAUAUUUGAAAGACUGUCAGCCCCACUAACUGUAGCAGCAUCUGAAUGCCAUGCUUCAGGAAAAGCUUCAUCUGCUUGGGUGCCCAUCCAAACAGCCAACAUUAGCUCUCCCCUAACCUUGUCCCCCUUCCUAUCCUCCAAUCUAUACCAUUGCGGUGCUAGAGGACUAUCAGGAGGUACCCGUUUUGGAAUCUCAUUCAGGUCAAAAGAAACACGACCCAUGAAAUCAUCCUUCACAACAUCCUUGUCCUUCACAAUGACCUCAAGAACCGAAGCCUGAAUACGAUCUUUCGAGAAUGCAAAAACCUGGUUCCACUCCGGAUUCGACUUCUUCUCGAAAUGUCGAGUGGCACCCUUAUAAUUUCCAAGCCUAACUUCAACAUAAGGGUCACAACUACCAGUAACAUCUUUCGCAGGCAAGUCCUUCGCCUUGACAACCCGGACAUAGAGAUACUGCAUCUGCUCAACAAGGUCAUAGGUGCUCGUGAGCUUAUCACCAGAGAUCCUCCCCCCACCGAGGUGGGGUUUGGUCUCCUUCAAAGCAAAGUCUUCUGGGGGUGGUCUCUGCAUCUUGUGGGUUCAAAAACAGAGAGACCCAAAUGGCAAAGAUUGAAGUUGAAGUUGAACGGUUGGAUAUAAUAAGAUUAACUGUUUUUGAAUUAAUUCAAAAGUUCCAGGAACCUAAAACAUCGGAAAAAAUAGUUUAAUAGCCGUUAGUUAUAAGGAAAACCAAAAGCCAAGGCACCUAAAUCUCGGAAUAUUCAUUAAACAAAACCGCACCAUCUAAACUAAAUUAAUAACACGAAACAGGGUGUUAUUGUUAACUACAAAUUGCCAUAUCCAUUACUCAAAAAGAAAAGCAAUCUGAAACUAACAGUACAAAACAUUUCAUAAAUAACACGAAAUCAGAAAGAAUAACUUAGAUCUUUAAAUAUUGGAUGCAUACAUAACAGAAUAUAAAAGGUCCAAGUUUUAAGAGUAACCUUCGUAGCGGCGGAGAAACCCAAGCUUCAGAUCUGAAACAACAAACAACCCAAAGUUACAAAACACAAAUAGCAGAGUGCGAGACUCGAUGUGUUUUUAUAUAUUGUGUUUGGCUACCGAGAAAAAUGACGAAAAGCAGGAAAAAUUGAACAUGCUUCGAUACUAAUAAUUUUCCUUUUCUGCGACCACCGAAAGCAAACAUAUCUAUGACUAAAUCCAAAACAUUACUUUCCUAUUCGGAACUUAAAAUUUGCAGUCGCCAAAAAAAUUUCUUUUGUUUUCAUAAGCUUUCCCAGAAAAAAAAAACAAACAAACUGAGAGCAAGAAAAUGAAGAAAACAGAAAAAUAAACAAAAGUGUGAAGACAACAUAAAGCAUCAGAAAGAACCCUAACAAUGUCGGCGCAGGGGAAUGCUAAGCGGUUCAGAGAGAGAGAGUUUACCUCUUGAGAAGGAAGAAGACUCAGCAGGGCUUCAAAGAAAAAACCCAAAACCCAAAAAAGCUCAUCUUUUCAAACAAACCAAGAGGAAAAGGAAAAUAAAUGAAACGCUCCUCCUCAGAUUGAAGCGGUGGAAAUGGGUAUCAUUGGGUUUGGUGAGGCUGAAAAAUCAAAAAGAUAAGGAUGAACUAAGAAGAAGCAAUGUUUUGCAUUCUAGAGAGAGACACUGUAGAGAGGUAGAGAGGUAGAGAGAGAAAAGUUGAGCGCUUUUGCUUUUGGGUGGGAUCUGUUGAAUAUGUGAGAGAUAUACAGAGGGAGACUAGUCAGUCUUUUUUCUCUUUCCUUCUUUUUUUUUUUUUCUCUUCUUUUGCUUUUUCUCACUCUGUGUAGGGUCUGCGGCUCACUGAGUGUCUGGUGGGCUUGAUGAGGUUGGAAAAUGUACUGGUCAAGCAUGUGUAGGAGACUGUUGUCGGUCUUCGCACGUGUGACACCAUUUGUUUGUGAUGGAAAUUGGAAUAAGAAGGGACAUGCCGCACAACACUACGGAAUUACAGCAGAUUAAUGUCUUUUUUCCUGUUUUUAUAGAGCACUAGAUCAGUUAUAAAAAAAUUAUAUAUAUAUACCUAAUUGGCUGUUAGAGUGAUUUGUCAUUUGGCAUUAUGCAAUUAUGUGUCACAUUCAAUGCACAAGUGCGUUGUUUUAUCAACGGCCAAAUUAUAAUCUUUUUAAUCUUUUAACUCGAUAGUUAAAAAAUAUAUUAUAUCUGUUCAUUGAUUGCACUACAAAAAGACUCCAAAGAUUAUUAUCUGUCAUUUCACAUUAGUGUAAUUAUGUGGUACAUUUAAUGUACGAUACGUUAUUUUGUCAACGGUCAAAUUUUAAUCUUUUAACUCGAGAAUUAAAAAGUAUAAUACACAACUCGAGAGGUAAAAAGUAUAAUACACCGGUACAUUGGUUGUACAGCCAAAAGACUCAUAACAUUAACAUAUUGAGAACGGGUUAAAGGUUGAUGGGAGGUCUUUUCAUAAUGUGUCUUUAGAUGCUCUGUUGGACUAUUUAACCAUGUGGGGAAUGGGAUCUCUAUGUUGUGAUUAGACUAGUUGGCAAUUGGUGAGUUUUAGUUCAGGUGGAGUUUGUUUGGGCCCAGUGGAGUUUCCUAUGGGCUUUUUUUACAGUCGGAGGAGAUUUAGGUUGUUGUUUGCAUAUCUUAACAGGUUUCGUAAAUAUAGUAAUUUUCAUUUUGACAAAGUCAGUUUGGAUUUUUUUUAUUUUUUGGUUGGUAAAUAUAAGAGUGUAUAAAAGCUAGCACUGAAAAUAUGAGAGACAUGAACAAAUGCGUAAUUUUUUUAUAAAAAUACUCGCGCCUGAACAACUCAGUUUGGAUUUAAUAGCAAUAAAUUUGGUCACAAUAGUUAAUGAAAUAUUGAAUGCAAGAGCAAAUGCAUUUUAAAAAUACUUGGACCAUUUGAGUUACAUUGAAUGGGAUUCAUUCAUUCAAUUUCUACUUGGACGUUGAUUGCUCUAUGGAUUUUUCAAUAGGAAAAAAUAUAUAUAUUAAAAAGUCAAGCAUGGAGGAGCCAUUUCUCUAUCAAAGUGGGUGGACCAUGGAGCCUAAUGAAUGAGCAUAUAUCUCUUGGGCCAUGUAUUGUAGCUUGCACGUGUCUCUCAGCUAACCUGGUUGUACAGAACUUCUAUGAAGCCGUGGGUCAUGGAAAGUCACGCCUUAUUAUAAAGACAAAAGGGCUUGUAAUGGUUAGUCAUGUCCAAGGUGUCUUCCACGACCAGAAGCUCAUAUUCCUUUGCUUUUGUGGGACACCAGCACAUGACACAGCUGAGCUGAAGUCGUUUGGACAAUUAUAUGCGUGUCAAUGGAGGAGGGGCACAGGGCAUGCAUGACCUUGCCAAGGGCGCCCUUUGCAAUGGCCAACGAAACAAGGCUUUGAGUCGGGUUGCAGAGCCAGGAAAAUGUACGCAUGCAUAAGAUUGCACUUUCUAUUUCUUGGUUUUAUAUGUGUUUAAAAUAGUUAAGAUUGUCAUGUUGAUGAUUUUGAUUUCACAUGAUGAUACAGAGUAUGAAAUACUUUUUGUUUUUGUUUUAACUUUCAAAUUUGAAAUCUCAAGUAUAAAAUUAUAAUUUGAUUAGUGUUAUUGAUGUGUGUGCGCGCUUGAUAUUAUAAUUUGAUUAGUGUGUAUUGAUGUUAUAUUAUGGUUUGUUUUGGGUAUUAAUGUGUUACUAGUUAAUAUUGGCAUGCUUACAUGUUCAUUGGUGAUGAUUGAUUUAUUACACUUUUAUAUGCAUGCGAUACGUAAACAUAAAAAUUAUAUUAAGAAUUUCAUUAUGUUAUGAGAUUUGGUUAGAUUUGUUGGGAUGAAAAAUAAAUUAUGGAAAUGAGGGUGAUGGAAAGGAUAUUUUGUGUAGUUGAGUCAAAUUAUUGGUGACACAACUCGCUCCGAAUUUCUCAAAAUCCGUAAUGAACCUUGUGAUUUUUCCGACAUCUAAUUGAUGCCAGACCCACUUACUAAAAACAUCCUUUUCUCCGAAACAAAGGAAAAGGGGUCGAGACUCCUACCUAAAUUUUGGCAGAGUUUUCCUUGAAAAAUGAACUUUACCAAAUUUUUUCACCUAUAAAAAACAACAUAAAAUAAUAGUCCAACUGCCAGCAUACACAAUGCAAUAGCACACAUAUUACAAAAUAGGCCUCCGGCCUUAAAUUCAACCUCACACGGGCAAUAUCAAAGCAAUCUAAGAAUCUCCAGUUAAACAACCAAAGUAAAAGUUUCAAAGCAAAUGGACAACAAGUGUCCUACAAUUAAGUAGAGGCACGAGAAGAGAAAGACUCAACUUGGUUGUUCGGAUGACGUCAAGCUACUGCCUAAGGGGCGCAAAAUAGAAAAUUGUGAGUGGACAAAAAACAAACAUACUAACCCCCAUCGUUUUGGAAAGCGAUACCAAAAACAUGCAACAAAAACCAUUUAUAUACAUAACUAACUUUAAAAUCAAGAUAUCCUAUAAUCCCAAUAUAGCAUAUAACAUAAACUCAAACUGGACCUUUUUCUCUUCCCAUACCACUAUCUUCCAAAAUGCAUGCUCGUAGGCACAUCAAGCGAGGAAGGAUCCUCACUAGUAGAUAAGAAUAAAAGUAUAUAUAUAUAUCUACUACCAAACUUAUACCGGGGAAACAAUCCAACGGAGAUUGUUUGAAUAGACCACAUGGAAGAAUCCUCAAUAAAUAUGUGACUUGGGAACGAGUCGUCCAACUAGGGGACUGGGCUCUUAGAUACGCAUAGCAGAAUCCUCAAUACUCAUGUUGCUGAACUAAGUCCUACUCGCACAGACUGCCCCGCCAAAGGCCUACGAAACCCUCCCUAAGGGUGCCCGGGUUCCGACAUAUUCAAGUAUCCAUUGUUUCCAAGUAUCCAUAUCCAAGUAUCCAAGUGUCGGGGAGGUACAUAUGGUGGUGCUAUCAACACUCCAAUAUAAUAUAUCCCACAUCCCAACUCAUAUACCAUGACCAUAUCCAAUUUCCCAAAUAAACCCAAUGUACCCAAUUCCAUAUACAUAGACAUCCGGACAAUAAUAGCGUCCAUAACUCCAUACCCAAAUUAUUAUAUAUAAUAUAGAUACCAAACUCCCACAAUGAUACAAAACCAAAGUUAUGACAAUAUAAUAAUGUCAUAGUCCCAAUAGUCAAAAUAAUCAAAUAUAUAAAUGCAUGACAUUCCAUUUUUGAAAAUAAUGAUCAUUUAAAAAACAAAGUCCACUCAUAGAUAAUCCAAAGUUGCUUGACCCUAAGAAGGUCUCGCCUAUUGAGCUUGUGGAGCUUGAGUACUUAUUUUAAAAAACACGAGGACUUAAUAAAAUAAAGCACUCCGAGUGAGAACUUUAAAUCAAAUUCUUAACUUUCCCGGGACUCAAAGUGUGUACGCCUAACAGGGAGUUUCUAAAGCCAAACUAACGCUUUUUGAAAGGUGAAACGAUUUCGAAAGACUCACGAUCAACCGAGUGGUCAAACUUCCCAAAUUGGUCAACUAGGGCCCCUAUGAUUUUUCAUCCGAAAGUUCCUACGAGAUCCUAGAGGUACAAAGAACAACAUGUUUGAAAUUGAAAGCGAUAGAACGAUCCGAACCUAUCGAACCCAGAUAUCGUAUAAUAGGUGCAAUAUAUGUUUGACUUUUAAAUAGUAACCAAUUCCAAAUCUAAGCAUACCAUCGUGCUCAAGACAACAAGAGGAGUGUUUAGAACACAAUAGGCCGACACAGAGUGGCUCACGCGCCGCCACUGGCCACCAACAAGGCGUGGGUGUCUUGAGAAAAUUCUGGCGACGGCAAAUUUUUGAAACACCCUACAAUAGCUAUACUAAAAGGACAAGUACAACGAGAGGAGCAUUUUUGGUUCUUGGACAAUGGCCAAAAACUUGCCGAAACUAGCUGAAUCGAAGCUGGAACAGUGCAGAUUUGGCCAGAACUUCUUUGCCUUAAACCGGCAAUGGCAGCCAUCAUUGCUGUCGUGCAACCUAGAGGAAAGUAAGAGGGGGUAGAGAGCUACCUGAUCCAAGUGGUGGUGUGACCUGACAUGGCCGAAAACAUCACUGGAGAUGAGAGAGGUUUCUACCAAAACUUCCAGUCGAUACUGUCAACUAUCCCAGUAGUUUUGAGCUACGAAAAGUACUGGGUUGGGUAGAGGAGAGAGAGAGGGUAGACUUUGGAACUUGAAUCGUUGGAUUUGGUCGCCUGACAGUGAUGAUCUCGCCGGUCAAAGUUUCAACGUCGCGAGAGUGAGAGAGAGUGUGGGGGGGAGAGAGAGAGAGAGAGAGAGCGCAUUUGGAAGGGGGAAUCCAACUUCAAAAAAAUUACAAUUGUGCCAUCGUACUUCCGUUGACCACAACCCACAACUUCUUCGUUAAAACUCAUAUUUAGUCCCACUACGUUUUUACAAACUCAUGAGAGCGAGCUCUAUGCAAUGGUAGCAUUCAAUUCCCAACAUCCUUACAGAUCGAAAAGUGACUAAAGUGACCUUACCUCCAAGGGCAAAUUUAUAAAUUCAGAAUUGAAUAAAACGGUUAAAUUGGGUCGGGUUGUUACAAUUGGUAACGUACCAAGUCUUAUGAAAGCCCAAAGUCCACAUGGCUUUUAUCGGAUAAUUCGAGACUUGCGACAAAGAGUUAGGUAAAAUGACUAACAAAAAAGGGAAAUAAUGGGAAUAUUGGGAAGGUCUUAAUUAAUAUAAAUGGACAUUGAGACUAAGUGGUAUAAGCAUGGUAUGUGACAUGCAAGGUCUAUUUGUUCAGUUAUAUGAAUUAACGGGAAUAGACGAAGAGUUCACAUUACACUCAUGCAUUAUUAUUAAUAUUGUAUGAUUGCAUGUCACUUUAUUUAAUUUUGUCAAUUUACUAUGAUAAAAGCAUUCACAAUGGACUUCCUAAAUCACAUCCUUAGAUAAAAUUUAGGGAAGUAAGAAAAUCCACCUCCAACCAUGCUCUCUAUCUAACUCCUAAAAUAUGGAGACCUCUAUGAGCUCCUAAAUCUUAGGAGAGAGAAAGGGCUCCUAGUGACUCCCUAUAAUUAAAUGUUGCUUUACUUUAAUGUUACUUUAAGUAUAUAUUUAAUAUUAACUAUUAUUUUUCUAUAUAAAAGGGAGCAUUUAUGCUAAACUAAAAAAAGAAAUAAAUCAUUUAUGAUUCCCUAAAUUGGGGAAUAUGGUUGGAGUUGAAAUUUUAUAAGGAGCUCCUAAAAUAAUUUUCUAGUGCUUUUGGCUAAAUUUUAACUAACUCAUUCUCUAAGGUUUAUGUCCCUACUGAGCGAUGAUUUGCUCAUUCAUCACCCUUUAUAAGUUUCAGAUAAAUUAGUGGGUAAAGCAAUGACUAAACCACUUGGGGUUGAAUUAGAUGCGAGUGAUAUAUCUUUAUUUAUUUAUAAUUCGAGGUUUUUGUUGCAUCUUGAGUCAGGGUGUGUCAAUUUGUAUAUGAAAAUACAUACCAACCUGGGGGGCCUCGUGAGUUGAAAACGAGGAGAGAAGAAAGAAAAAACAUGUAAAAAUAGGAAUUACAUAAGCUUGUAGCUAAAAGUGUCAAAUGGAUCGUGUCGUGAUGGCCCUUCCAUUUAUGAAAAUUAUUAAGUCCAGUCCUAGCCCAUAUAGGACCGGGCCAGGUUUGUGUCGGGCCAUUAGACGAGCCAAUAUGGGCCCACUCCUAGCUUAACUUAUGUAUUGCAUUUUUUUGUUGUUGUAAUUUUGUUUACAAUUUCAUUUCAGUCUUUUGAUGAUUAUUUAUAUACUAACAAGAUUUAUUUGUUAGAAAAAGAGUCCACUGACUUUACUUGAAGUACAUUUAAAUAGAAAAAGACUAGACUACUAUUUGGGUUUACAAGAUUAAAACUUUAAAAAGAAAAUUAUUAUUUUAUUUAUAAAGAAAACAUUGAACUUUAAAAUAUAUUAUUAACAAAAAUAGGCAUAAAUUUAAGAUAUAAAUAUAAUAAUAUUAUGACUAAAACAUAAAUAAUUUAAUAAAUAUGCUUAAACUGGGCUGGCAUGGUUCGUAACGGGUCUCUAGUUGGCCUAGCCUAUUGGGCCGAAUUACCUUGCCUCGGCUCUUCUAAAGAUACGAGUCGUGUUGUGUAGGGCCUUACUUAAUUGGGUAGAACCCGUGUCGUGCUCUAGUCGGCCCAAUUCGGUUUACACCUCUAUUCAUUGUCAAAGAAAAGUUUCCGACAUUAAUAAUAAAAAAUUCUGAAACAGUUACUCUUCAAUAUUUACUGAAUAAGAAACUGUGAGAAGUCUAAUAUCCUAGCCUAAUUUCCACUAGUUCCAAUCCAUCUCCACUUAUAAGGAACAUGUUACCAAUGGUAUUUGUGCUCAAAACUGGAUGACCAAUAGUGGGCCAAAACUUAAAGAUGUGAUCUGCCUCCAAUAAGGGUUUCCUUUCGACGGUAAAAGGCUAUAUGCAAGGAGAGAAUGAAAAGGAGUAGGUUAGACCUAAGACAUCGGUGUGGUACCAAUUGAAAGCCCUCCAAUGCUAAAGUUAGAGGAAGGAGUGAAGGGUUAAUUACUAACAAAGCGAGGGCAUAAAUUUCAAGUUGCAAUUACCCUUUGCCUUGGGAAAAAUGGACCCUAUUUAUAGAGGUCUGGGGGUAUUUACUUGGCGCAAACUUUUGAUGUGGGACUAGUGGGGAUAGCAUAGAGGCUACCACGUGUCCUAACGAAUACACUAGUGAGGAACUUAAGAGACCCCUGUAAGAUACCUUCUUGGAGGCUAGAUCGGCAUAGGGUGCCGAGGGCACCUGCCAACCUUCGAGUGCGAACCUGCUCGACUGGGCCUACUAGUACGGAAUCAGUAGUGGAUGCCGAGGGCACCUGCCAAUUAUGAGGCUGGGCUGGCCAACGUGGGCUUCUGUGCCUCGUUUGGUGUCGUGUUCUUUCCACAUGUCAUGGGAUGAGAGGUCGAUCGUAUAUGGUACAAACAAAUUGAAUUGAACCCGUCAGAGACAUUAGAGCUGUAGGUGAGAAAGGGUAUGAGAAUUUCUUAUUCAAGUUUUCCUGCAAUGAUAAAUUGAAAUAAAUACAUAAUAAACAAAAAAUUUUGAGAAAUAGAAACACCAUUAGUAAGAAAACAAAUUAAAUAAAGAAAAGUAACUUAAACUAUCAGCCACAAAGCACAUGAUACACAGCUACACAAAGAUCACAUGGAUCCUAACAAAAUACUCCCAAAAUGUUUGUGUGAUAUUGAUGCUUCAUGGUUGUUUUGUUGGCCACGAUUAUGGAGAAAAUUAACAUGUGUCGACCAAAUGUUAAUCUCUAUGCCUUUGUAGAAGUUGAAAAGCAUAGUCACUCUGUCACUCUCUGAUCCGAAAAUAAAAAAUAUUCCCGAAUCAGGUGCGUUAAUUGAAAGAAAUAAAUAAAAAGACUGAAAAAUUGGUUAAAAUACAUUACCAUUAUAUUUAUAUAAAAAAUUAUAAUAAUCUUACAAGUGUACAAGAUAUAAAUAAAAGUUUAUCACUCUAAACUAAUCUAACUUCUCUGGUUUUGGCUUUGUCUUGCCCACUAAUUUAUUUGAAAAAUAAAAUAGGCCAUGGAUGAGAAAACCACCGCUCAGUGAGUAGAUUAUGUAAUAUGUCAGUCAAGCAAUGUCAUUUUACACACUCUAAAAAAUAUAUAAUAAAAAGAUACACAAUCCAAGUCAUAUCACUUCAUUACUUCAUAUCUUGGUUACCCUUCACAAAUUGUACCCAGUACGUGACCUAUAUUGGCCUUACUGCCUUAUGUCCCUAUCUGGUACAUUUAUUCUUCUAAUACCCAGUUACUGAAGUUCUCAUGCUCCAUAAAUAAUACAUACUUCACAAAAACUCCUGUUGAGGCCCAAAAAAUUCACGGUUGGGCCCGAAUAAGUCACAGUACACGUGCCUUGCCAAAUAAAUAAUCCAUUAUGCUAGAAAUUGAGAUAAAGAUUAUAAAAUACACUGGCUUUACAAGCCCAUGCUAAUUAAGCAUCGUGUCCCUCUUCAAGGACCAUAAAAUUAAAGCACGUCAAGCGACAUGCCAUGCCAAGCAGAAAAUUAUUAUUUCACACCCAAUCAUGCUACAAGCGUAAGUGGGCCCAAGCUACUCAAAUGCCCGGGGCUUGCUUGAGUGGGUUGUGGUAUGGAUGGUAAUGAAUUGUCAUGAGGCCCAUUGAUGGGCUGAGAAAUGGAAGUCCCGGAUUGCUUAGGAGUCUCGCAACUCAAGCCCAUUUCUUAGGCCCAAAUAUGUGGGUGAGCAUAAAAGAGAAAAUAGCCCAUUACUUCAACCAAAAUAGCCUAACACUUGAUAAGAUUAACCCAUUUAUUUGAUAAAUCAACAUUUUGUCUUAGAAGACCCAUACAAUUAUAAAAAGAAGCAGCAAAAGCCCCAACACUUGGCUGGAGAACAAAGCCACAAAGGGAGCCUGGAGGUCCAUGUGUGCAAAGCUGCUGGGAGGCUCUAGCACAUGGGAGGGAACAAGUUUCAAGCAAAACAUCCAAAGGACCGGAGGAUAUUUGUGCGCAGACUGCUAGAAAGGGAGUCACCUUUCGAACCAGCGUGCAUACCCAUUUCUUUCCCUCAUCAGAACUGGCUAUGGACGAAAGAGGAAAAAAAAGGAAAUAGAUGGCUGGGAAUGAGAGUUCUCUACUGAGGUAGUUGCGGGAAGAGCAUUGAGCUCCCAAAAAUUCAUGUUUUUGUGCAAUUGGGCAGAGGAAAUUUCACCAAGAUAGGAUAAGUUAAAGGAGGACAGGAGAAAGGAAGGGAAAGAUUUGGCCAAAUUGGAUUGAAACCAUUAUGGUUUCUUGGGAAGGAGGAGCUUCCAAUGACUAUAAGUGAAACACUUCUUACCCAACAACCAUCAACCACAUCCAAAAGAGCAUGCUUCCUCUCUCACCUGCAAAACCCAGCAAAUUCGUGCUCUAUUCAUCCUUCUCCCCCGUUUUCCUUCCUCUGACAGACUGUUCUAACAUUCAACAUAGCCUCUUUUAAGCUGCUGGAAAAAUACUUGAGCCACCCAUUCUCCUAUCUUUCCCUCAUUCUCAUCCAAACCUUCCUGCAAACCCUUCAUUUCUUACCUUAAUACCCCCUUUUUUUUCCCAGGAACGCAUAGCUUUCUCUUCAGUGCUAAACUCAUGACAAUUUUGCUUCUAUGCCACAAGCCUCUCAUACCAAGCUAAAAAGUCUACAUGUAAGCAUCCAUUGUUUUUGUUAGUGAAGGUAACCAAGGUGUUUCCUAAGGUUUCACUAUCCUUUCGAAGCAUUAUUGGGGUCUGAUAUUGGAACUUAGAUACAGGGGGUGAUUUCAUCCAUUUUGCUCUUUACGGCAGCCCAGCCCAUUUGUAGCUGUCGGAAGAAAAAGCCCAUAUAACUCCAAAUAAUAUAUAUUAUGUGAAAUAUUGCACAAAUUAAUGCUUGACUUGAAAAUAGAGAGAGGUUUGUAAAUAGAAUAAACCCAUGAUUUUCACAUUUAUCACAAAAUAAGAACUUUUAGAACAUAUUACAUAACCCACUCACCAUGAUAAGUAUGAAAUAUUGCAAGACAAACACACACGCUCUUCAUCUUGUUUUUUUUCUUCCUUAUCUCUCUCUCUCUCUCUCUCUCUCUCUCUCGCUCUCUCUCUCUCUCUCUCUCUCUCUCUCUCUCUAACACUACUUCAUGGUAGAAAUCUAUCUUAAAGGAUUGGAAUAAGUGAUUGAAGUAAGGAAGCAUGAUACUUAUAGGAGAGGCUAUGGAUGCACCCAAAUAAUAUUUAUAUAUACAAUAUUUUAAACCACCAAAAAGAUAAGAUAGAAAAGUAAGGGAAUAAUGUGACUCAUCCCCUCUUGGCCAAUGAUAUCACAACACCACCAAAAAAUAAGAUAGAAAGAUGAGGGAAUAAUGUGAGUCAUCCACCUUUGGCUAAUGAUAUCACAACUAAGGGUGGGCACGGUCCAGUUUGGUCCAAUUUUCAGUCAAAAUUAGAACCUGAACCGUACUGUACAUCCAGCUCAGUCCGAUCCGGUUCUAAUGAAAAAUUAAUGGCUCAACCGAACCAUUCCAAACCGGUUCAGAUCCAGUUCGGUUUCGAUUUUCUCAGUUGGAAUCGACAAACAAUCCCAGCUUUGUUUUUUGAAUUUUUCCCAGAUCUACAUUAGAUCUACAAUCCCAACUCUAUUUUCGUUUUUGUUUUUUUGGAUUUUUCCUGGAUCUACAAUCCCAACUUUUGUUUUUGUUUUUAUUUUUAUUUUUAUUUUUGGAUUUUUUCCAGAUCUACAUCAGAUCUACAAUCCCAGCUCUGUAUGAUGAAACAAGUCCCUAAGAUCUACAAGAUGCUGUCUGGGCAGCGUGCUCAGAGAAGGAAAGAGACUCCAGGGAGAGAGCUGGAGCUGAAGCUGUGCUGGCUCGUGCUGGUAGCUAAGCUCGGAUGCAUGCGGGGACUGGAGCCCAGUGGAAGGCGAUGAAGGUGUAGAGGAUGUGGCUGUGGCAGCAUGAGGGGGAGAGGAAAAUACAAGGUUGGCAUCACAAAGAAGUGAGAAAGAAGAAGAAGAAAGAGUCAGCACAGAUGAGAGAAAUAAGAAGAAAAAAAGGAAGAAAAAAAAAGAAGAAGAUGUUCACCCGUUUUCGUUUUUAACUCCUGAUGUGGAAGGGCGAAGUUCCCCACUGGCUUGGAGACCACUUGUUGGUCGACAAGUCAGCUUUCUUUGGUGUGCGAGCGUGCCACUGCUAGCAAUGUAAAUUCUAGCAGACUUAUUUUUAGAGUGGAUAACUUGCGCCUCAAGUUACUGACUUCUAAAACAAACGAUUGUGAAUUUGGGUGAGGAAUAUCUCCCAAGUAAGUUCUUUUCUUGCCUCAGACUGGUGAGGACUUUCACAAUUUAUCUCAGUACCAAAAAUGGUUGUUCUGGCCAGAAUAGAUAAUAAUAAAGUACUGUUUCAGGCAGAACUGCCUUUUACAAAAUUAAGAAGGGAGAAAUCAACUCUAGGAAGGCAAAAGGAUGGCUGGAAUCCCAUUUCUGCCUGGGUAGAAACUUCUGAUCCGGGCUGGACUGGGUAUGUCUAUGCUGGACUGUACUGUCAACAACUUUAGCUGCUUGGCUUCAGCUGUAAAUCGAUACCAAAGUUCGAUUUUGGCAGAGCUUCAAUCUACUUCAAGCUAGGGGUGGGCACGGUUAAGUUUGGACCGGUUUUUGCCUCAAAUUAGAACCGAUCCAAUACUAUUCAUCCGGUUUGGUUCGGUUCGGUUUUAAUAAAAACAAUUUCAAAAACUGUCCGGUUCGGUUUGAACCGAUUUCGGUCCGGUUCCGGUUCGGUUCGGUUUUGAACCGGAUUAUAAAAAUUAUUUUUUUAAAUUACUUUUUAAUACAAUUCUCAAUUGAAAUAUUAUUUUUUUACUUGAAAAUUAACAAAUUAUUCAAUUUCAUAUAAAAAAUAAAUAUUAAAGUGAGAAAAUAGAGAUAUUUUGACAUUGAACUUGGAUAAAUAUUAUGUUUUUUUUAGUGAAAUUAAAAAUAUAGCAUUAAAUAUAAAUAUAUAUAUUGAAAUUAUAUAUUUUUUUAGUUUCACCGGUUCGGUUCGGCCCGAUUCGGUUUUUGAAGACAUGGAACCGGAUCCGGAACCGGUCCAAACCGGUCCGGUUCGGUUUUUGACCGGUUUUUGACUUUUUGGUCAACUCGGUUUUUUUCCGGUUUGGUUCGGUGCGGUUUGGUUUGAAUUUCCGGUUCGCCGGUUUGAGUGCCCACCCCUACUUCAAGCCUUGGGAGGCUCUUGAGCCUUCAGUCUGAAGGGACAGAAGUGGCUAUUCUCGAGGAUUUAGCAAGCUGGAACCAUGCUGUAAAAUUUGUUGAGGUUUUCAUAGUUGUGAAAACUCAAACUAUGUUUGUCUUGGCUUUUGCUGAACCAAAUUUGUAACGAGGGAUCUCGUUCUAGGAAAUUUGUUUUCUAAGUCUGAACCUUGGAAUUCUGAUUUAAGGUUGGUUCCUCUUGGAAUUUAAGUGAGCUCUUGGCUGUUUUUCUUGCUGUUGUUUUUUUGGUUGAUGAGUUGAGUGUCCUUUCUUUCUUGCCUGCUUCUGUUUUUAUAAGAGACCCUCCUUUUGAAGGUGGUUUUAAAUUUAAAUAAUGGGCGGCAAAAGAUUUCUCAAAACGUAAAGCAGGAAAGAUUUUUAUCAAUUAUGGCAGAUAGACUCCCAGUGGUCACUUCCUAUAGCGAUCCCUUCCCUGGUUUCCUGGCUGACGUUUUUUUCUAUUUUAAUGCCACCGUCUGUGUGAGCUGAUCCUAUGGCGGUUUUGAUUUUUCUUUUGUAUUUUCUGAACAACUCCCUGUUUCUUGCUCUUGAAAACGUGAUUUGCGAAAUCUUUUUUAGAAGAUAGUGUGUUGCUUUGGAGCAAAAAGUCUCUGAUCAUAGACGCCCCUUUGAUUUUUCUUUCUCGGCAGUGUUUUCAGAAACGUCCCUUCUCACAUAAAAACUCUAGUUGGAAUUGCUGACUUUCCAGAGAGGUGAGGUAGCCACGUGAAUGUGUCUUUAGUCUCUUGGGCUUGAGUUUAAACAAUAUUUUGUGGGCUGAUCUUCAAAGGCCCAAUAUGACAGCUUUCUACGUUUUGGGUUUUUUGGGACUGGAUAAGUAUUUCACCACGGGCCUGUUUCUGGAUCUCUUUGGUGUGUCAAAUUUAGGCCCAAACAGAAGAGGAAAGAGUCGGCAGCACAAUGGAGAGAAAAGAAGAAGAAAAAGAAAAAAAAAAAAAGUCAGCAGCACAGAGGAGAGAAAAGAAGAAAAAGAAAAAACAAAGAAGAAAAAAGAAGAAAAAGAAGAAGAAAAGCCGGCAACCAGAUGAGAGAAGAAGAAUAAGAAGAAAAAAGAAGACUUUUGGAAUGAGAGAUGAUGAAGGGGAUGGCUAGGGUAUGAGAAAUGGUUGAGGGAGUCGUACAAAUGAAUAUAAAGAGUUGGGCCUGGUUAAAAAAUAGAAUUUGGCCUGGUGAGAUGGUUAACAAAUGGACUUGGGCCUAUUUAUUUAUUUGACUUUUAGAGUUAGGCUUGGUAUGGAGAGGUCUAAUAAUAUAUAAUUAUAUAUAUAUACAUUUUUUAAUUUGACCGGUCUGGUUAUGCCCGGUCUGAUUUUUGAAGGCAUGGAACCGGAACUAGAACCAAUCAAAAUUGGUCCGGUUCAAUUUUUUGAUCGAUUGUUGACUUUUUGGUCAACUCGAUUUUUUCUUGGUUUUUUUGGUGUGGUUCGGCUCGGAUUUCCUGUUUGCCGGUUUGAAUGCCCACCUCUAAUCACAACAUCACUUGUUACUAGCUUGCAAGGUGCAUGGCAAUGAUGAUUUGAUUAAAACUAAUUCUAAGUCUCUACAGGUGGAAAACAAGAAUGGUGUCAUCUUUCAACUAAAGGGAUAAUCUCAUACUAGGCUUAAGAUUUAAUAACAUAUAAAUCUUCACAAAAAAUAUUUAAAUAAGAAAUUUUCAUAUUAAUAAAUGAUUAAUAUAAAAGUAAUAAGUUAAACACAAUCAAAAUAAGGAGUCUUGCAAGGACAUUACCUGAAAAGUACGGCCAGAAUGAAGGUCAUUGUUGGGACAAGAUUUAAUAUGACCACUGCAUUUGUUGCUGAUGUUAAGGCUAGGCUUUCAAUGUAUAAAUUUUGAGAUAAUGGUCCCUAAAAUAAAUAUUUUGUACUUAAUAAUUAUUGGAGAUAUGAAUUCCUCAUGAAGUACUUAUAAAUUGGUAUAGAAUUAAUUAACUUUGACAACAUGAUUGGUUAAAAAAUAUUUUGCCGUGUAUAUAUUUGUAUUAGAGGUUCCAAACGAUCUUUGGGCUGGCCUGGUCCAUUGCGCCGAAUUACCUCAUCCCAGUUUACCCAAAAAUACGGGUCAUGUUAUAUUGGGCCUUACUUAAUCGGGUUGAACUCGUCUCCUGCCCGAGCCAGCUCGGUCUGUUUGACACCUCUAUCUACUGUCAAAAAAAGUUUCCGACAUUAAUAUUAAAAAAUUAUCAAACAGCUAGUCUUCAAUAUUUACUGAAUAAGAAACUCUGAGAAGUCUAAUAUCCUAGCCCAACUUUCACUAGUUCCAAUCCCUCUCCACACAUAAGGAAAAUGUUACCGAAUGAAUUGAACCCAUAAGGGACAUUAGAGCCGUAGUUGAGAAAGGGUACGAGAAUUUCUUAUUCAAAUUAUCCUACAAUGAUAAAUUGAAAUAAAUACAUAAUGAACAAAAAAAAUUUAGAAAUAAAAACACCAUUAAUAAGAAAACAAAUGAAAUAAAGAAAAGUAACUUGAACUAUCAACCACAAAGCAUAGGAUACACAGCUGCUCAAAGAUAGCAUGAAGCCUGACAAAAUACUUGCAAUUUUUUUUUUUUGGGGUGAUAUUGAUGCCUCAUGGUUGUUUCGCUAGCCAUGAUUAUGGAGAAGAUUAACACGUGUAGACCAAAUGUUAAUCUAUAUGCCUUUGUAGAAGCUGAAAAGCAUAGCCCCUCCUAACCCUAUAAUUAUUCCCACAACUUUAGCUUUCCCUGCAUUAGUUUGUAUGGACAAGUUCUCCAUCAUUAAAUAUAAAAUUAAUAAGUUAAACACAAUCAAAAUAAGGAAUCUUGCAAGAAAAUUACCUAAAAAGUAUAGCCAAAAUAAAGGUCAUUGCUGGGAUAAAAUUUAACAUGGCCACCACAUAUGUUGCUGAUGUUAAGGCUAGGCUCUCAAUAUAUAAAUUUUGAGAUAGUGGUCCCUAAAAAUAAAUAUUUUGUACUUAAUAAUUAUUGAAGAUAUGAAUUCCUCAAGAAGUACUUGUAAAUUGGUAAAGAAUUAAUUAACUUUGACAACAUGAACAUGAUUGGUUAAAAAAUAUUUUGUCGUGUAGACAUUUGUAUUAGCUAGGCCAGGCCGUCCUUUCGGGCUUUGUAUUGCAUUUUUUUUUACAAUUUCAUUUCAGUCUUUGUCAAUUAUGUAUAUACUAACAAGAUCUAUUAUUUGUUAGAAAAAGAUACCAAUGACUUUAUUUGAAGUACAUAUAAAUACAAAAGAGUUAGACUAUUGUUCAGGUUUAAAAAAUAAAAUCUUUAAAAAUAAAAUCAUUAUUUUAUUUAUAUAGAAAAUAUUGAAUUUUAAAAUAUAUUAUUAGAGAAAAAGUAUACUUGAAUUUAAGAUAUAAAUACAAUAAUAUUAUGUAUCAUUUUUCACUAUAACAAAUAGAAUUUAAUAGAAUUUUCAAUCCAUGUCAUUGUGUAGUUAUGUGGAUAGGAUAUGUAGUAGUAUGAUUGGAUUUGUUUAAUCGAACCGUAUUGCUUGGUAAUCAAAUGUGAACAAGGGAUUCUCUCUCUCUAGCAAGGAGAGACACAAGCUAGGGUUAGGAUUUGGUCUGUGUGCCGUCACCUCCUCUUUAGUUUCGUUUGCCUUCCUUAGUCGGUCUCUCUGCCCUUGUGCCUUAGACCUCGCCUUUCAGCUUCAUCGUUCCUGUCGCCUUCAUCACUUCCUUUUGCUCACUCUCGCUGCAACAACGCCCUCGACUUCGCCUUCCUACUUGCGUCAUCGUUGCACGCCCUCGUCUUCGUGCGUCGUCGUUUACCCUCUUUCUCAACUCUCUUUGCAUAUCAAGUGGUGGAUUUUAGGGUCUUUCCGACUUAUUUUCUCUUCGGGGGUUCAAGCCGUUGCCAUGUCCUCCCUGAUUAUUACUCCCGACGAACCUGUUGAUGAGAUUGAAUGCUCUUUUGGAAGUCGUCUGGUUCUUAUGUGACGCGAACUCGUUGGUGUGGUUAUUGGGUCAUCUAAUGUCUCUAAUCGCUUUAUUGGUUUUAUCUUUAGUCUUGUGGCCCAAGUGCUUUCAGAUCAACCUAUCAACCCAAGUGUUUCUAAUUCGUCUAGCAUCAAGUGCAAAAGCUUUGCGGAAGCUUCCAUUGAUAGUGAGGUUUUGACUCAUGGAGUGGAUGUAGUGGCUCCUAAACGUUUGUGCAGUGGUACCCGUGCUGUUCUACCUAUGGAGACUAGUCUCUUGGGGUUUCGUAAGGACCUCCCUUUAGCUGUUCAGACAAGCAUUCAUCGACUUGGCAUCCCGCGAAUGCAUUGCUGCUUGAUAUCUACUUUAGGUUAAGUGGCUUAGGCCAAGUUUGUUUUUUUUGUUGCAUGUUCUCCUUUUGUGAUCUCCUUCCCAGCAUACAGGUGCGACUUCGACUGCCUUAUAAACUAUGUUUUCAUAUGAGGUUUCCUUUGUCAGUGUGAAGAAGUUUGGGUGUGUUUUUCUGGGUUUUCCUUUCUUUAGUGUGCUUAUUAUGUUAUUGUGUCUCUGUCUGCCUCAUAUCCUGGGUCGAGAAACUUUACCUCUGCAGCUGUACGAAGGACUAUGGCUCCAUAGUGGGUUUCUUUCGACAGUUGGAUGGUGUUACAGUGCUUUUGGAGUUGGUUUCUCUGUUGGGUUUUCUUGUUUUUUGUUUAGUAAGCGGUCCAGCGUGACUUGAUUUAGACUCUAGUACUUGACAUGCGUGAUACUAUUUUCUUGCCUAGGUUUUCCUAGGAAGGUUUUAAUGAGGCCGUUGUUUCGUGUCAUUAUAUGUACGUUCAUGAUAUUAUGAAUGAAUUCUUCUAAAACAAAUAUAUAAUUUAAUAAAUGGGCUUUAAACGGGCUGGUCAGUUGGGUUUCGGCGACGGGCCUUGACUAACUCGAUCUAUUAGGUCGAAUUACCUCGUCUCGACUCGUCUGAAGAUACAAGUCAUGCCGUGUCAGACCUUACUUAAUCGGGCUGUACUUAUGUCGUGUUAGGGCGGGCUUGAUCCAUUUGACACCCCUACUUAUAGCCCAAACUGACGUGCAUCCAACUAAAUUGAAAAGAAAGCUAACACAAACUUCCAUUCCUUUCCUCCAACAUUCCAAUUAUGGACUACCCAUAUUAAUUUCAACAUGCCACCUAUAGAUAGAGAUGAAAGUUAAUGACAAGUUCAUAUACAUCAACAAAUUAAAUCUCACCAUUGGCGCAAAAAUCUGAUUUACAUCUAAAUUUUACAUCUCCUCAUUAGAGAUGCUAUAAUGGUUCCUCUUCUCAAUAUUAAAAGACAUCUCCUGACAUGAUUUUUAUAAGUAAUUGGGCUCAAUCAUUAUAAAAAAAAUAUUGGGCUCAAUUCUAAAUCGUAAAAUAGUUGAGACAUUUGCAAACACCGAAAAAAGAAAUACCCCUAGAAUUGCACUUUAUAGUUCAUUAAUUUAGGGCUCAUUUGGAAUAACUUCUUUAGGAAGUAUUUUUGCUCAUAAAUGCUUCUAGCAAAAGCGCUUUUGUUAUAAAAAUGUAUAAAGUUAUAUAAAAAAAUUUAGAAUGCUUCCUAAAGAAGCGCAUAACAAGUGAUUAUCUAGAACGCGCUUCUAAACUUUUCUGUUAAACAUUGUUAGAAGUGCUUAUGAUUGUCAUCAAAUGUUUUUCAUCCUUUCAAAAGAACUCCCAAAUAAGCCGUUAGUUCCAGUUUAAGUGCCAGCUUGGCAUUGGUUAUUUAGGGUGAUAAGUGAUUUUUAAAAAAAAUUUGGGAAGCCUAGUCCGUUUGGUAAACUAUGAGAAAAUCACUUGUUGUUAAAAAUUGUUGUGAGAGAAAGUUAUAAGAGAAAGCAGGUAAUGAUGUACUUUCAUUUUUUUUAUGAUGCAGGAAUCAGUUUUGAAGAAGUGCUGAGUUUAAUGAUUAUGCGGCAAUCAUUUUUUGAUUAUGCGGGAGUCAGUACCAACAACACUUUUAACAAAAAGUUUAUCAAACGCCAAAUUACUUUAUCUCACAGGUGAUUUCUUUCGCAACAAAUCUGAUAAUGAUCAUUGUCACAGCACAGUAAUACCAAAUUAGCCCUAAGUGAAAACAAUCCAAAACUAGAUCGAACCCACACAGCUUAAAACUUCCAAAAAUCUUAAAUAUAGAGACCCUUAAAUAUUUCUUGCAACUUUAUGGUCAAAAGGGGUUGAUACUAGAGAUAGUUGAUAUCAUCCAAACGCUCAUGCGUUGCCCGAUAUAUAUUAACGGACCCCACCGAUUCUAAUCCACUUGUUCUCCACUUACCCCUUCGGAGUUGGCCACAAUUCAACAGAUUAUUGGUAACGCUACCUGUAAACUCUACCAGCACCCAAUCAAAAGCGCACACGAAGUCUAGUCUUCCUGCACCCAACCAUACCCGAUCUCCUCCUUCACUCUCUCUCCCAACCUCUCUCUCUCUCAUUAUUCAUUUCUGGAAGAUCUGCAACUCACAAAUCUGUCUAUAGAGAACUCUGCGCUUUGCUGCCUCCCGAAAAAACCAUGAGCGACCCAAUUGAGCCCUCAACGUCGUCGUCUUCCACCAAAGACCCGGCCCUUCUGAUUCACCCGAGGCGCGAGCCAUUCGAGCACGGGCUUUUGCCCAUCCCCAAGCUCAUCUUCACCGACCCGACGCAAACCCUAAUUCCCCUAAAGCAGAAGCUGAUCGAGCAGUCUUCGAGUCACCGGGUCAACUCGGCUGCGAUCUCUGAGGUGCUUCAGAUCUCCAUUGAUCAUGCCAGGCUCGUCCUCGAUACCCUUGCCUCUGUUCUUCAGUCGGAGUCCGACCCGCUCCUCAAAUCCAAGCCGGACGUGGUUGAUGAGGUCGGCGCCGAUGUGAAUGAUCUGGUUCUAUUCCUCUACAUUCAGUCGUACAAGAAGUUGCUGCCGAGGACGCACAAGGACUCGGCUGCCGUCGCAGAUGUUUGGCCUUCGACCUCGGCUUUCGAUGGGUAUUUGUCCGCUUUAUCGCCAUUGCAGGUGAUAAGUCGUUCCUGAAUUAAUAUUUUUUCUUUUUGUUUUUUGGUGGUCCAUUGUGCAAGCAAUGCUGGUGUUAUUUUAGAUUACAGUAGUGAAUUUGGGAAGGUAUGAUAAGUUUGGGGCAAAUUGAAAUGGGUUUGCAGCGAUUCAUUGCUUACUUUGGCCGUUGGUUUUGGAAUUUGUAUAAAAUUUGAUUAGUUACAUACAAGAGGUUGGUGAUUUUAUUGAAGGCGUUGGUUUCUUUGAAGUGGGGUUGUAGCCUUGUGAAUUGGGUUUAUUCAGAUAAAUUGGUUGACUUUGUAUGUGUUUAUUUGUUGGUGUGAAAAUAUUGUUUGGAUGGAAUACAAUGUGGAUUAGAAUGAGGGUUUUUAUGAUCGAUUGUGUGCAUAGGGUCAGUGUUUUAAAUAGCGGAUCAAGCUUCAUAGCGUGGCAGAAAUUUUUUCCGACAUAGCAGACUAUCAUUGCGAAAGUAUCAAAUGGCUGUUGCUAUAUGACCGUCACUUUAAGAAAACAAACUCUGAACCUCAAAUUUACCAAAAAAUUGACACAAAUCCAUAAAAUUGAACGCCAUACUUUGCUGUUUCGAGUCAAUAGAUGUUGCUUCUUCCCUGUGUUGUGACUUGGGGUACUACUUGAACAGGAUUUGCAGCAAACACAUGUGUUUAUUCAUCUUUUAUUUUUUAUUAUUAUUUGAAUUUUCUGUUUUGUGGUUGUAUUUUUGGACAAUUUCAUAAAUUGAAUCUUUGGUAAUUUCAUAAGUUCUUAUGUAUAUUCCGUAAUUUAUUCGAAUCAGUUCGUUUAUAUUCAAUUAUUCAAUUGAAGUUUUUUAUUUGUAAUUUAGAGGAGAAUGUUGAUAAUGUGACAUUUUAUUGCUUAACUAUUGUGAUGGAAUGAUAUUUAGACUUUUUGGGUGGCCUUUUUUUUAUUGUCUAUAUUAUUAUUUUAGCUAUAAUAUUUCUAGUCCCAAAUAGCUUAUGUGACAACGCAUCAAUGCUUACGCUAUAGCUUACAUAAUUUGCAACGCGAUACGCGAUCACGAUUUUUUUUUUAAAAAACCCUAAGGAACUCACAUCGGUUGCAACAAUUUGUUGCCUUCUUUUCUAUAUCUAUUGGAUUGAGAAGAACUUAAAAGUAAAAUUGCAAGCACCGAAUGUCGCGCUGUAGUGAGCGGACCUCCUAGUUUUAUCAUGUAGGAUGUGCAUAUUUGGAUUCCUUCGGCAUGGCAGUGGUACAUUGUCGCUGCCUUUGUUUCAUUAGUUUUAUGUACUCGUAAUGUUUCACGAUGCAACUUAUGUGGUUGAUUCUAAACUGUUAGAACAAGGUUUUGUUGAGUUAGUUUCAUUCAGAUGAAUUCCUGUAGUAUAUAGUACAACAUUUUUAAUAUCCAGAUACUAUAUAAUUCAUUACUGUCUUUGUACUGAAAUUGUUCUUUUCUCAAUAUUUAGUUUCUUGUUACUGUCAUUUGAGACAAUUUCUUUGUGUUGAAUUAAACUUAUAUCAACCUUGGAAUGCGAACACAUGGCAGCUUGUGCGUAGCAAUAGCCGUCGGUUUGUGCCAUCACAGGCUGAUGAAGAGGCCCAUCAGUUGUCAUAUCUGCAAAAGCAUUUGGCCAACAUUGUCUCUCUUUUAGCAGAACCUGUGGAGGGGGAAGGCGAAGAAUCUCUGGUUUGUGGAAUUAAUACUUAGUUUCUUUCUUUGAAUUAAAUUUUCACCUUUGUUAUUCUGGCUAUCACAAAGUGAAUCAUACACAUUAGAAGUAAUGGUAACAUUUCUCUUUCCUUUUACCUGAUAGUCCUUUUGUCCAAUGUGAUAGAAAAGGAUUCUUCCCACUGUGAGCAACACCCCAUCCUUUAAUUCAUGUUUUGCUGUGUCAUGACUCAAGAGUUCAACACCAAUUAUAGCCUCAUAUGCAUUUGUGUUUGUGGAAAGUAAUUUCUCCAUGCUAAGUCUUGAGGCAUGAGCCUUACAUUCCCCUUUCAUGCUAUGUACUGAACAUUGGUUAUCAUUCAUCUCACCUAAGGCAAAGUAGGACAUAUUUAAGGUUAAUGAAAAUGGAAAUGUAAUUUAGUUCAUCCAAUACAUGGUUAAGAUAUUGUUGCCGCUUACAGUCACAAAAAAGAAAAGAAAAAGGACAUACAUUUCCUUUUCUUUUGUUCUUUUAUGUGGCCAUUGCACCUGGUAGAGUAUGUACUGGCGGAACAGUUAAUCUAGAUGACAAUAAGUUGGGCCAUAACCACCUAUGUUCCUAGUUGGGACUACCUACUGUGGUGAUUGCAUAACAUGAUAUCCAAUGUUUCAGGAUUUUCAUCAGACCUACCUUUGAUUUGCACCAACCAAGUAUCGUAGGUAGUUUUUUGUCAAUUGAGAAAAGAAAAACCCUUCCAGGAAUUUGUCUUGUAUGCGACUCUCAAUCAUUUCAGUAUAAUUUCAUAUACGAGUUCUUAUGUUAUUAGCAUUAUGGAAUAUUAUAAUUGUCCUUUCUUGUUAGUAUCUGCCAAGCCUACUUGUAAUUAUCUGAUUUAGCCCUAUGGUUUUAGGUUUUGACCAUGGAGAAAUUUGAGCACCUUGGCUUUCUGUUUUACUUUGGUGAUAAAGGAUCUGAAGGAUAUCACUUGGGCCAAUAUGCUCCUUUUUUUGCAAAUUCGGAUCCUGAUAUGCCUGCUGUUCCUGUUCCUGCUGCACAAGUUCAUGAUUGGGUUCUGCAGAAUAUAGUUUCUUCGUUGGAAAAUAUUUCUGAAAGAAUUUCUCCAAAAGAAAAUGGCCCACCCAGUUCCUCAGAUCAAGAUGUUCCCAUGGCUGAUGCCUGCACGAGUACAAACAAGGGCUCAAUGAGUGUUAGAGGUCCAAGUUUUAUUGAAGGGAUCUCCAAGUCAUCACUUAUAAAGCAAGCAUCUGAUCUUAAAGGCUCUUCUGUAAAGGUUUGUUUAUAAGGCAUAUUAUACCUUUUCUUUUAAUUAAUACAUAAAAUGUAAUGUCCAUUUGUUUUCCGAUGUCUACAUUUAGGUGAUAUUUUGUAUUUAAACACUUAUCAAGAACUGCAGAACCAGAAGGAAUAAAAUGGAGAAAAUAACUAUUUUUUUUCCUAACAAGGAAACUCAACUCAUUUUUAGGAGAAAAUUCUAUUUGUUAUGUCAAACGAUUAUCAAGGUAUGAGUUGUAUGUAAUGAUUGCAUGUUGCAUGUCACCAUGGGGAUUCAUUCUUGGUCACUCAUGGUUUUGGGCUGUGCUAAUGCCCAUGCUAUGCUUCUGUGUGUGAUGGAUAUAGAAGCUUGAAAGGUUUUGCCAAUGUUAUGCUUGCAAAUUUUUGUUUCCAAAUUGACUAACUUAUUUGGAAUUAUUUUUUAGACGCAUUUGCUUCACCUUUCUUCAAGUCUGUUGUGUAUAGGGAGGUAGAUUCUCAUUCAAGUUGAUCCUAAUCUUAAUUAUAAGGCACAGUGAAAUGAUUUUGAGCCUCAUUGUAGCAUAUUGGAGGGAAGCUAAUGCACUUUUUUAAUGACAGCAUUCUUGUUAUGAUUUUCUCAAUAUGUUCUCCUUCAUGAUGUGUGCAAAAAUUGUGAACUGAGAUUGUAGUAGGUUCAUCGGCUGGCAAUUUUUUAUUUAUGAAAUUUAUCGGUUUGCUAUUAAUUUGUUUACAAUUGCAGGUUUUAAAUUGCCACGAUUCAGUUAUCUACAUAUUAGCACCUCUGAGAUAUGCCACAGUUUAUGGAUGCUCUGAUGCUACUAUUGUUCUUGGAGCUGUUGGAAAGGUAACACCAAAGGGAUUUGUGUUUGUGCUUUGAAUUAUUGACUGUUGCAAUGGUUCUAUUGCUGGAAAAUCAUCUAAGUUUUCUUUUUAAGCCCUUACCUAUCUCUCUAAUGACUUAUUACUGUAAUGUGAAGUGAUCAACCUGGUAAUUACUGUUUAGUAUGCAAUGGUUGUGGGUCCUUUUGACACCUGCUGACUUGAAUAUUAUAUCUUAGACGAUCUAAUGUUUCUUACAGGCUGUAAGAAUUGAACACUGUGAGCGAGUUCAUGUGAUUACAGCAGCAAAACGAAUCUGCAUUGCUAACUGCCGUGAAUGCAUGUUUUUUCUUGGGGUAAACCAGAGACCACUUAUUGUUGGUGAUAACCACAAGUUACAGGUGAGUUUUCAUGCCUUAAAGGUGAUGCACAAUUGUGUUACUAGCUGGUUCUAAGGCUUUUUACAGUAUAAUUUACAUUUGAUUGAGUUUCCCCAGGUACUGUUAUGCUUUAUCUUCUGCAACUGAUCUUAAUGCGGAUUUUUUGAUUGUUUGUAAAACUACCAUUGCAAUGUAAUUUCUUUUCUAUGAUCCCAUAUAUCCUACUGUAUGCAACAUAUUAUCGAGAUUGAUAUCAUCAGCAGUGCAUCAUAAGACUUAUUGCCAUUCUACAUUCGAUAGCAUGCCACCAAAUCUAAUAGUUCUUCUUGACAUCUGUGUAACACUGGAGCAUCGAAGGAUUUCCUGGAAUUUUUUAUUAUAAAAUUUCUCAAUAUUAAAUGAAAUGUCACAGCCCUACGUGCGAAGUUACAGUGAACAUACUACACACACACCCUCUUAGCCUGGUCUUUGUAACUGAUCUUUGCUGACAGUCUUGUACACAUUUAGUUGUUAUGGUUUAAUUCUGAAAAAUGGUCUUGUUUGCAUCGGUUUCUUUUGCUAUGUUAAACCUUUGACUUCAAAUCGAAUACAAUGACUCUAAGAGUAACAAAAUUUAUAAUCUUUACGGUUACCUAUCAUUAAAUUUGUGAUCAUAUGACGUAUUAUAUUACAUUGUGAUGAUAGUUUUCUGUGUUUUAUUCUUCAAGUUCUAAUAAAGAAGAUUUUUGUUUUUACCUCCUGCUUGUUAUCAGGUGGCACCCUACAAUACAUUUUACGGUCAGUUGGAGGAGCACAUGAAUGAAGUUGGGAUUGAUGCUACUAUCAACAGAUGGAAUGAACCCCUGGCACUUGGAGUGGUUGAUCCGCAUGAUUCGUUAUCUCAUCCAGCAGGUGUCUCUGAUGCUCAAGCUGAGUCUGGUUCACACUUAGACCCUGAGCAGUUCACAAAUUUUUUGGUAUAUUUUAUAAUUUGUGCUUUAGGCUGUUUAUUUGUAGAUUUGAAUAGUGUAUUAAAAGUUGUCCUUAGUUCUUGGAAAUAAUAGUUUUUCAUAAUUAAACUGAACAAAACCUUGGAAAGGCUCUACCGGCAAUCUCUUUAGGCAAAGUCAUGUUCUUUUGGGCAAUCACACUUGUAUUUUCUAAUUAUUCUUUUCGGGUGGUUGGGAGGAGGGUUGAGAUGGUCUUGUAGUUGCUAUAGAGUGAUUCAAUUUCUUUCUGAAUUAUCUACUCACUUCCUAUAUGCUUCCUUGAUGUACAGAUUCCAAACUGGUAUGGAGGUGAAUCAGAGGGCUCCACAAAAGACAACCCAUUUCCAUUACCAGAUAUUUAUGUGGCAUCCCAGCAGAGAAAUGUAUGUUUACUACAGCUGAGUAUACUGACAUUAAUUUUUAUUUCAUUUUAACCAAGAAUUUCCUGAUAUUUGUGAGGUGAUGUUUUUAUCUUUUCAUUGUUUUAUGUUUUUCUCCAGCAGAACAAUUUAGGGGAGGUAAAGCAAUUAUUGAGGGAAGCACCUCUCGAAGAAAACAGAAAACGGGAAUUAUCCACUGCUCUCCACGUAUAUUUUAAAGACUGGUUGUAUGGUAAUGAUCAUUUUUAUAUAGUUUCUUCAAGCUGACAAACACGUGCUCUAUAUAGUAUUUUUUUGGAACAUCAUCUGCACUCUAUUUUGCACAGCAAAGUGAAUUAACAUAUCUUACACUUUGAUCUCUCUCAAGAACUGCUUUGUCGUCAGCAUUUUCAAGCGCCAUUUGCACCUAAUAAUCAGGCAAAACAAGAAGCCUUAUGGAAUUUAGUGCUCUUAAUAAUAUAUACUUUUCUUCUAUCCCUUUUUUAUGUGGCUUUACUUAAACUAUCACUUGAUCCUUCUAGACUUAGAAGUGUGUUUAUAUGCAUCCCAUCUAACAUAAUUUCAUGAGCUUUUUUUCUUGUUAUGAAGAUGAGUACCAUGUGGUUUGACAAGCUUAUUUAAUGUGUGACAGCUUCUGGAAACAUCCGUCAGCUUUAUUGCCUACAAGGAGAAUGAUUUUUGCGUCAUAAUGCUGUGGAACAACCAAGAGUGGUAUAGAAGGAAGCUUUCUGGUUUUAUCAUUCAAUCCCACCAUGGCCACCUUGCUGUUUCUGAUGGUGCCACAGGGCGAAUCAACCCUUUGUACUUUGGAAUGGUACCCUGCAUAAUUAUGCAUUGAUACGGUGCACAGGAUGGAAUCGGAAUAACAUUCGCUAAUCUCCCAUUGUAAUAUUUUUUUUUUGGAAAGAAUAAUCUUACUGUAAUAUUUUGUUAACCUAGGUUCACAGCCUUGUGAAUUUUCCUUUUUUAUUUUUCAUGUGGGUCUAGAAUGUUGGAUCUCUACUCUAACCAUGAGUUUUGUUCCUUUUUUGCGAGGUUUCGUUUUUAGAUUAUGUUGCUAGAGUGACUUAGUUCUUUAUAUCAUUUUUUAUAUAUAUGAAAAUGGAACGUGAUCCUGCGGUGUUGUAGACAGUCCUCAUGAUCUUAUUGGUGUGGAACUUGAAUAAGGUAGCAAAACUUGUUGAAUAAGCAUAACGAUUUCUUUUGAUCUGAGCCUUGUAUAGAUUGGUCCUUGAAUCUGUAGUUAUGAGAUUUCACUGGAUAGAAAUAAAGUUACUUUCAUUUAGAUUUCAUUUUUGACUAGAUAAAUGAAAAUGAGAGUUCGAAUUAAUCAAAUUUUCCGGCGAGUUUCCACCAAAUUUACACUGAAAAAUGUACAGCCUUUUAUACAUCGAUACAAGCUAUGGCCCCUUAGAUGUUGUGUUGCAGAUGCCUGAAAAAUCUCCACUUACUCAAAUCACUUGAUGGGGUUGGAGAGAACUGCAAAACUUUAUGAUAAAUGUAAGCAUCUUGUGGCGGCUAGGUGGUCUGGAAAAUUUGGAGUAUCUUCUCGGCUUGAUCGGGGAAGAAAGUGAUGAAUAAGUAUGCACCUGGCAUUUGAUCAAGUAGAAGAAACAAGUAAAUAUCAUCUCAAGGACCAACACAACAACACAAGUGUUCAUAAGGGUGUACAGAACAAAAAGACUUACAGAUUAGUACUGUUCCAAGUACAGCUGAAAUCUUCCCUUGAACGGUGACUAAACCAGCUUUGCCGGCAUUUUGCAACUCCGUGGAACCAACAGAAUCAAAUGCUCCUGGUAUAGGAAAGAGAAGCCAUAGCAUCGGUUAACUUCACAUAGAAGAUAAUCCAGAGAGAGCAGAAGCAUUGGGAUCAAAAUCCUGAUUACCUGGUUUUACGGAUUGAAGUCCUGACGUCAUACAUGCUAUGUUUUCGAACCCGGCUUGCUCCAACUUAUUGGCAGCAGCAGUAGACCUUGACAUUAGAAAGAAACAGAAUAAUCCUGUCAAAAUAGUUUCGAAUGGGCAAAACCUUUGCCUCAGUGCCUCAGUGAUGAGAACUUCUAUGCAACGGGAAUGCCACUGUGGCAAUAUCCCAAGCCAAUCAAGCACUGUCACACGCUUAACUUUCUCUGUAUACAGCCACAACGCAUGAUUGACUUGGAAUACAGCCACAGUGGCAUCCCCAGAGCAGGUACGAUUCUCUUAGUGACAGAUGCAUUUACAAAUAUAUUAAUCCAAAAACUUAGCAGUUAUUAUACAUAAAAAACUAACCUCAAUCCUUCCUGGCACACCAGUAACAGUUUACUUUGAGGUGAAAACUGGGAUUUAACAGAUUGUACAAAUUCAGGGUUGGGUUUAGUGAAAGGCAACCCAUAGAACAGACCAGAAAAGUUGUUGUGGAGAGUCCUCUUUAUGAUUGUGCCUGCCCAUUACAUCUGAAUCAUUAGCAAGAACAAAAUCCCAUGUUCUUUUGUGGGGUUCCAAACAAAAACCAUUAUAUGUUUUUUUUUUUUUGGUCUGAAAACCAUUAUAUGUUCAGUUGAAGAAAAUAGAAAGAGACAAAAAUCCCUCAAUUACCGGGGUCAUUGUCUUCGUUUGCAAUGAAAAGAGGGACAUGAUGGCAUGAUUUGAUGUGAGCUCGUUCAAAUUGAGAUUUGUCCCGAACAUCAACAACUGUGUAUCCAUCAACUGCAAUAAGUUCUUUUGCUUCUUCUGCAGUCACAAAAUUCACUUCUGCUCUAAUGGCCAAAGUUCGACGACGGUAUGAUAUCCCUAAGAUGGUUCCUCCACCAUGAGUUUGAGUCUCAAAUUUCAACCAAGAUGUGCGGAAAUUGCUGCAAAAGAAGCAAAAAUAAUAAUAAUAAUAAAGAUUUAAACAUUAUCUGGCUCAGCAGUUGAAUGCUUCUAUGUAUCUCCUAAUGCUUGAAAAGAACAGAGAGAUGAGUUUGUCUGUUUUCAGUUUUCUACACUUUCUCAGCAACCAAACAAGAAAACCCACCACCGAGAAUUUGAGAAGUGUUCAGAUAGUUGAGCUAGUCUUACUAAAAAGGAAGUUGAAGAUGUGAAGAAUUGUUGUACAUAAAACAAGACAAGCAAUGCUUUACCUUGUGGAAGAGAGAGUUGAACAACAAGAGCCAAUCCCUGCCAAGGCUGCCAUCGUUGUGGUUCCCUGGAAGCUAGAAGAAGCCUUGUGUCUCUUCUCUCUCUGUCUCUCUCCGCUCACUGUCCACCCAAUGAAAAAACAUCCCAGAAUGGCCCAAGAAAUUUGGGAAGGGCAAUGGGUUGGUGCCACGUGGCAACUGGUUUCGGAUAUUAGAUAUGUUGCACCGAAUCUUUUUGCAGGUUCUUUUUAUCAGAGAAAUUUAUACAACUCUCUUUGAAUUCAGUUUUAAGAGUCUUGGACUGGCAAUUCACCAAAUCAGACAAAUUUUUUCAAAUUAGGAUUUAGUUUUUUACAAACGGAAUUGUUUCAUUAGUUUCCCUUAAAUCUUAAAGUGAACCAAACUACACUUAUUGGUUUCUCUUUAAUCGAACUGAAACGAACCGAUUUUUCUUUUUUCAACAUUUAAAAAAGAAGUACCACUAAUACUUAGUUGUUAAGCCUUAGUCUAUUCUAAGAAAUAUCACAAUCUAUUAUCACAAUAGAGAGUUGAGAGCAAGAAGCUAACGAAUUUAUAUUUGAAUAUUUCCCAAGAAUUAGUUGAAAAUAUUUUUGUAAAACUGUUCUUAUCAUGUGACAAAUAUUAAGUACAUAAUAAAUAGUCCUAUUUUCUUGAAUUUAUGUGUUUUUAUUACUAACGAUAAUUUAAAUUAUAAAAAAAGUUGUCUUAGCAACUGACCUAACCCACCACAACAUAUCAUUUUUUCUUUCUUGAAUUUGACAGGCAGUAUCAGUAUGUAAGGAGCGUUUGGGUUAAGGAUCAACUCUUGAAUAGAAAAAUGUUUCAACUCAUGGUAAUAUUGGAUAUUCUUUUUAGUAUUAAUUUUCUUUUUUAUAAAUUCCUUACAUUACUUUUAUCUUUCCCAUUUUAUAUGAAACAAAGAAGUGUAUUUUCUGUCGAUAAGUCAAGAAGAUUGACUAAUGACAAUGGAAAAGACCAAUAGAAACAAAGUCACCUCGUCAUUUGACAAUAUCUUCACUUUAAGAUGGAGGAGGAUGAUGAUAAAUAAAACUCACAUUUGAUUUAUAAAAUUAGAGAGAGAGAGAGAGAGAGGAUGGGAUUUUUAUCAUCAAUUUGUUGCUGCCUAGAGAGAGAGAAAGAGAGAGAGAGGAUGGGAUUUUUAUCAUCAAUUUGUUGCUGCCUUCAUGGUGCUCUUGUAUUCAACCAAGGAUCAGCAGCUGCCACAGCCCCAGAGAGGCAGCCUCUGACUUUGAGUCCUAAUUUUGUUCAAACUGAAGCUCCAGUGCCGAUUCUGGUUCCACACUUUCCUGUCAACUCCAAGCUCUAUCAUAUGUAGAGAGAUUAUGUACUCUUCUUGUUCUUGAGAAGAGGGCAACAUAUAUAUAUAUAUAUAUAUAUAUAUAUAUAUAUGUAGUUUGGGUGUGUUUUUUGAGUCUUUUUUUUUAUCUGUUUAUUUUCAGUUUUUUGGGACAACAAAGUUUGCACUCUAAUGUAAACUUGUCAUAUCUUAUUAACGUAAACUUUUGUGUUUAAGGUUAUGUACAAGGCAAUAAGAUCGAUGGGAAUUGGUGGGUGAAUUGAAGAAACUUCACCUCUAAUUUUCUGGUUUAAAAGUUAAAGUAUUUCCUCUCAGGAUGGUGUUGCUUUCUAAAAUUCAUAGAUGAUGGUGGUGCAAGAGGGGGAAAAUGGCAAAGCUAAAACCCUUCAACACGAUUAGCAAAAGUAAAAGCACACCGUCAAUGAUCAUUUGGUCUGAUUAAUCUUCAUUUCAUUGGAAGUAAAUACACACCGUCGAUGAUCAUUUGGUCUGAUUAAUCUUCAUUUCGUUGGAAGAGGUCGUGAGUUAAUUGUGAAAUCCGUUGUCAUUAGUUCACAGCGACACUUACCAACUGUCAACAAUUGGAAUUGAAACCAGUCUAAUUAUUAUUGAAUUUUCGUACAAAAUAAUAUAUGUUUGCUCAACUUACUAAUGGCAUAUUUGAACGCAAAUAUGAAAAAAAAGCAGAUUUAUUCAAUACAUCCAUUCAAGGUCAAAAACUUAAAUUUGGACAACAGAGAAAGAGAACUAAGAGUAUGAUUACAUCUCCAGAAAUACAUCCAAUUCAUGAAACAGUCUUCUCUUUUCGUUAGCUUUGCCAAUAUCUUCCUCCAAGAGCAGCACUGGUAAGUUUUUACGAAUCGGCAGUGGAUCUUUUCUUGGUGGUGUAAGGAUAGUACUCCUUGCCGUUAUCGAUUCUUGUUGUCUGGCCUCCAGCAUCAAUGAGUGAAGAAGUGACCGCUAAGGCUGCCCCCGCAGAAAUCGCAGUUGAAAUGCUCUUUCCUGUCCAUUGGACAGCAAAUAAUUUAACAUAAUUGAGAACAUUAGAGGCUUACGAGAACAACUACCUGCUAGCACAGUAAAUAUCCAUAUAUCAAUUUAGAACCUAGAGUCCAAAGUCCGGAUUCAUUUACCCCCAAAUAAGUCAACUCUACAUGCUCAGUAAUCAAAAUGAAGAUAAGAUCAAACCAAUAACGAUAAGAACGCUCAUUGAAUGGAAAGAAUAUUUGGGCAAGCAGACAGACACAUUAAAUUAGGAGGAUUAGAAAAUAAACUACAAAUUUCAUUAAUGAAUGGAGAUCUAUAGGUCAUUUAUGCAUUCUGUAUGAGCUGAAAGAAAGUGAGAAGUGCUAGUAGUGUGAUUCCCAGACACAAGGAUGUUUUGCUUCUUACAAACCAAUCCAUCUCGAUUAUUGCAAGUAUACUCUGCUAAGUAAGAACUCAGUGUAUGCUCUUCAAAUCCAAAAUAGACUCAGCUCCUUAAAUUUAUAUAAUAGCAACACAAGUUUUGGACCUUUAGAUGAAAAUACAUUGAAUGGCUCAUAUUAGCUCUUAGCAUAUGAGAGUAUCAUUGGAAAACAUCUUGAAAACUAAUUUUGUUAACCCAACUAAUCUUAGCCAUUCAAUGUGCUUUCAUCUAAACGCCCAGUGCUUGUUUGAGAAACAAGGCUAAAAAUUGUCGACAAUACAGAGAUAAUUUGAGCCAUUAAAUGUGCUUUGGAAAAUUAAAGGAGCUGUUGAUCCUAACCCUAGAUUUUACCCAUAAAUGGAUAUCUUCUUUUAAGGUUUAAGCAAUAUUAGGAUAGGAAGAAAUAAAACUAUACAUGUACUAAUUCCAGAGCAACUAAUGAGGUUCACGUGAAAGUGAAUUACUGAGACAGUUUCUCUUCGUUGGACUGGGGAUCUUAAAUAAACUUUUCUGCAAAGGAAAAGUUCUCACCACUAACAUUCUCAAAGUUCCAUUAAAUUCUGCGUCCAUGUAUUAAAAAUAUAGUCAAACCUUAGCCAAGUCACUGUUGAUAAUAACACGAUUUCCACAAAAUAUAUCACCAAAGGCUAAAUGAGAUAGGUUGCUGCCAGCAAUUUAUUCUUCCAAAAAAUUCAAACCUCCCAUUUAACGCAAAAGCCAACAGAAAAAAAAGAAAGAUAGUUUCUGCUCUCUGCUGAGAUUUGUAUGACAUGAAACAACAAACUACCUAUUCCAUAUCAUUUAUACGGUCACAGCAAAGUUCUCACUCUCUCACUCUCUCACUCAACAUUAGUCCAAAACACAUAAUACAUCCAUCAUCAUUACAGAAAAUAUUUUCUACCUAAAUGCAAUUUGACCCUCACAUAUCUAAGAACUUUUUCUCGUGUAUCCAUACAAAUCAUACAGUAGUUAUCAUACAUAACAAUCAUCUAGCUUAAAGGGUGACGUCAUCUGAGCCAGCUCCACAUGAUUUUCACCAGCAACAUGCCUUUCUUUUUGUUGGAAAUAUUAGAUACAUAUAAUAGAUAGUUAGUAGCAGGAUCCAAUAAAUUUUGGAUAAGUUAUACACACUCCUUUCUAACCAGCAUAUGUGUCAAAUUUAUUGGUCUCUAUUUCUAUAGCAUAAGCCACCUCAAUCUUAUCAGUCAAAACUAACCAUUUAUGAAGAUUAUACAUGAAGCUUAUGACAUACUUCAACAAAAAGAACAUUGAACAUAUCUUUCUCCUAAAAACUUAAUCCCUAUUUUUGGAAAAGUAAAAUCCAAUUUGGUUCGAAGAAAUACCAAUAAAUAAAAAGAAAAAGAAAGACUGACCUGGAAUAUUUGAAUAAGAUUAUGUCUGAAUUGGCAUUUAGUUGUGACCAAGUACAGUAAGUACCACAGAUUACCACUCGUGGCAGCAGGAAUUAAAAGUUUAAGGAAGAAAAUAGGCAUCAAAAGAAAUCCACACCUUUGUAACCAAGAAUAGUCGACCCAGCAACAAAACCACCAACAGCUCCAUUGAUGAAGUCUCUCUUCAUCCUGUAAUUCUGCACGAUCUGCUCAACACCAAUGUACACUCCCCCAAUUGCAGCAAAUGUGAUCCCGUAGUUUCCCAUCAUCUUAAGGGUCCUUAUCAGCCCUGGAAGAGCGACACUUCUCUCAACACGAGGCACAUCAUACCAAGUAGCAACUAUGGUCCCAAAAAUAGUUCCAGUAACAAAUCCAUUUGUUGCACCCUUAAUUGUCUUCAUGGUAGGACUAUCCUCAUCCUCCAAAUACCUGCGCUCCGCGGGGUCCAAGGAGUCCAUGACUGUCUAGUACUAACUGGGCACUGACAAAAACUGCAAGAAAGUAAUACAUAUAUCAGCACUUAGGCCUCACUGAACCUUUCCCAAAGGGAAUCUUUCAACUUCUACCAUGCAAGGCAAAGAAGGAAACUGUGUUUUCCUUUGCUCUCUCUGUUUUUAACAUAUAAGUUUUACUGGGUUCAAAUUCUAUAGAAGCAUUCAUUUCCCUUGAUGGGCAGUAAGCGACAUACAUUUAGCAUUUCUACUAACCCAUAUUUCAUUUCUUUAAAAAAAAAAAUUCUUCCACACUAACAAACUAAGCAUUUGGGAAAGAAAAAAAUAAAUCCUAACAUGAAAAUUUGGGCCAAAAAAACAAAAAUUACAGAAGAAUAAGUAAAAUUAUUUUGUUUCAUAAUAAGGCAUUGUUUGGUAAUCAAUUCCAGAAAAAAAAAAAUAAAAAAAAGAAGAAUUCAUCCACAUAGAUGCAAUCAAAGACAAAUUCCACAAAACCCAAAUAUUAUGUGACUAUUAACACAAAAUCGAUGCUAAUUUGAGUAAAUGCUAACGCCCGAAAUGAAGAUCCAACCAUCAACAAAACAAAUUUAAAAAUUGAUAAAUCUAAACCCUAAAUAUGUAUAUGCAUAUGAUCCAGGAGCAUAUGAAUCCAUGAAAGAACCAAAACGAAAGCAGAAGCUCAGGCGAAAAAUGAAAAUUACCUUUUCAGGAGAAAAAUGAGAAGCCGGCGAGUUUCUACUCAGUGCUCUCACUACGAAGACACACAAGAAACAAAGACUAUCAGCAAAAAUGAUCGAAAAUGGCAUCUGCUCCUUGUUGCACCAGAUUACCAUUACUGUCUGCAAUGACUAUUUUGCCCCUCCCUCAAAAUUGGGCCUCGUAUACGACGACUGUCCGUAAACCGUGUUCUUUUUCAUUUGGGCCCCGACCCGUUUACCCGUAAACCUCCUGCACCACUUUCAUUUCAGACUUUACAGUCUUUCACUCAUUUCUCAAAUCACACAAAGCUGAUAUUCUGAGAAGAAGGGAAACUGCUUUCCCUAGAAAACGUUUUCCCGGAAAAUGCCAGAAGACAUUGGCAAACUCCCAAUCGACAUCACAUUUUCUCGUCUCGGAGGUACAUAGAACCACCGGAAUUCAAUUUUUCCUUUCAGAUUUUUUUAUAUUUAUGUUUUUUUUUGGGGAUUGAUAAUUUUGUUGCGUUGGGAUUGAAUUGAAGAAUGGCUGGUUGAUCGCAAGAGAAUACCUGGAGACUGGAGAAAGCGAUUGGCAGCAGCGAGAGCUCGGAUUUCCAAGGAAUUCGCUUCCCUUCCUAAGGAUAUCAAUCCCUAUUUCCGUAGCUUAGAGGUUGAUGGUUGGUUUUUUUCAAACUUAAUCCAUUUUCGAAUUGUGAAUUUGUGAUUCUAUUGGGAAUUGGGUGCUUGAGAAUUCGUAAUUUCGUCUCAAUGGGUUAACUAAAAUGCUAUUUCUAGGAAUUGGUUACUUGGACGCCAAACAGAUAUAUGAUAUUCUUGCGAAGUCAGCUCCAGAAAGCCGGAAUAUAUUCGGCCGGCUAUCCGGUGCCGCUGUAAGACCUUCAGCUCUCUCUUUCUCCUUUGCACAAAGCUCUCUCUUUCUCCUUUGCACAAACGUACUUGAAUUGUAAUAUGAAUAUAUAUGUGUGUAUAAAUUUUGUGUUUUGUUUGGAUAGGGUGCUUGGGAAUCAAUUGUACGUUCUUUUGAGAAAGAUUAUGUAUAUCUUGGCGAGGCUGCUCAAAUAAUGGUUCAGAAUGUGAACUAUGAGAUGUAAGUGGUUUUGCCAUUGCCUGCUUGGUUACUGCAUGAUAAGAAGAAUAGUUAAAAACUUAAGGGUAUUUAUAUGUGAUUUGUAUUGAUUAUUCUUUUUCUCCUGUUAUGAAGUCCAUAUCAGAAAAAGCAGGUGCAAAAGAUUCAGCAACAAUUAGCAGAACUAGAGCACAAGGAAGCUGAUAUUAAGAGAAGUGCAGCUCUAUCAGCAGCGAAGUAUGUAGAGGCUUGUCAAGAACUUGGACUGCAGGUUAUAUCUUGGACCCCCCUACUUGUUGUUUUCUCAUUUGGCUUGAUAGGUUUUCCUUCUUAAAUUUGGUAUCUGCCUGUCUGGUUCUUUUCUUUAGGGAAAAAAUGUGAGGUUGGAACUUUUAGAGACUGCGAAAUCACUUCCAAGUACAUUUAGCAAGAUUUUGGAAGUUUUAAAUGGUGAAUCUGUGUCAAGGGCUCUGGAGUAUUAUUCAAACUUUGUUAGAGAUGCUCACACAGACAAGGAUGUAAGGCGAUAAUUUUUUAUUUGUUUCAUGAUAUGAAGAAUAACUUCUUUAUUGUUUGUAGAUGUUGAUGGAAAUUUGAGAUCAGUGUGACUAAUAUCAUAAAUCAACUCUGUUAUUUGUGAAUGUGAUCACAGAGGCCUUUGGUCGUGUUGACAAACUUGAAAGAUUUACGUGAACAUCCCCCAUCAUUGAAUGUCCCUAUAGGCUCAGAGGUUGUUGAUUCUGGGAAUGUUCAAUCAAGCAAUGAUGAGACAAACAAUGUGAAAGUGGAUGUAGACAUUAAUGCAGAUAGCUUAGACUGGGAUUUUUCUGUGGAUAGUUCUCAGAUUGAUUGGGAUAUUGGUACUUUGGAAGAAACAGAGGAUACUGGUAAUGGUUUGGGUCCUUAUGAAAUGGUUAAUGCGAGUGAGAUCUUGCAGAGUGCUCCAAAUGAAGCGGUAAAAUCUGAUCAGAUCCCAGAGAUCUCCGUGUCAGAGAUAUCUUGGGAUAUUAGUGUUGAGACUCCUCAGGUUGAUGUGAUUGAUGAUGUCAACUUUCCUAAUGUAGUCGUAGACAAUCAAACAUCUGGUCUUGAUACUUCAACUGAAACAACUGAAAUCAAGGAAGGCAGGAGCCAACUUUUGGAGACAGAGUACAGGAACAAGAUUCUUGAUGAUCUGAAUGAGGUAUAUGGCAAUUUUUCAUAUGGCUGCAUUGGAUCUAUUUGUUCCAUUUGUUCUUCUGGUAUAAUAUUGUCGGUUUUUGACUGAAAGAUCCUACUAGUUUGUGUUUUAUAUCUGUGGUCAGAUCACGAAGCUUCCUUUACAUGAAUUCAUGUUCUCUAUUAAUAUUCUGCUAUCAGGUGAAAGCUUUUUUAAAUCAGCGAUUGGUUGAGUUGAAGAAUGAAGAAACUUUGACCUUGCAACAUCAAGUCCAGGCAGUUGCUCCCUUUGUGCUGCAGCAAUAUGCUCAUGAUGCCAUCGAGGCAAUGCUAUCUGAUGUUUCUUUGGCCAUUUCACUGCUGACAAAUAGGAAGACAAGGGACUUGAUUAUGAUUCUCAACUCCAAAAGGUAAUACAAAAUAUUUUUUCUUGAUUUGUGUCUUUUUUAAAUUCGUUUCGGUGUGUAUAUUUUGAAUUUCAAACAAGAAAAUCAUAGAAUGUUCCCAAAAGCAGAAUCAGUGACAGUAUUUAGUUAAAUUGAACAAAAUUCCCUGCCAAAUUUGUGCGGCACACAGACAAUUUGCAUAUAUUAGCAUCUUGGAUGUAACUUUUUGUCAGUACAAGAAAUAAUGAGGCCAUAAAUCUGGAGACUGUACUUGCUUGAUCUUGUUUCUCUUUCUAUCUUUGCAUGGUUACUCCUAAUUGUUUGUUACAUUACAUCAGAAAGAUCCUUUAUACCAUCAAAUAAGUUUUUUAAUAAAAAAUUUUAAACGUUUAAAUUGGCUUCUUGUUGCAGCUUUCUAGAAUUGGCUAAUCCUAUUUCGGAUAAUUUUAUUUUAAUUGUGGUUUUAAUGAAUAGGUAUAGGUUGAAUUCCUCUUCCGUUCUAGCUGCAAUAUUUAGCAUGUUACUUAAGCGGCCUUGCCAUUAUCCAUGUACUAUAAUUCUUUACUACUUACUCUGGUUUUUUGGUUUUGUUUUUGUUCUGUGAACUGAAGUAGUAUACUUAUGUCAACCUUAAUUUCAGGUUUCUAGACAGAUUAGUGAGUUCAUUGGAAGAAAAGAAGCAUCAUGAAGUUAAGUUGAAAGAUGGUUUGAAGGGCAUAGCUGCCAAACGCAUGGAGCUGCAAAAUUCAUUAUCUUCUUCCUGGCCUAAGCAGGUGAUCUAUUUAUUGAUAGCUUUAUACCCUUACAUAUAUUGGGAGUGGGAGGGUUGAAGUCUCCCAGUUUUAGUGGUAAAUUCUUUUGGUUCUUCAGGUAUAAAAUUAGGAAAUUUAUGUUUGCUUUUAUAGUUAUGAUCAUACGUCUGUUUCUUCCUUUCCCCUUCCCCUGAACUCUGACUGCUGAAAGAUAGCUACGCUAGAAUAAGUCAUUUUGUGUUGUUUUUGACUUCUGGGCCUCUGGUCCUAUCUUGCUUCUGUUUGUGUAAAAAUACUAUUAUUCAGAGAAAAGCAAUCAUCCACUUUCUCUUUGUUAAUGUCAGUUUGAAUUUUUGGCAGAAAAUACUAACUCCUGGUUCUAUUACAGGAAGCGGCUCUUGCAAAAACUCGGGAGCUGAAGAAGCUGUGUGAAAGCACCCUUUCAUCCAUGUUCGAUGGAAGACCUGUUAAUAUAAUUGGAGAGAUCAAUACCCUUUUGACUAGUGGCCUUGGUGCAUAGGAAGAUGAUUGCUUCCUUUCAUCCAUGUUUCAUGGAAGAUCUGUUAAUAUAGUUGGAAAGAUCAAUACCCCCUUAGACUUUAGUGGGCUAAGGAAGAUAUAGUUGGAGAGAUCAUCCAUGUUUAACAUAAUCGGACACGUCAAUACCAUUUGAAUAGUGGCCUUGAUGCACACGAAGAUGUUAACUUCCAAUGAUAGUAAAACAUUCCAUACUUUGCGUUUGUGUUUUAUUUUUUGAAGAAGUGGUUCUCUUUUUGCUUCAAGAUCUUACAAAAAUUGAAGGAAAAAAAGAAAAGAAAAAAGUCUUUGAAAUCCCAGUGAAUCCAUGAAAGAAGUUUCCCAAACUCUAUCAAACUCAACAUAUAAUUUGCAGAAAUCAGUCGCUUCAACUUUCUGUAUUCUACAAAAAUGACAGAGCAAUAGUACGUAUAUAUUUGGACCCUUUAAUUUCACUUAUGGCGAAGAUUGCCAAAUAUGCCAAAGCAUGAAAAGAAGGCCUGUACAAAAGAAUAUACAGCAUUUGUCAUGGGAGAGAACACAAUCUUGUAGCAAACAUCCAACGCAGCAGAUUCAGUUUGUGUGUAGAGAUCAAAUGGACAAAUAGCUCAUUGAAGGUGAGCCCAUGAACUGGCUGUUGGUUGAACGGAAAGAUCUCUCGAAAAGGUCAACUUGAACACCAUAACCAUCUACUCCUUUACCUUUCCCCAUGCAAUUCAGUUUCUGGAUUAGUCUUGAUAGAGAUCCCACAACCUCAGACAUCGGCGGUCGGAAUUCCUUCACAGGCUGUUCAAGUUUCAGUGACACAAACAAAAAAAAUCAAAAUUUUUCAACAGGUAAGAAACACCCAUCAAAGUAAUUACAUGUUAUCAGAUAGAAGCUAACGUUUGUUCAGUGCAUAAGCAACUUCAACAGAAAAAUGCCUUCUAAAAACACAGCUUUCAACUAAUAGCUUCAAGUAAUAACAGUACUAGAAUCGGUUGUUGUUUUUGGACUUCCCUAAGACAACAUUCUCUUAAUGCAUAAAUUUAAGGUAUGUGCUUGUACCUGUAUACAGAGGGAGACAAUGUCAGCAAAUUGGGAGAUAGCCUUGGAGGAAAAUGUCCUUUUAAUUCCGGGAUCAAUCAUCUCAGCCAGACUCUCACUGUCAUGAAGCCGGAAUGAAGCCCAUUUCACCAGUGAUUGCUCCUCCCUUGGUCUUGAACUAUGUAUAUCAAAAUAGCAGCAUACGUUCACAAUCAAGAAACAAGACAAUAAUAAUGUUGAGAAAUGGGAAAAAUGUGUAUGAACCAAGCGUACUUAUCGAAAGGUUUCCUUCCUGUUAGUAGCUCCAAAAGCAACACUCCAUAGGCAUAGAUGUCACACUUUGUGCUAUCAAUGCCUGGCUGGCCAUGCUCAGGUGCAAUGUAGCCAGUGUCACCGAUAGCAUUUUCUGAAGCCUGUUUGCAUCAUAAAAAUGAAGUUAAGCAGUUUAGCCUGUGUCAGUUUAUUACCAACUGUUUUGUAUCAGCAUAGAAGUAGGACUUACUUAUAAAAAGUAUAUACCUUUAGCUUAAGCCUAUUGCUUGUAAGUGGCCUCAAAAUCGCAAGCCCACAGUCACAGAUUCGAGGAGCAAGUUCUUCAUCAAGUAAGAUAUUGGCACUCUUCAAGUUGCUAUGAGCAACUGGCGGUGUGAAUGUGGAGUGCAAAUAGCUGAAAUCCAAAUAAACCAAACAGAUUAGUAACGAGGAUAACUACAUUAUUUCCCUCACAUAGAAGGGAUCAAUUGCUACCUAGGAACUAAGAACUCUUUAAAACUGUCUAACUUUCAAGAUCAUGAUUCGUGAGGUAUAUUGCAAUUAAAAUCCACAUUUCAUUGAAAAAAAAGGUAUAAUAGUUACAGUUUGCGACUCAGUAAAUUAUUUAUUCGAAACGCCGUUCCACUAGGUGUGGACUAAGAGAUAUGAACUUGUUGGAGAAUACAAUACUUACUCUAAAGCUUGUGCAACACCAAGAGCAAUCUGGAGACGAAGGCCCCAUGACAAAGGCUUGUAUUCAUCACUGUGCAGAGCAUCAUGAAGGGAUAAAUUUCUAACAUACUCAUACACAACAAGAUGCUGUCCAUGCUCUACACAAUAGCCAACCAGUGGUACUAUGUUUGGGUGAGUCAAACGCGAAGCAGUCCAAAUGACAUACAAGAAUUGUUCUUCUUCAUUGAAAGACAAUCCUGCCAUGUUGAUGUUCUUCACAGCCAAAAUCUGAAACAAAGGAAUAACAGUCAAAGAAUUCUCACAAGUUCCAUAGGAAUUCACUGUGGCUAUAAGUAGAAAUAAUUAGUCUAAGGAAAUUUCAGGUUUAUACUUGGCCAUUAGGAAACACGGCCUUGUAAACUGAACCAAGAGAUCCUUCACCCAGAAAGUUUUCUUGACAGAAGCUGUUUGUAGCUAAUUGAAGCUCUGCCACAGUGUACUGCUUUGCUCUCAUUGGGAAUCUGUACUUAUCAGAGAAACUUUUUCUUCUAGGAUUUUUCUGCAUUCUGUAAGCAAGAGGUAGUCGCCUAGGAGGUAGAAUGGGUGAACUGAAGGCCAAUAUUUGUGGGCUUUCUUCUGCAGUAGAAGAGCCAUAUAUAACAAGGCAGGGAGCAGAUCAAGAAUUUAAAAUAAAAACUGAAAAAGAAAAGGCAUGGAGAAGCUAUGCAGCAGAAGUGGAUUAAGACAAGUUCAUGUCAAAAUUUAUUGCCAUUAGACAUGUUGAUAUCAAGAUGAGGUUUGUGCCAUUAGUUACAAGGAAUGUCUUUAAACCUGGAUUUCAGGUUUAAACACCAUGUCUGAAAGGGCAUAUACAGAUGAUACCAUCACCUACGCAUUCACUUUCAAAGCUAAAAUGAUAUCUAAUCAGUGAGAUGAUACAAUAUAUUACAAGAAGAACUUCAUUUCUGAGCUAAGCAUAGGAUUGAGCUUGCAGCGGUUGGCUCGUUUAAAGAUGAGAGCUAAGGUAAAUGUGCUUUGGACUAAAAUAGCAGGGCAAUAAUCUUUACUUUAAUUGAUUGCAAGAGUACAGAUUUCAGGCCUGUUGGUUAAAUUAUAUAGAUUACUACAAUUAUUUACUGACAGAUUGUAUACAGGAUCAGUAUGAAAGUGAGUGAGAGUUUACCUCUGGCAGUAUUUCUGACUGACAGAGAAUGCAUUGAGCUAUUACUGCUCCCCAAGGUUAUAAGCCUCUGUGCACGCGAUUGAUUGAUGCGAACUGCAAUGUAAAGGGCCACACAUGAUGCCACUAGAGUUCCUCCACCAACCAAAAACGCUAUUCCUCCAGGGCCAAUCCUUUUCUUCUUGUGUCCACCUAAUUUCUUAGAGGGGUUCUUCGCAAUGGCACUUGACUGAGUUGCUGGGGGGGCAGGGAUGUUCUGUUCAAUGGCAGUUGCCUGGGUUUGCAGAGGGAAGUCCCAGGGUGGAGAGUUAUCCCCUACAUGAAAAUUAUUUCCCCCAAACCUGAAAGAAGAUAAAUGUAUGAUGUUUACUUAUUUUUUUCCUUUGCAGGAGAAGGAGUUGUAAUAACAACUGAUCACUUACCAUAAAUUUGGUAUGGACUGGAAAUGAUUUGGAAUGAUACCGCUGAAAUAAUUAUCUUGAAUGUUCCUGUCAACAGAAAAUGUGCAAGCAAGCAAUAAGAAAACAGAUAAUAAAAAUUGCAAAACACAGCAAAAGGCAGGUAGGUGGAAACCUACAUAUCAGUUAGCGGAAGCUCAGCUAGAUAAGCCACUGAUCCAGUAAAUUUGUUAUUCUGCAAGUACCUGCAGAUGCACCCAAUGGACAUGUGAAUCAAUGACACGUAAUUGUAGAAAUAGACUAUCCCAAGCAUGAAAGCACUGCAACAUAGGGAAAAAAAAGUUUAAAACAAAACAAAAACUCACAAUCCAGUGAGAUUUGUCAAGGAUCCAAAUGAACUUGGAAGAUCUCCAGUGAAGUUAUUAUAUGACAAAUCCCUGCAGAAAACAAAAACUCACCAGUAAGAAAGGCCGGUAAAUACAUUGUCCAAACUUGUAAUUUGAUAUCUCAACCAGAUCACAAUUCAUCCAAUGACAACAUGCUGCGAUUUAGAGAACAAAAAUAGAAAUCAACAAACCCGUGAUAUACCAACAAAGAAGAUUAAAAGUUGAGCAUCUUUUAUUCCACAUCAACUUAAAGAAUCAAAGUUAAAACCCCCAUUUCAAUUUCACUUGAAACCCAACAUUAAAAGAGUUACAUGAAAAGAAGCAUACAGUUCUCUUAAAUUCUGUAGGCUGGUAAAUACAUUGCCAAUAGGUCCAGAUAACAAAUUGUGGCUUAGAUUCCUGCAAGGAAGGAAAAUUUCAGUUUAUGACAGAACAAUCAUGAACCAAAAAUCAGUCAGGGAAUAAGCAACUCACAAAUGUCGGAGGCUUUUCAUGGUAGGUAAAGAAUGGGGAAUAUUUUGGGUCAUAAAGUUGCAUGCCAUAUUUCUGCACAUGUGAGAAAGCAGAAUUAUAACAAUUAAAAAAAAAGAAAAAGUAAAUGAUCUAAAAUAUGAAAUUUAACCAAUCAGUUGUCUGAACUAAGCAUCAUACUUACAUAUGAGUAGCAUUAGGAGGUAAGACAUAUGGAAUUUCACCCACAAUGUUAUUCGAACUAACGUCCCUAGAAGAUUCGAAACCAGAUGAAAAUGAAUCAGCAAAAGUUGUGCUUGCACAGGCAUAUGUAAAGCUAAAAAACAGCAGAAUGAUCACUUACAAUUGCUUCAGAUUGAAGAAGUUAUAGAGCUCGCCAGUAAGAUACCCUGAGAGACUCAGACCAUGAAGUUUACUGCAUAAGGUGAGAAAAGAAUUAAGUUUGGUACAUUGUUAAGGUAGCCCAAGUCUGAAAAGGUGCAUAGUUAAUGGAGCUGUGUGCAUUACAGGUAUAUUACAGAUGACCCAGAACAUGACACUCCACCCCAUGAUUCACCACAAGGAUCCCCGCCGUCCGAUCUCCAUCCCUUCAGCUGUGGUGGGUGGUUAAGGGCUCUGUAAAGAUCUUGAAGAGCAGUGACUGCAAUGCACAGAGUGAAAUAAUAAACUUGGAACCAGUACAGCUAAGAUUAUUCUAAAUGCAUAUUCUAUUCCAGAAAAAAGAAAAAAAAAAAAGAAAAAAAAACAUUCUGCCCUUCUCAGCAGAAUGCACAACAUGGUAGUCCAAUUGAUUUUUAAUUUUAAUUUUUGUUGGUAAACUGGGAGAAGUAAGAAAGUCCAAUUGAUUAAUUAUGAACUAUUAUUUCUUCAAACCACCACAAAAAUUACUCUUUCUAAUACUGUUCAAAGACGACAGGUCGUUUUGAGCAAAAGACCGUUUCGUAAUUUUCCCGCCCAAAGCUGCGGCCUUACUGUUUGGUUGCUCGUAAAACCCUGGAAAAUUAAUCGGCACAAAAUUCGAGCCUUCUAAAUUCUGAUUCUUUUGCUUCCAACACAUAAAAAUUAAAACUUUUUUGCCCCCUUUUUCUACUCUAUUUCUUUUCUACUUUUCCUAUACUUUCUCAGUGACCAAACAGAGGAUAACGAACACUGUAUCUCUAAACAACGAUCUUCACCAACGACAUCUAUCAACUUUAACAGUGAAAAAGACUCCAUAUAGAACGACAAGAAAAUCAAAAAGAAAAAAAAGAAGGAUCAUACCAUCACGCGGUUCAGUAAAUGCCCCAGCCUCUGAAACCAGAAUGGCGGAGAUGACAAUUACCGCGAAACACACACAUAGGCUCUGUUUAGCCAUAUCCUCGAGAAUCAGACUGCGGCAAUCAAACGGAAGAAAUCUUUUCAGAAACAGUGUAACAUAAACUAAAGUUAAAUGCAUUUUCUUUCAUUUUCCUCCAUUUUCUCGGAAACUAAACGGAACAGAGUGUUCAAGAAAGAGUGCAGAACUAACCGAAAAUGCAAUCAAGAACACAAUUCUCAAAAAAAGCUAAAGACAAAAACGACGUCGAAGCUGUAGAUUGAAUAUAGAAAUGCUUAGGGUUUAUAAAUGAACCUUUGGAGGAAGCAACAGGCACAGAGAGAGAGAAAGAGAGAGAGAGAGAUUGUGAAGCAGAGAGGGUUUGGAAUGUGUGCUGUGGAGGUUGCAGAGAGCCAGAGAGACUGAUAACAAUGUCUUAACGAGUUUGACAAUCGUUGAAUAGCUGGACCCCACAUCAGCACAAAACCGUUAGUUUCGUUAUUUUCGCACGUGCCACUUCUCCGGAGUUUGUUACAAAACUGGGCCUAAUAAAAACCCGGCCCAAACCCAAUAGUCUUGGGUUCUUCAGAAAAUUGAUUUAUGUUUUUUCUUUAUUUAAAAACAAUGAAAAUAAAAGGAAAAUAAUUCAAAGGCUUACUGUUCGUUUUUGCUUAGUGAAUCGUUGUGUAGGUGCUCGAGCUCUCUGGCUAUGGCGGAAGAAGAUGAUUACAUGGGGGAUCUCUCUCAGUUCCUGACUCCAGAAGCCUCCGGCCCUCCACGGCUUUUAUCCAAAAAGGUAGGGUUUUUAAUUUGUAAGGUUAAUUUUCUGUUUGGUUCUCUAGAAAAUGCAUCAUAAGAAUCAUGAGACCUAGUUCUGACUCGUUUUUGUAUCUUUUAUUUUGUUUCUGGGUUUGUUAGUUUCUUUCUCAAUUGUCAUAAGGGAUUUGUUUGCAUCGUGGAGCAUGAGUUUUGUGUUUUUGAGCUAAUUCUUCACUUUUGGUGACAAAAGCUCUAACAGUAAUGUACCUAUCUAUAUUUCAGAUUUCUAAUAGCAAAAACCAAAGUAUUCAACCCUCUAAGAAAAAAUCCAAAGCACUAAACUGGCAAGAACAGCGUAAACUCGAUAGGGAGAGAAAGCAGCAGGAAGAGGAUGAGAAAACCUUGGCCAAAAUAGAGGCUGCUCCUAUUCCACAAUCCAACAUAGGAUUCAAACUUUUAAAACAAAUGGGGUAUACCCCAGGCUCAGCUCUUGGCAAGGAGGGAUCAGGCCAGGCUGAGCCAGUGAAGAUUGACAUUCGGCGCUCACGGGCUGGAAUUGGGCGGGAGGACCCACAUAAGGAGAAGAGGAAGAGAGAAGAAAUAAGGACUUGGGCGGAGAGGAGGAACGAGCAGGUUAUGAUGGAGGAGUUUGGGUCUAGGAAAAAGUCACAGUGGCGGAGUCGGAGAGUUGUGGUCAAUUUUAAGAAGGCGCAGGCGGCUUUGGAUCAAUUGGAGAAUAAGGAAGUUGUGCCGCCCGAGAAGAAUGAGGAUGAAGAAGAGGAGGGUGGAGGGGAGGAAGAGGAAGAGGAAGAGGAAGAAAUUACAGAAGAGGUAUGUUUCUUGAAUUGUUGUCCUUUUUAUUUUAGUGCAUAAUUGGUUUAGUGAGCAUCAUUUUAAUGUAAUAUGACUGAAAUUUUGGAUUAAAUGUGUGGUUGACAUGCAUAAUGUAGAACAUUAGAUGGAUUAUGAUGAUUUCCAUCCAAAUUGGAACUGUUAUUGGGUUAAUUUUCAGUUAGUGCCGGCUCUCUUAAAUUGGAAAUUUAACUGAGAACAAGUCCCGUCAUCUAUGAGUUUCACUAGAAUCCUAGAUAACAUGAUAAAGCAAUGUGGCCUUUAUAUAAUGUUGCAUAUUGUGGAAUUUAAACCAAAGUUUUGUUGAUCGUGUCAUUGAUCUUCCUGUCGGUAAUCAAAUUUUUCGUAUAUAGUUGGUGGUCAACAACUGGAGACUUAUACUGGGCUUAGGAUAAACUUUUAGGUGGUCUUUGUAAUAACUAGGUUUGAAAGUUUCAGCUUUGAAUAAUUUAACAACCAAGAGCUAAUUUAGGAUAUGUGAGUUGAUAGUAUCCAGAUUAUUGUAGUUCUGCUAUGCUAGAUACUCUUUCUUGGGUGUAUCAGGAGUUGGGUCUAUUUCCAGGCCUUGUAGACGAUUUCCAUCCCUUUCUGUUUCUUCCUUGUCCUAAUGCCUUUGGAUUAUUACUGCUCGAUGUUACUUGGGAAAGUUGAAAUAUUUGUUAUGCCUGGAAAUAACCUGUGAUGAUGGUUACUUUCUGCCUGCAGGAUUUGCUAGAGAUAUUGAUGAAACUGAGAGAUGAGCAUCGAUACUGCCUCUUUUGUGGAUGUCAGGUAAGCCCAGUACAUGGACUUGUUAAACUCUUACAAAGAUUUAGGAAUUAUCAUUUACUUCCAAGAGGGAAAUUUGAGCUAAAUUGCCUGUUUUCAAAUCUGAACUGCAAUUACAACAUUUUCGAUUGUCCUGCCAAAGAUUCUGCCGUUUAUUUCAGUAUGAAUCAAUGGAGGCACUAUUAACCCACUGCCCUGGAGCUGAUGAAGAUGACCACUGAUCUAAAGUUCCCUAAUGCUGUGGACACCCAGACCUUCUUCCUUGUUUGAACAGAGAAUACUGAGAGGUAAUGCAACUCUUCUUUGGAGAUGGAUGCACUUGCUUGUUAUGGAGAUUUUUUUUCAUUCUUGCUGCCGAUUGACGUCGUAAGUUCCUAUCCUCCGAUGUGCAACUCUCUGAGUGAAAAACCAGUAGGAAGGCACUGAAGUUGCUCACUCGGAUAUUCAUUUGAAAUUUGCAGCAGCUAACCCUCAGAAAUAUGUUGGGAAAAUCCCUAUAAUCGAGAUUGUACUAAAUCACACCUUUGUGAGUUAAGUUUGAAAUAUCUCCCGAGUGUGUGGAUCAAUAACCAUAUGUACACAAUUAUAGAACUUGUGGAUGACAGAUUAGCCGGGGGCUUUGCCCUGAAGUAAGAGUUCUUUUCUAGUUCUUUUUUUUUUUAGGGUUCAUCCUGCCUUGUAACCGAAAAAAGAACUUGUGGAAUUUCCUUAGAGCAGGAGUCGUACAUGUAUAUAGAAGCUCAGUGCUCAACAAUAAACUAGUGUACUUUAUUGAUAUUUGGAAAGGCUUGCCCAAUGGUUUUGCAAAUUAAUCUAUGUGGCUAUGAAAUCUCUAAUAUUUGUUUUGCCAAAUUGGAUUACAAUAUAACUCAUGAAACAUUGUAGGUUUUUAUCUGGAUAAAUUUAGGGCCCACCAGUCUAAGAUUCACCUGUAAUCUAUGGUGUUUUGAAAUAAAAAAUAGAAGAGAACAUUUAGUGCAAACCUGUUUGAAAAUUAAGCUGAACCAUGAGCCACAGCCAUAUUGCAAGCAUCAACACCUGACGGCACUGAACCCAAUUUUAGCCCAAAGUGCUUCAAAGUAAUUCACAAACUAACCACCAAUACUCAUAGGGCAAGAACUAUAUAGUGAGGGCAUUAGUAAGACUCUUAGAUGAGACCCUAUUUCUUAACUGUUAGAUCAAAUUAGUUAGUUUUGAUCCAACGGUUAGAGAUAGGACCUCAUCUAAGGGCCUUCGAUAAUGCCCUCACUAUAGAAUGACUCUACUCAUCCAAAUCGUAGCUUUAUUACUAGGUAGACAGUUCAAGCCUUCGAGGCUAACCUAGAUUACGAUAUUCGUAGUCUUAACAUACAAAGCAUGAUCAGUUUGGGUUGCUACCCAACAAGACAUAAAAACCUGCAAGAAAAGUUCCAAAGUUUUUAAAGUCACACUAAGGCAUCCACAAGAACUAGAGAAUGAGGGACCCCUUUUAAAGUGACCAGUGCAUCUGCUGGUUGGUGGAGGAGUCAUAGGCCCUGGUGUGUCCAAGUUCCAUGUGCUGCUGCUGCCUCCUGUUCUGUUGAGACAGCUCAAGCAUACCAGAGUACUGACUACUGAGAGGCUGUGAGAUUUGACCGAGACCCAGAUUGGGAAGCAUCUCGUGUGAGCUGCUACCAGCCUCAUUUCCCUUGAAACCCCACGAAGUGGUUGGAAAGUGAUUGGAAGUCCCAGCAUGAGCCAUUGGUUGAGCCACAGUUACCCCUUGGGUGUUCAUCCAGGUAUUCAAGUAGGCAUUCAUCCCAACACCCGAUACUCGGUUUCGAGAGCCACAUGGUUGAUUUGACAGAAGAGAGAGAGCACAGCUUGAGUCAGCGAUUCCUGUGAUGCAUUCUCGAGGAGGAAUUCCAGGAUCAGGAUAACUAGUCCCGCCUGCUGAACCCUGUAGAUAACGGCCGGAUGUAGUAACAGAGUUGCUCUGCCAUGCAUGUUGAAGAAACUUCCCCGUGCCAUUGGCAUUUUGAUUAACAGGUACUCGCUCAGUUCUCGUGGUCGCCCUUGCAUCCCUGUCAGCAGGCCUUGGGUAUGCAGUGAAGUCCAUCAGAAAGCUUCCAACUUUGUUGCUGUUUUCUAUCAUUUCAAGUAAAAAACAUUUUAUUGACGUUUUAUAAGUAGCAUAAGAGGAAACUGAAAAAACAUAAGAGAGCGCAAAAAUGUAUUUUAAAGGGAAAUUCAACUAUGAUGAGGUAUGUCUAACCAAAGAGAGACGAAGAAAGUCGGCCAAAACGCGUAGAUACGGAUCCAGGUUGUGGCUUUCUCCGGCGCUCAUUAUGACCAGCCAGGCGUCUACGGCAACUACGUUUUCCUUGGUCAAAUUCAGGAAGCUGAUGAAAUCUGGGAGAGGUAAGAAAAUUAUUUACCAUUAAUUUAGGGUCUGAACUAAAGACUUGAAGAAAUUUGUACCCUAACAAAAGCAAAAGCAGACAUUUAAUUAGUGUUUAGUUUGGCUAAGCCGAGGAUCUAGAUUCUUCUAUAAAGAGCAUACAUAGGUUGUGCUUGUGACACAACUGAUGUGACCUGAAAUUCACUGGAUGCUAGAUGUUCUAGUACAAAAAAGAAAAGCCCUCAGCAGAAAGACCAAGACCUUUAACAAUACUCAUAAUACAAAAACACAACCAUUUUUCAACCUCCAAACUCAAAUACAAUAAACAAAUAUUGAUGAACAAAAUAAAACAUAGGAAGUAUCAUGAACUUAAUACCCUACUCAUAUGCUGCUAGUUUGAAAGGGUCAUGUUAAGAUCGCAAAGAACAAACUAUUAAAGAGACGAUGCAAUGUACAAGUUUUCUGUCACUCGACCGAGAAUUGUUGAAGCAAAUCUCAAAAUUUUAUGUCAUGCCGGUAUAGCUCGCACUUUCUGCUGUAAUUUAGAAGAAUGUUGCACACUUGGUAUACAGCAUGGGCACGCAAGAUUCAUUUUUGAAAGUAGACCUACCAUCACAUGAAUCCAAUAAUAGAUUGCCAAUGCCGAAAAACAUAUCACAAUUGUAAUUUUAUACCAAAAUAUCAGAACCAUCAUAGAGACUAGAUAAUCCUAAAACCAUCUAGUACCACAGGUAAAUACAUUUACUGCUAAAUUCAAAUCUUAUAUUCGCAAAUGAAAUCUGUUCAGAAUGACAUGGUUCGCACAGGUUAUAAAAUUGAUCACAAGAACUUCUACAACCUUAAGAAAUUUGAGUUAAAUGAAACAACCUUGGUUAUCUGUUUCAACUCAAGUUGUUAGUCUAUUCACUAUUGCUGCAAGCGAUUCACGAGUCACAAUUUACAGUGUGAGAACUGUGUUGCACGUUCUCAAGCCUCAAUGCAGCUCAUGAAAAUAAUCUCACCAUAACUUUAGCAUACGAGCCUUGCAAUUGAAGCAUUGAAAUGCAAUGCAACACUUCCAAAUGCAUCAUUUAAGAAAACAAGUAAAGCUGAAAAGCCUUCAUCAAGGUCCAAAGCAGCUAACACUCAGAAGAACAAUCACCAAGAACAAGAUACAUAACACAAUACUCACUUACAAAUAGAAUUUGACAAAUUGGAAAGUAGCACAGCUAGAUUACAAACAAAAAUCAACAACCACAAGAAACAUAAGCUACAACCCCACCAAGCACCAAAGAUGUUAGUUUACCAGAAAAUUUAUAAACUUGAAAGUCGAACAAUGAAAUUGAAAAAAUACCCAACAAUGAAAUCUAAAAACUUUAUUAGAAAAAAGUCAAGUGCUUGCUGACCUGCUACACUGUUGGCAAAACCUCUGUUCAAGACCAGCAACAAUGACCUUAGGGGUCUUAGAGUGCAAGCCACACACUUUGUGCCUGGAAUAGUAAGCUUUGGCAUCACUCAGAUCUACCUGCUCACAAAUGUUUAUGUUUUGGGUAAGAACACUGAAAUUACUGCACUGUUUCAUUCAAUAAAGAAUGAUGAUUGAACAUAGUGUGUUAGGUUAGUUGACCAGGGCAGUGAGCCGGCACCCAAGUUCGAAUCCCUUCUCAAGAUUAGAUUAAUUUAGAGUAAAUUAUCGCUUGUAUAAAAAAUAAAAAAAAUAAAAAAUUGAUGAUUGAUACAAUUUAUAUACACUGCAAAUAAUAGAUUGCUCUAGAAUGAAAAACUGUUAGAAAACUAGUUUAGCCAUUUUCUGGCAUGAUUCUUUCUAGGAGAAUUAAUAUCCUUGAGGCUAGCUGUAAUAUAGUAGAGUAAGGUGUAUUGUAUGUUUUGUGAGCUUGGUGUCACCUGGCAGCCUUCAACCUGGCACCUGGGUGGCUGACCCGGAUGAGCCAAAUGCCCGGCCCUUUGCUUCUUUGGCGGGGUAGCCCCAGAAGAAGAAGAAGACCCGGCAGACCCGGAUUUGUAUGAAGCUCCGAGACUCGCAUCCUCAAAGUAGAUUUUCUGGCCAAAUUUUAAGCCGUUGAGUGACUCAGUGGAGGAGUUUGGUGGGGAAGAGGAAGAUGAGCUGCCUGACUCGGUCAUAGAGCUCGAGCUCAUUUCCAUGGUUGACCUCUACAGUGCAUUUAUAAUGUUUUUUGGGGUCAUGAAUGUGCCUCAAUAUAUAUAUAUAUAUGUAUGAGAGAGAGAGAGAGAGAGAGAGAGAGAGAGAGAGAGAGGUCAGUUUCUCUUUCUAAAGAAGCGGUAGUGAGAGAGUAAUAAAGGUGGUGAAUGUGGAGGGAUAGUGAAAAGCAGGGACCUGACAAUGGC
This 95102-nucleotide long non-coding RNA is filed under the name Prunus persica (peach). RNAcentral describes it as "long non-coding RNA (PPER_LNC007294)". The record is from RNAcentral. Lineage: Eukaryota; Viridiplantae; Streptophyta; Magnoliopsida; Rosales; Rosaceae.